UGGCUGAUGUUUAGGGUUGAUUAGAUUAGUUAGCUCAGUUGGCUGCUAGACUUUAGGAGUGCAUACAUGGGUAUGACGUGCUCUGCACAUUUAGGAUUGAAGUAUUGUGUUGCAGCACUCAGUGACGUUAAUUUAGGGCAUUUCAGUGUCAGUUCCACUAUAUUUCGGGGGACAUUUAACAGUGCAAUUUCAUGGUUAUUACAGUGUAAUUUCAAGGUUCUUGUACUGUAAGUUCAGAGAAUUACAAUGUUAGUUUAUGUCAAUUCCCGUGCAUUUUACUGUGUAAUUUAAGUGCAAUGGAAAUUAUAGUGUAAAUUCAGUGUAAUUUACUAUGUAAAUUUACGGAAAUUACAAUGUAAUUCAUGUGCAACUUUUAGUGUAAUUUACACUGUAAUUUCAACGGGUUUACAGUAGAAUAAUUUAAGUGUAAUUACAGUGUGCACUUUAGAGCAAUCAUACUAUAUAUUUAGUGAAUUUAAAGUAUCACUCCAUACCUUUCGGGUUUGUCUUUUUUCUCUACAAGUUACUGCUAUACUGUUGAUUGAUUCUACCCUUGCGUAAGAAACUUUGAUGAGCACAUAAUUUUCUACUAUGUAAUUUGAGCAGCUUGGUAACCGUAAUUUUCAGUUUCCUUUGACCCUAGGCCCUUGUGCUUUAGAAUUGCUAUUUUUUGUCAGUGUACAUGCUAGAUCAUGUGGUUUAUGAUACUUCUCUGGUCCUUAUAAACAAAGUGACAUGUUUGUGCUGUGGAAUAGAAAGAAUAUUUCAGUGUCUCUCUUUAGGCCUUUUGUCGAAUUGUUAUGUGGUCCAGCGCAGCCUUACGAAACCGGGUUCUAUGCAGUUCAUGUACAGUGCAAAACUCAUUAUUGCAGGUCAGGCAUGUUGCAUGCUUUGGGUCAUUGACAUGCAGGAAAGAAGGAAAAAGGACAUAGAAGUGUCAUUUUGUUAUUGGUCAAGAAAUUUGAAUAAUGUCCAACUGAUUUCAGUUGAAUGAUAAAUAGACAAUCCCUUGUUUAAUCAGUAGAUAUACACCAUUAACUCAAAUAGCAAAGAAAUACUAGUCCACUUAUAAUCGAUUAUUGCGCAUGAUGCAUCCAUCCAUUCUAUCGGAGAGGCUGUGUUUUUUUUCUUCUUGUGCUAAGGUUGAUAGCAUCACAUAUCUUAUGCUUUUGUUUCUCAAGUAGAGCCUUGAGAUAGAUGUGUCUGCAACCGUCCUCGAAUGGUUGUGCAAUAAUAAUGGUCCUAGCUAAUUACUAGUAUGCACUGCUUAUAAAACAACUUGCUGCUCGUUUCACUUUGAGUAUGCUGUUGCUGCUAAAGUAGCAACAACAACAGCCAUGCUUUGGUUCCCCAAAAUUCAGAUGGCACUGGCAUCUCUACAUACACACACAUAUGAAUAUGCACCUCGGUUUGGUUCAGUUUGCAUGUGUACCGUUGCUUUAACUUUGACUGAAACUAUCUUGGUGGCACUUGCAUCAAUGUUGUGCUCUGCCCUUGUAUAUGUCCUUGGAGAAGAUGACCGUUGGACUGUAGGGGACGAACAACCUUGUCCUGCUCGAGGAGGAGGAGGAUGGCCACCCCGAGCUCGAGGACGACACGGCAACAGGUAGCACUCACCUCCCUACCAAGGUGAAGGUCCGAUCCGCAUGUUUAGAUGGUCUGCUCUUGUCUUGUGAUCUGAGGGGAGAAGAAAGCCAUUGGCCUCAAUUAUAUUUGCAUGUGAGGGGAGCGAUCCUUUUGGUAGAUGCAGAGUAUAGAUUAGUGUUGGGUUUCGUAGUAAUUUCAAAAAAAUCCCUACGCACACGCAAGAUCAUGUGAUGCAUAGCAACGAGGGGAGAGUGUGAUCUACAUACCUAGUAGAUCGACAACGGAAGCGUUUGGUUGAUGUAGUCGUACGUCUUCACGAUCCAACCGAUCAAGCACCGAAACUACGACACCUCCGAGUUCGAGCACACGUUCAGCUCGAUGACGAUCCCCGGACUCCGAUCCAGCAAAGUGUCGGGGAAGAGUUCCGUCAGCACGACGGCGUGGUGAUGAUCUUGAUGCACUACAGCAGCAGGGCUUCGCCUAAACUCCGCUACAGUAUUAUCGAGGACUAUGGUGGCUGGGGGCGCCGCACACGGCUAAGGAAUAGAUCACGUGGAUCAACUUGUGUGUUUCUGGGGUGCCUCUGCCUCAGUAUAUAAAGGACUAGAGGGGGGGAGGCUGGCCGGCCAAGGGUGGCGCGCCAGGAGAGUCCUACUCCCUGUGGGAGUAGGAUCCCCCCCCCCAAUCCUAGUUGGAAUAGGAUUCGCGGAGGGGUAAAAGAGAGAGGGGGGGGGGGGCGGCCACCUCUCCUUGUCCUAAUAGGACUAGGGGAGGGAGGGAGGCGCGCAGCCCAUCUUGGUCAGCCCCUUCUCUUUUCCACUAAGGCCCACUAAGGCCCAUAUAGCUCCCGGGGGGUUCCGGUAACCUCCCGGUACUCCGGUAAAAUCCCGAUUUCACCCGGAACACUUCCGAUAUCCAAACAUAGGCUUCCAAUAUAUCAAUCUUUAUGUCUCGACCAUUUAGAGACUCCUCGUCAUGUCCGUGAUCACAUCCGGGACUCCGAACAACCUUCGGUACAUCAAAAUGCAUAAACUCAUAAUAUAACUGUCAUCGUAACCUAAAGCGUGCGGACCCUACGGGUUCGAGAACAAUGUAGACAUGACCGAGACACGUCUCCGGUCAAUAACCAAUAGCGGGACCUGGAUGCCCAUAUUGGCUCCUACAUAUUCUACGAAGAUCUUUAGCGGUCAGACCGCAUAACAACAUACGUUGUUCCCUUUGUCAUCGGUAUGUUACUUGCCCGAGAUUCGAUCGUCGGUAUUCCAAUACCUAGUUCAAUCUCGUUACCGGCAAGUCUCUUUACUCGUUCUGUAAUACAUCAUCCCGCAACUAACUCAUUUAGUUGCAAUGCUUGCAAGGCUUAAGUGAUGUGCAUUACCGAGAGGGCCCAGAGAUACCUCUCCGACAAUCGGAGUGACAAAACCUAAUCUCAAAAUACGCCAACCCAACAUGUACUUUUGGAGACACCUAUAGUACUCCUUUAUAAUCACCCAGUUACGUUGUGACGUUUGGUAGUAUCCAAAGUGUUCCUCCGGUAAACGGGAGUUGCAUAAUCUCAUAGUUAUAGGAACAUGUAUAAGUCAUGAAGAAAGCAAUAGCAACAUACUAAACGAUCGGGUGCUAAGCUAAUGGAAUGGGUCAUGUCAAUCAGAUCAUUCUCUUAAUGAUGUGAUCCCGUUAAUCAAAUAACAACUCAUUGUUCAUGGUUAGGAAACAUAACCAUCUUUGAUUAACGAGCUAGUCAAGUAGAGGCAUACUAGUGACACUUUGUUUGUCUACGUAUUCACACAUGUAUUAUGUUUCCGGUUAAUACAAUUCUAGCAUGAAUAAUAAACAUUUAUCAUGAUUAUAAGGAAAUAAAUAAUAACUUUAUUAUUGCCUCUAGGGCAUAUUUCCUUCAGUCUCCCACUUGCACUAGAGUCAGUAAUCUAGAUUACACCGUAAUGGUUCUAACACCCAUGGAGUCUUGGUGCUGAUCAUGUUUUGCUCGUGGAAGAGGCUUAGUCAAUGGGUCUGCAACAUUCAGAUCCGUAUGUAUCUUGCAAAUCUCUAUGUCUCCCACCUGGACUAGAUCCCGUAUGGAAUUGAAGCGUCUCUUGAUGUGCUUGGUUCUCUUGUGAAAUCUGGAUUCCUUUGCCAAGGCAAUUGCACCAGUAUUGUCACAAAAGAUUUUCAUUGGACCCGAUGCACUGGGUAUGACACCUAGAUCGGAUAUGAGCUCCUUCAUCUGGACUCCUUCAUUUGCUGCUUCCGAAGCAGCUAUGUACUCCGCUUCACAUGUAGAUCCCGCUACAACGCUUUGUUUAGAACUGCACCAACUGACAGCUCCACCGUUUAAUGUAAACACGCAUCCGGUUUGCGAUUUAGAAUCGUCCGGAUCAGUGUCAAAGCUUGCAUCAACGUAACCAUUUACGACGAGCUCUUUGUCACCUCCAUAUACGAGAAGCAUAUCCUUAGUCCUUUUCAGGUAUUUCAGGAUGUUCUUGACCGCUGUCCAGUGAUCCACUCCUGGAUUACUUUGGUACCUCUCUGCUAGACUUAUAGCAAGGCACACAUCAGGUCUGGUACACAGCAUUGCAUACAUGAUAGAUCCUAUCGCUGAUGCAUAGGGAACAUCUUUCAUAUUCUCUCUAUCUUCUGUAGUGGUCGGGCAAUGAGUCUUACUCAAUUUCACACCUUGUAACACAGGCAAGAAUCCUUUCUUUGCUUGAUCCAUUUUGAACUUCUUCAAAAUUUUGUCAAGGUAUGUUGUUUGUGAAAGUCCAAUUAAGCUUUUUGAUCUAUCUCUAUAGAUCUUAAUGCCUAAUAUGUAAGCAGCUUCACCGAGGUCUUUCGUUGAAAAAUUCUUAUUCAAGUAUCCCUUUAUGCUAUCCAGAAAUUCUAUAUCAUUUCCAAUUAAUAAUAUGUCAUCCACAUAUAAUAUCAGAAAUGCUACAGAGCUCCCACUCACUUUCUUGUAAAUACAGGCUUCUCCAAAAGUCUGUAUAAAACCAAAUGCUUUGAUCACACUAUCAAAACAUUUAUUCCAACUCCGAGAGGCUUGCACCAGUCCAUAAAUGGAUCGCUGGAGCUUGCACACUUUGUUAGCUCCCUUUGGAUCGACAAAACCUUCUUGUUGCAUCAUAUACAACUCUUCUUCCAGAAUUCCAUUCAGGAAUGCAGUUUUGACAUCCAUCUGCCAAAUUUCAUAAUCAUAAAAUGCGGCAAUUGCUAACAUGAUUCGGACAGACUUAAGCAUCGCUACGGGUGAGAAGGUCUCAUCGUAGUCAAUCCCUUGAACUUGCCGAAAACCUUUUGCGACAAGUCGAGCUUUGUAGACAGUAAUAUUACCGUCAGCGUCAGUCUUCUUCUUGAAGAUCCAUUUAUUCUCAAUUGCUUGCCGAUCAUCGGGCAAGUCAACCAAAGUCCAUACUUUGUUCUCAUAAAUGGAUCCCAUCUCAGAUUUCAUGGCUUCAAGCCACUUUGCGGAAUCUGGGCUCACCAUUGCUUCUUCAUAGUUCAUAGGUUCAUCAUGAUCUAGCAUCAUGACUUCCAGAAUGGGAUUACCGUACCACUCUGGCGUGGAUCUUACUCUGGUUGAUCUACGAGGUUCAGUAGUAUCUUGUUCUGAUGUUUCAUGAUCAUUAUCAUUGACUUCCUCACUAACUGGUGUAGGUGUCACAGAAACAGUUUUCUGUGAUGUACUACUUUCCAAUAAGGGAGCAGGUACAGUUACCUCGUCAAGUUCUACUUUCCUCCCACUCACUUCUUUGGAGAGAAACUCCUUCUCCAGAAAGUUUCCGAAUUUAGCAACAAAAGUCUUGCCUUCGGAUCUGUGAUAGAAGGUGUAUCCAAUAGUUUCCUUUGGAUAUCCUAUGAAGACACAUUUCUCCGAUUUGGGUUCGAGCUUAUCAGGUUGAAGCUUUUUCACAUAAGCAUCACAGCCCCAAACUUUCAGAAACGACAACUUUGGUUUCUUGCCAAACCACAGUUCAUAAGGCGUCGUCUCAAUGGAUUUUGAUGGUGCCCUAUUUAACGUGAAUGUGGCCGUCUCUAGAGCGUAUCCCCAAAACAAUAGCGGUAAAUCAGUAAGAGACAUCAUAGAUCGCACCAUAUCUAGUAAAGUACGAUUACGACGUUCGGACACACCAUUACGCUGAGGUGUUCCGGGUGGCGUGAGUUGCGAAACUAUUCCACAAUUUUUCAAAUGUACACCAAACUCGUAACUCAAAUAUUCUCCUCCACGAUCAGAUCGUAGAAAUUUUAUUUUCUUGUUACGAUGAUUUUCAAUUUCACUCUGAAAUUCCUUGAACUUUUCAAAUGUUUCAGACUUAUGUUUCAUUAAGUAGAUAUACCCAUAUCUGCUUAAAUUAUCUGUGAAGGUGAGAAAAUAAUGAUAUCCGCCAUGAGCCUCAAUAUUCAUCGGACCACAUACAUCUGUAUGUAUGAUUUCCAACAAUUCUGUUGCUCUCUCCAUAGUACCGGAGAACGGUGUUUUGGUCAUCUUGCCCAAGAGGCACGGUUCGCAAGUACCAAGUGAUUCAUAAUCAAGUGGUUCCAAAAGUCCAUCAGAAUGGAGUUUCUUCAUGCGCUUUACACCGAUAUGACCUAAACGGCAGUGCCACAAAUAAGUUGCACUCUCAUUAUCAACUCUACAUCUUUUGGCUUCAACAUUAUGAAUAUGUGUGUUACUACUAUCGAGAUUCAACAAGAAUAGACCACUCUUCAAGGGUGCAUGACCAUAAAAGAUAUUACUCAUAUAAAUAGAACAACCAUUAUUCUCUGAUUUAAAUGAAUAACCGUCUCGCAUCAAACAAGAUCCAGAUAUAAUGUUCAUGCUUAACGCUGGCACCAAAUAACAAUUAUUUAGGUCUAAUACUAAUCCCGAAGGUAGAUGUAGAGGUAGCGUGCCGACUGCGAUCACAUCGACUUUGGAACCGUUUCCCACGCGCAUCAUCACCUCGUCCUUAACCAAUCUUCGCUUGAUCUGUAGUCCCUGUUUCGAGUUGCAAAUAUUAGCAACAGAACCAGUAUCAAAUACCCAGGUGCUACUGCGAGCAUUAGUAAGGUACACAUCAAUAACAUGUAUAUCACAUAUACCUUUGUUCACCUUGCCAUCCUUCUUAUCCGCCAAAUACUUGGGGCAGUUCCGCUUCCAGUGACCAGUCUGCUUGCAAUAGAAGCACUCAGUUUCAGGCUUAGGUCCAGGUUUGGGUUUCUUCUCUUGAGUAGCAACUUGCUUGCCGUUCUUUUUGAAGUUCCCCUUCUUCUUCCCUUUGCCCUUUUUCUUGAAACUAGUGGUCUUGUUGACCAUCAACACUUGAUGCUCCUUCUUGAUUUCUACCUCCGCAGCUUUCAGCAUCGCGAAGAGCUCGGGAAUAGUCUUGUUCAUCCCUUGCAUAUUAUAGUUCAUCACGAAGCUCUUGUAGCUUGGUGGCAGUGAUUGAAGAAUUCUGUCAAUGACGCAAUCAUCUGGAAGAUUAACUCCCAAUUGAAUCAAGUGAUUAUUAUACCCAGACAUUUUGAGUAUAUGCUCACUGACAGAACUGUUCUCCUCCAUCUUGCAGCUAUAGAACUUAUUGGAGACUUCAUAUCUCUCAAUCCGGGCAUUUGCUUGAAAUAUUAACUUCAACACCUGGAACAUCUCAUAUGCUCCAUGACGUUCAAAACGUCGUUGAAGUCCCGAUUCUAAGCCGUAAAGCAUGGCACACUGAACUAUCAAGUAGUCAUCAGCUUUGCUCUGCCAGACGUUCAUAACAUCCGGCGUUGCUCCUGUAGUAGGCCUGGCACCCAGCGGUGCUUCCAGGACGUAAUUCUUCUGUGCAGCAAUGAGGAUAAUCCUCAAGUUACGGACCCAGUCUGUGUAAUUGCUACCAUCAUCUUUCAACUUUGCUUUCUCAAGGAACGCAUUAAAAUUCAACGGAACAACAGCACGAGCCAUCUAUCUACAAUCAAACAUAAACAAGCAAGAUACUAAUCAGGUACUAAGUUUCAUGAUAAAUUUAAGUUCAGUUAAUCAAAUUAAUUAAAGAACUCCCACUUAGAUAGACAUCCCUCUAAUCCUCUAAGUGAUUACGUGAUCCAAAUCAACUAAACCAUAACCGAUCAUCACGUGAGAUGGAGUAGUUUUCAAUGGUGAACAUCGUUAUGUUGAUCAUAUCUACUAUAUGAUUCACGCUCGACCUUUCGGUCUCCGUGUUCCGAGGCCAUAUCUGUAUAUGCUUGGCUCGUCAAGUAUAACCUGAGUAUUCUGCGUGUGCAACUGUUUUGCACCCGUUUUAUUUGAACGUAGAACCUAUCACACGCGAUCAUCACGUGGUGUCUCAGCACGAAGAACUUUCGCAACGGUGCAUACAUAGGGAGAACACUUCUUGAUAAUUUAGUGAGAGAUCAUCUUAUAAUGCUACCGUCAAUCAAAGCAAGAUAAGAUGCAUAAAAGGAUAAACAUCACAUGCAAUCAAUAUAAGUGAUAUGAUAUGGCCAUCAUCUUGUGCUUGUGAUCUCCAUCUCCGAAGGACCGUCGUGAUCACCAUCGUCACCAGCGUGACACCUUGAUCUCCAUCGUAGCAUCAUUGUCGUCUCGCCAAGCUUGUGCUUCUACAACUAUCGCUACCGCUUAGUGAUAAAAGUAAAGCAUUACAUCGCGAUUGCAUUGCAUACAAUAAAACGACAACCAUAAGGCUCCUGCCAGUUGCCGAUAACUCGGUUACAAAACAUGAUCAUCUCAUACAAUAAAAUUCAGCAUCAUGUCUUGGCCAUAUCACAUCACAACAUGCCCUGCAAAAACAAGUUAGACGUCCUCUACUUUGUUGUUGCAAGUUUUACGUGGCUGCUACGGGCUUAAGCAAGAACCAAUCUUACCUACGCAUCAAAACCACAACGAUAGUUUGUUAAUUUGACUCCAUUUUAACCUUCGCAAGGACCGGGCAUAGCCAUACUCGAUUUAACUAAAGUUGGAGAGACAGUCGCACGCAAGCCACCUAUGUGCAAAGCACGUCGGGGGAACCGGUCUCGUGUAAGCGUACGCGUAAUGUUGGUCCGGGUCGUCUCGUCCAACAAUGCCGCCGAACCAAAGUAUGACAUGUUGGUAGGCAGUAUGACUUAUAUCGCCCACAACUCACUUGUGUUCUACUCGUGCAUAUAACAUCAACAUAAAUAACCUAGGCUCGGAUGCCACUGUUGGGUUUCGUAGUAAUUUCAAAAAAUUUCCUACGCACACGCAAGAUCAUGUGAUGCAUAGCAACGAGGGGAGAGUGUGAUCUACAUACCUAGUAGAUCGACAACGGAAGCGUUUGGUUGAUGUAGUCGUACGUCUUCACGAUCCAACCGAUCAAGCACCGAAACUACGGCACCUCCGAGUUCGAGCACACGUUCAGCUCGAUGACGAUCCCCGGACUCCGAUCCAGCAAAGUGUCGGGGAAGAGUUCCGUCAGCACGACGGCGUGGUGACGAUCUUGAUGCACUAUAGCAGCAGGGCUUCGCCUAAACUCCGCUAUAGUAUUAUCGAGGACUAUGGCGGCUGGGGGCGCCGCACACGGCUAAGGAAUAGAUCACGUGGAUCAACUUGUGUGUUUCUGGGGUGCCUCUGCCUCAGUAUAUAAAGGACUAGAGGGGGGAGGCUGGCCGGCCAAGGGUGGCGCGCCAGGAGAGUCCUACUCCCUGUGGGAGUAGGAUCCCCCCCAAUCCUAGUUGGAAUAGGAUUCGCGGAGGGGGAAAAGAGAGAGGGGGGGCACCUCUCCUUGUCCUAAUAGGACUAGGGGAGGGAGGGAGGCGCGCAGCCCAUCUUGGGCAGCCCCUUUUUUUUCCACUAAGGCCCACUAAGGCCCAUAUAGCUCCCGGGGUGUUCCGGUAACCUCCCGGUACUCCAGUAAAAUCCCGAUUUCACCCGGAACACUUCCGAUAUCCAAACAUAGGCUUCCAAUAUAUCAAUCUUUAUGUCUCGACCAUUUAGAGACUCCUCGUCAUGUCCGUGAUCACAUCCGGGACUCCGAACAACCUUCGGUACAUCAAAAUGCAUAAACUCAUAAUAUAACUGUCAUCGUAACCUUAAGCGUGCGGACCCUACGGGUUUGAGAACAAUGUAGACAUGACCGAGACACGUCUCCGGUCAAUAACCAAUAGCGGGACCUGGAUGCCCAUAUUGGCUCCUACAUAUUCUACGAAGAUCUUUAUCGGUCAGACCACAUAACAACAUACGUUGUUCCCUUUGUCAUCGGUAUGUUACUUGCCCGAGAUUCGAUCGUCGGUAUUCCAAUACCUAGUUCAAUCUCGUUACCGGCAAGUCUCUUUACUCGUUCUGUAAUACAUCAUCCUGCAACUAACUCAUUUAGUUGCAAUGCUUGCAAGGCUUAAGUGAUGUGCAUUACCGAGAUGGCCCAGAGAUACCUCUCCGACAAUCGGAGUGACAAAACCUAAUCUCGAAAUACGCCAACCCAACAUGUACCUUUGGAGACACCUGUAGUACUCCUUUAUAAUCACCCAGUUACGUUGUGACAUUUGGUAGUACCCAAAGUGUUCCUCCGGUAAACGGGAGUUGCAUAAUCUCAUAGUUAUAGGAAUAUGUAUAAGUCAUCAAGAAAGCAAUAGCAACAUACUAAACGAUCGGGUGCUAAGCUAAUGGAAUGGGUCAUGUCAAUCAGAUCAUUCUCUUAAUGAUGUGAUCCCGUUAAUCAAAUAACAACUCAUUGUUCAUGGUUAGGAAACAUAACCAUCUUUGAUUAACGAGCUAGUCAAGUAGAGGCAUACUAGUGACACUUUGUUUGUCUACGUAUUCACACAUGUAUUAUGUUUCCGGUUAAUACAAUUCUAGCAUGAAUAAUAAACAUUUAUCAUGAUUAUAAGGAAAUAAAUAAUAACUUUAUUAUUGCCUCUAGGGCAUAUUUCCUUCAAUUAGAUAUUCCACAAAACUCACCACACGAGUAUACUACCUAUAUCCACAAAAUUCACCACACGAGCAUACUACCCAUGUCCAAAUGUGGGUGUGAUACUUUCGACAUGAAACAUGAAUAUCAGGUUGGGAGUUUGGAGUUUAAUAAAAUAACGCAGCAAGGCGAUCAUCGGUAGGGAUGCACCUUUGAGGCGGCAAGGAGAGCUUCUCAAAGGCAGUACACAUGGCUUAUUACUGCUUGUAUGUGAGUACGCAGAUGUGGCGUCUAUAGAUAGAGGGUUAGGGGCGCAACGCAAGCGGCAGUAGGGGAUACACAACCUGAUUUGAUUUGGUCAAUCACGGGAAAUGGGAGAAGGCCUAGGGUGCAAAGUUUGGAUCGGUGGGUUGGUAGCGUUAGGCAUAAUAGAGAUCAAACCUUUUUCAUAGGUGUAUGUAGGUUAUUUCCUUGAAGCAUUUUAUCAAAAUGGUGUAGGUGAGUAAUAUCUCUCAACUUAAAUGUGAAGGGGAGAUAUUAUUUUCUUGUAGAGGCCGAGGAAUACAUGGCGUACCGCUACAUAUGCAACCAUGAUUUUUUGUGGAUGGUUACGAGAGAACCUGAAAGAUACCAUGGACCGAAGCAUGGGCAGAUGAAGUUCCAACGCCGAAGGGUAAGGAGACGGGCCCGCGUCAUUUACGUCGGGAAUAUGCGACCUUGAUUCUUUGUGGAUGGUGAUGCCAAGACUAUAGGAUAAGGUGGAUCCGGACACAUGAGCAGAUGAAGUGCCUGACACGAAGUAGGUUAAGGAGCUGGACCCAAGUCAUCUACACCGCAAAUUGGUCGAAGGUGUGCCGCGAAUGAUAGAUGUACUUGAGGGGGGAGAAAGCCUGUGAAAAGAACAUACGGUUGCUCGAUGAUGACACAUGUCUUGAGAGGAUGGCGAGAACCCUAGAUAUGGUUAAGGCAUGCCACGAGAACAUCACCCCGGUCGUGAGAUUCUCAGUGGUGUGCGGCAACCGAAGCCAAAAGGGCACCCCCGCAAGACCUUGAAACGCCAGAGCGGUGGGCACACAAGCAAUGGUGAGGAAAAUCACAUAAGGUACCAAGCAAGGCCAUCCUGAUCAGGGCUCCAUUGCCAAGCUUAUGUCCACCACUGCGAUUCAGACAAACUUUCAACUGGCGUCUUUGUCUUCUCAAGAUUUCCACGAUCCCAUCAGGAUGUAUAUAUGUACUUUGUUUAUUUUGAAAAUUAAUAUAUCACCAAAGAAAUUGUAGUACUUGUCAUUCUUUUAAUUACUUAGUAGUUUGCAUGAUAGACUCAAUCUUAUAUUUACUAAUUAGAGGCACCAAAUAAGCGACCACGUUAAUCCUCAAAAACUAAGAAUAUUAUCCAUCCGAUCUCCAUAUUAAGUAUCUAUAGCCGUCCAUUGGACAACUCAAGAGUCCUUGGUUACUAUCCCACGUCAUGCUCCAUGUAAUGUGAAAAAAAAUCAUCUCCUUGGCCAAAUCCAUCCCACGUCAUGCUCCAUGUAAUGUGAAAAAAAAUCAUCUCCCUGGCCAAAUUCUUCCUCCCCCGAUCUAUCAUGUGAGGCACUUGCGCAUCAUCCACAAAUCCCUAGCGCAAAUCCAUCCCACGUCAUGCUCCAUGUAAUCUGAAAAAAAUCAUCUCCCUGGCCAAAUUCUUCCUCCCCCGAUCUAUCAUGUGAGGCACUUGCGCAUCAUCCACAAAUCCCUAGCGCUGCUCUUGCAGGUCGUCCUCCUCCUUCCUAUCUUUUGCUGUCUUAAUGCAAAACGAUUCCGUGAGAUCCUUGUGAUCCUCUUCAUCUUCACGUAGAAAUCUGAACUGUCCCAACCACGCUGCAGAUCUGUGGUCCGUCUUGGACAAAGAGAAGGCCCUUUCAAUCUCCACAGAUGCCAUGCCCCAACCAAACCGCAACCCAUGAUAAACGAUGUUGUUGAGAAGGAGGCGCUACCUAAGUCUGAUCGGACAUUUGCCAUUGUUGGGGAAGCUACAAGUCGAAGAACUAUGGUAGACUGAUUGCAGGUAAUUAAGGAGCUAGCAACGAUCCAAUAGGUUUUUGUUAUUAGGAAUUUUUAUGUAGUGCGACUUGAUCUCAAAGAACAAGUACACCAUUAGAGUUUGUUUUGGAGGAUUUUGAUGAUGUGCGCUUAGUUACAGACUUAUCUAAAUACGUAUAACUAGGAUGGACAAUAUUUGUAGGAGCCAUACAAUCCAAUUAGGGGAUUCAGUUUGUCAAAGAUGUUUCCACAUAUCCCUAGCGCUGCUCUUCUAGGUUGCCCCCUGCUUCCUAUCUACGGUCUUCAAGUAAAGAGAUUUAAUGAGUCUCUUGCUGCAGAAAUUUCAACUGCCACAAGAAGGCUGCAGACUUGCGGUUCAUCUUGGCUGAGGUGUCAUACAAUCCAGUUAAGGGAUUCCAUUCAUUGAAGAUGUGGCUGUACUUUCACACAACAAACUCAAGCACAUCUUCUUAUGUUCUUAGAAACUAGAUGAGUCACUGGUAGAAAAAGGGCCUAUAGUCCCGGUUCGUAAGGGCCUUUAGUCCCGGUUCCUGAACUGGGACUAAAGUGUCGGUACUAAUGCCCUGUACCUUUAGUCCCGGUUCAAUCCAGAACCGGGACUGAUGGGCCUCCACGUGGGCAGUGCGCAGAGCCCAGGCAGGAUACCCUUUGGUCCCGGUUGGUGGCACCAACCGGGACCAAUAGGCAUCCACGCGUCAGCAUUUCUGUGGCUGGGUUUUUUGUUUUUUUUGAAAGGGGUGGUUUGGGGGUUUUGGGGGGUUAAUUUAGGUGUUUCAUAUAUUGUGUUAGCUAGCUAUAAUUAAUAGAGAGAAGUGUCCUCUCUUACGUCCGUGCUUGGUCGACGCUAUGUACUAUACAUACGUAUAGAGAGGACUAGACACGCUAGUUAGCUAGUAAGCAAACGAAGGAAACAGAAGAUCGUCAUGAACAUAUAUGCAUACAGAGAGAAGUGAUAUCGACCACCUCUCAUUCUCCGAGAGAUUGGUCGAACAACAAGUUCUCGUAUAUCUAUCCGACACUAACGGCUACAUAUAUACAAUAAUUAUCUCUUACAAAUAUAAUCAUAUGGACUUAUGGUCCACAUAGUAUUCUCCGUCUUCAGCGAUCACUUGGUCAAGAAAGAAUGCUGCCAAUUCCUCUUGAAUUGCUCGCAUGCGAGCUGGUGCUAGGAGUUCAUCCCGCUUCCGAAACAUCUAAUUUGAAGAAGGGGGUCAAUACAUAUAUAUAUGAAUGAAUGAAACUCAAUACAAAUGAUGGUAAUAAAAUAAAAUUGUGAAUGUUGUUAUUUACGUACUUCAUAUUGUUCGUUAGAGUACCCGCCCCGCUCACAGGUCGUGUGGCGGAUGGACUCGUAGAUGUAGUAUCCACAGAAAUCAUUCCCUUGUUCCUGCCACAACCACUUUACAAGAAAUAGAGGUCAAUCAAACUGAUAAGCAAGAAUGCUAAAUGGUAUUGAUGAAACUAGCGCUUGAAUCACUAGGAGAUGCGCGGAACAUUCUACUAUAGUACUUACUUUCGGGUGUCUAAAUUCCAGCUCCUUCGGCAGUCCCGGAACUGUUUUGGUGAAUUUUCUCCAAACCCUGCCGGACAAAGAAAACAAUUACUUGAUAUCAGGAAAUGAACAAAGUUGCUGAUAUGGUGGAUAAUGAUCGAUUUAACUUACUUCUUGAGGAUUUCAGUCAUGUCCGCAUACUCCUGGGGAUCUUUUCGUUUAGAGUCCAAGACGGUUACUACUCCCUGCUCAAGCCUAAUCUCUAGGAGAAUAUAGUGGAAACUGCACACGCAUGCAUAACUCAUCAAUUACAUUACUAUAACCUGGACUAAUAUAUAAGGGAAACUGAAUAUGCACAGGACAGUAACACUCACUCGAAGUUGUAAGGAAAGAGUAUUAUAUCUUUGUUUUCAUUUUUUUGAAUGAUUGUAGCAAGUUGGCCUCGGUAUCUGUGGCAUGAAAUUUAACCUGAGUUGCAUCUAUGAGAUAUGUGUUAAUGAACCCAAUAUCACCGAUUUGUCUUUUCUUCAAUUCGGCGAUCUUCAUUCUGCAUAAUAUAGUGAGGAUAAUUAUAAAUACAUGCAAUGAAAGAGAUGAGCUAUAUAGAGAGACUUAAUGACAGAAGUAGUAGUACUUACAGACAGUAGCAGGUGAUCGUUGUUUUAUCGAGGGCCAAUUGAUUGAAAAACUGAUAGAACUCCUGAAAUGGAAUAGGCAACAGUUCAAUUCCAACGAGGUCAUGCUCCGGUUUAACUCUCGCAUACAAAGUACUCCUCCCCCCAGACUCUCUGCAGAUUUUCAAGUACCAAUCAUGUAAUCUUCGCAUCAUCGUUGUUAAAGAUUUUUCAUCUUUGACGAGAGGCUUCCCGUACUCGUAUCUGUGUAUCUGCACAUCCAUGGUAUCAUAAUGUACAUCGUCGGGCAGGUAAUCGUCAACAUUGCCAUAACCGGGCCCCAUCCUCGGAUCGACGAUGUCGCUAGGCACCUUGAGAGGGGAGGGGCACGAUUGCUUCGCUUGUUCGCUGAGCUGGGCAAUUUGUUUCCCAGCUGCUCGUCGUUCUUUCAGCCUUUGAUCACUGACUGUACUUCCCGACCGCUCCGCUUCGGCCCAUGUCUUUGCAAUAAUGCGCUCAUAGUUGCCUUUCGGCGGAGACUUGGGUGGUUUUGCCAGGGCAGCCAGAGUGCGCUUCACUUUCACCGGAUCUACCUUCUCCUCCGGAGGUGGAUGUCUCUUUGCUCUCAACCCUUGAAACCAGUCAUCCACUUUGGUUCGCGCGAUCUCAGCGUUCUCCUCCAGGGUUCUCUCAUAUGGUAACUUCUCUGGAGUCUUCAGAGAAGGACCGAAUCUGUAUGUCCUCCCGCCUCUGGUUGUACUGCUAGACGCAGACCGAGCAGACGGAGCGGUCUUCUUUACUUGCUUACGAGGCGGAGGAGAAGGACUACGACGCGCCGCAGCAGCUGGAGCGGUGGCAGGUCUCUUCCACCCUUGCUGACGAGGCGGAGAAGGAGGAGGCUGGCUGCUUGGGCGCGUCGGUGCAGGCGGAGAAGGAGGCGGAGUGCCGCCACACGCAGGAGAAGGAGCCGGCCGAGGGCCCUGAUCGUCACUCGCCGGAGGAGGAGGCAGUGGAGGAGGCGGAGUGCCCUGACUCACCGGAGGAGGAGGAGGAGGCAGAGGCGUCCAGUUCGGAAGGUUGAUGAGCUCCUUCCGCCAUAGGCAUGGAGUCUUGAGAGCAGACCCCAGCCGAGUCUCCCCUUCACCGGUAGGGUGGUCAAGCUGGAGGUUCUCAAAUCCCUCCGUUAUUUCAUCCACCAUCACCCUAGCAUAUCCUUCUGGAAUCGGCCGGCAGUGAAAAGUUGCGCCGGGUUCAGUAGGAUAAACAGAGCCAACAGCCGCCUUGACCUUCAAAAUCAUCCAUUGCGUCAUAAGGUGGCAAUUUUGAGACUCCGUGAUAGCAUCCACGGGAUAGCUGGAAGGAGCCAUCAAGGCAUGCUCCGGCUGAAGCAGCUCGGUGGAAGCCACGCUGCUUCUGCGCUAAGAUGGCGGGGUAGCUUCGGGGGAGGCUUCGGCAGUACGUUUGCUGCGAUUUGCUUCUCGUUCCUCUAUCGCGUCUACCCUUGCUUGCAGCGCCUGCAUUUGGGUCUGCUACACUUUUUUCCUCCUCUCAUGGGAUUUGUAACCACCUGCGUCCGGAAACCCAACCUUCCACGGAAAGGAGCCUGGCGUGCCCCGUGUCCGUCCAGGGUGCUCAGGAUUCCCGAGGGCCAUUGUGAGCUCGUUGUUCUCUCUGUCUGGAAAGAACUUCCCUUGCUGCGCUGCUUCGAUAUACUGCUUAAGCUUCCUGACUGGUAUGUCCAUUUGAUCGUUCGUCCAAAUGCACUUCCCUGUUACAGGGUCCAAGGUUCCGCCAGCCCCGAAGAACCAAGUCCGGCAACGGUCUGGCCAGGUAAUUGUCUCUGGUUCGAUCCCUUUAUCAACCAGAUCAUUCUCAGUCUUGGCCCACUUAGGCCGGGCUAUGAGGUAGCCACCUGACCCCGUGCGAUGGUGAAGCUUCUUCUUCGCAGCAUUUUGCUUAUUUGUCGCCGACAUCUUCUUACUCUUUUCCGAUGUCUUGUGGGCCACAAAUGCGGGCCAGUGAUCUCUGAUCCUCUCAUAUCUGCCCUUGAAUUCUGGUGUCUCAUUAUUUUCUACAAACUUAUUCAGCUCUUUCUUCCACUUCCUGAAUAGUUCCGCCAUCCUCUUAAGAGCAAAAGACUUGAUUAAUUUCUCUUUAACUGGGUUCUCUGGAUUAUCCUCUGGCGGUAGGGUGAAAUUUGACUUCAGCUCGGUCCAAAGAUCAUUUUUCUGCAUAUCAUUGACAUAAGACACCUCAGGGUCUUCUGUAGCCGGCUUAAACCAUUGAUGGAUGCUUAUCGGGAUCUUGUCCCUACCAGAACCCCACACUGAGCAACAAAUGCGUUCUUUGUUCGGAUGGGUUCAAUCGGUUGGCCGUCGGGCGCGAUUUCGUUGUUCACCCUCUCCAUCCAGACCAUCGGUUUCAUUGAGAAACAACGAGACGGCAUCACUUCCUUCUGUGAUUAUGUCCCUCAACAACGCUUCUUUUGCUUCGUCUAGGCGGUGUCCAUAGUUUCUACAAAUAUUUACAACAUGGCAAUUAUUAUUCAAACAUGACAGAUGGAUAUAUUAGUGCCAAACGUAGAACUAGCUACCUAAUCAUAGUAAGCUAUCGGGAGGGGGUAUAUAUCGACAACGACGACACUACAUCUAUGUCCCUUGAUGACCCUCUUUUUGUUUCUUCCUCUUCUUUUUUAUCCUCUUCUUCCUCUCAUGUUCGAGAGGAUCGCGGAGGGGUCGGGAGGUUGCGUAGUGUCAAAGGAUUCAACAAAACCAUGUCUUCAUCAUUAGGCGAAAGUAACAUGUGCAUGAUGGUACGAAGCUCUUCAAAGUUGUUCUGGAACGGAGUCCCAGAUAGGAUAAUUCGUUUUUUGGUACAAAGUUCAGCAAGAGCCUUCCGAAUAUCGCUAUUUGGAAGGCCUUUCCUGAAUUCAUACCAAAAGGCGAAUUAUCCUAUCCGGGACUCCAUUCCAGAACAACUUUGCAGAACUUCGUACCAACAUGCCCUGGUUACUUCCGGCUAAUGAUGAAGGCAUGGAUUUCUUCAAUACUUUGACACUAGGAAACCUCUCUCGACCCCUCGGCGAUCCUCGACCCCUCGAACCCUCGACGACCCUGGAACCCUCGACCCCUCGGUGAUCCUCUUCUUCCUCUCAUGUUCGAGAGGAUCGCCGAGGGGUCGGGAGGUUGCGUAGUGUCAAAGGAUUCAACAAAACCAUGUCUUCAUCAUUAGGCGAAAGUAACAUGUGCAGGAUGGUAUGAAGCUCUUCAAAGUUGUUCUGGAACAGAGUCCCAGAUAGGAUAAUUCACUUUUUGGUACAAAGUUCAGCAAGAGCCUUCCGAAUAUCGCUAUUUGGAAGGCCUUUGCUGAAUUCGUACCAAAAGGCGGAUUAUUCUAUCCGGGACUCCAUUCCAGAACAACUUUGCAGAACUUCGUACCAACAUGCCCUGGUUACUUCCGGCUAAUGAUGAAGGCAUGGAUUUCUUCAAUACUUUGACACUAGGAAACCUCUCUCGACCCCUCGGCGAUCCUCGACCCCUCGAACCCUCGACGAGCCUGGAACCCUCGACCCCUCGGUGAUCCUCUUCUUCCUCUCAUGUUUGAGAGGAUCGCGGAGGGGUCGGGAGGUUGCGUAGUGUCAAAGGAUUCAACAAAACCAUGUCUUCAUCAUUAGGCGAAAGUAACAUGUGCAUGAUGGUACGAAGCUCUUCAAAGUUGUUCCGGAACGGAGUCCCAGAUAGGAUAAUUCGCUUUUUGGUACAAAGUUCAGCAAGAGCCUUCUGAAUAUCGCUAUUUGGAAGGCCUUUGCUGAAUUCGUACCAAAAGGCGGAUUAUCCUAUCCGGGACUCCAUUCCAGAACAACUUUGCAGAACUUCAUACCAACAUGCCCUGGUUACUUCCGACUAAUGAUGAAGGCAUGGAUUUCUUCAAUACUUUGACACUAGGAAACCUCUCUUGACCCCUCAGCGAUCCUCGACCCCUCGAACCCUCGACGACCCUGGAACCCUCGACCCCUAGAUGACCCUGGAAUCCUCGACCCUCGACCCUAUAGAACUCUCGAACCCUCGACCCUGAAACCCUCGACCCUUGACCCCUUAACGACCCUCGACCCUCUACCCUAGUUUCCGACCCUCGACCCCUCGGCGAUCCUCGACACCCUCGUUCCCGAUAAAAAUUAAGAAGAAGAAGAAAAAAAAGAGGAGAAAAAAAAGGAGAAGAAGCUCCUCUAUUCCUUCUUCUUCUCCUCUUUUUUUCUUCUUCUUCCUCUUCUUCCUCUCCUCGUCUUCUCCUUCUUCUUCACCUUCUUUCUCUACUUAUUUUCCUUUUCCUUAUUUUACUUUUUCCUCUCCACUAACAUAAAAUGCACUAACCUAAAAUGCAACAAACAUAAAAGGCACUAAAUCGAUCAACUAACCUAAAAUCAGUGAUAAAAUGCACUAACCUAAAAUCGAUAUCUACUAACAACUUAAAAAAAUUAAUACAUAUAUGAAAAAUGCAUAUAUGAAGAAAAAACAUCAUCAUAUCAUCAACAGAGAAAAACAUCAUCAUAUCAUCAACAGAAAAGAACAUCAUCAUAUCAUCAACCUAAAAUCAGUGAUAAAGGGCGCCGGCGGCCGGACCGAAGGUGGCGGCGUGUGGUCGGGGCAACGGCGAUGGGGUUGGGGAAGGGGCGGCGCGCGCGGCGACGGCGACGGCGACGUGGUCGGGGAAGGGGCAGCGCGCGCGGCGAUGACGACGGGGUCGGGGAACAGGUGGCGCGCACGGCGAAGGCGACGGGGUCGAGGCAGGGGCGGCGCGNNNNNNNNNNNNNNNNNNNNNNNNNNNNNNNNNNNNNNNNNNNNNNNNNNNNNNNNNNNNNNNNNNNNNNNNNNNNNNNNNNNNNNNNNNNNNNNNNNNNNNNNNNNNNNNNNNNNNNNNNNNNNNNNNNNNNNNNNNNNNNNNNNNNNNNNNNNNNNNNNNNNNNNNNNNNNNNNNNNNNNNNNNNNNNNNNNNNNNNNNNNNNNNNNNNNNNNNNNNNNNNNNNNNNNNNNNNNNNNNNNNNNNNNNNNNNNNNNNNNNNNNNNNNNNNNNNNNNNNNNNNNNNNNNNNNNNNNNNNNNNNNNNNNNNNNNNNNNNNNNNNNNNNNNNNNNNNNNNNNNNNNNNNNNNNNNNNNNNNNNNNNNNNNNNNNNNNNNNNNNNNNNNNNNNNNNNNNNNNNNNNNNNNNNNNNNNNNNNNNNNNNNNNNNNNNNNNNNNNNNNNNNNNNNNNNNNNNNNNNNNNNNNNNNNNNNNNNNNNNNNNNNNNNNNNNNNNNNNNNNNNNNNNNNNNNNNNNNNNNNNNNNNNNNNNNNNNNNNNNNNNNNNNNNNNNNNNNNNNNNNNNNNNNNNNNNNNNNNNNNNNNNNNNNNNNNNNNNNNNNNNNNNNNNNNNNNNNNNNNNNNNNNNNNNNNGGCCAAUUUUCAGCAUCCCAAAGGGCGGGAAGCGGCGGCCUUUGGUCCCGGUUGGUGGCACCAACCGGGACUAAAGGGGGCAUUAGUCCCGGGUCGUAGCACGAACCGGGACCAAAGGUGGGCAUUGGUCCCGGUUCGAGCCACCAACCGGGACCAAUGGCCUUGCACAGCGGCGUGGUGGUGGGAGUUUAGUCCCACCUCGCUAGUUGACAGCGCCCAACACCUGUUUAUAAGCUCUGCUGCCUCCUUCCUCUCGAACUUCUCUGAACUGCAGGCCUAUGGGCGUAAUCUGACACUGCUUUGCCUGUGGGCCUAUUGGGCCUUCUGCGGGCCUGAAUCCUGGCCCAUGUUGGGUUUCUAGUCGUAUUUAGGCCAUGGUGGCCCAAUAGGUGGCAAUUUUUUUAUUUUUUUUCCAAUUUUUUGUUUUGUUUUUUGCAUUAUUUAUUUCCUUUUGUUUUUUGCUUUAUUUUUAAUUCUUUUUGCUUUUAGGUCAGAAAAAUUAUAAACUUUCUGUUAGUGCCAUUACUUUUCAAAUUUGAAUAGUUAAAAUUUGAAUUCUUUGAAAUUUCUGUGAAUCACAAGUUUGUGAUUAACUUUACUAUAAAAAUAUAUUUUUUUUCCAGUUUUUCUGUUUUGUUUUUUGCAUUAUUUAUUUUCNNNNNNNNNNNNNNNNNNNNNNNNNNNNNNNNNNNNNNNNNNNNNNNNNNNNNNNNNNNNNNNNNNNNNNNNNNNNNNNNNNNNNNNNNNNNNNNNNNNNNNNNNNNNNNNNNNNNNNNNNNNNNNNNNNNNNNNNNNNNNNNNNNNNNNNNNNNNNNNNNNNNNNNNNNNNNNNNNNNNNNNNNNNNNNNNNNNNNNNNNNNNNNNNNNNNNNNNNNNNNNNNNNNNNNNNNNNNNNNNNNNNNNNNNNNNNNNNNNNNNNNNNNNNNNNNNNNNNNNNNNNNNNNNNNNNNNNNNNNNNNNNNNNNNNNUUUUUUCCAAUUUUUUGUUUUGUUUUCUGCAUUUUUUUUGUUUUUGGUUUAUUUUUUAAUUCUUUUUGCUUUUUGUUUUAGAAAAAUUAUAAAUUAUCUAUUAGUGCCAUUUUUUCAAAUUUGAAAACACUUUUUCUGUUUUUUGUUUUCUUUGUUUCUUUAUUUAUUUUAUUUUGUUUCUACUUACAACAAAAUACUGAUUGUUGCUAUUUUUAUUUUUUACCAAUUUUUUUGUUUUGUUUUCUGCAUUAUUUAUUUCCUUUUGUUUUUGCUUUAUUUUUUAAUUCUUUUUGAUUUUAGGUCAGUAAAAUUAUAAACUUUUUGUUAGUGCCAUUAGUUUUAGAAAAAUUAUAAACUUUCUGUUAGUGCCAUUAGUUUUCAAAUUUGAAUAGUUAAAAUUUGAAUUCUUUGAAAAUUGUUUGAAUCACAAGUUUGUGAUUAACUUACUAAAAAAUGAGAAUAGAUGAAAGUUGAAAGUUUCUGUUAGUGCCAUUAGUUUUAGAAAGUUGAAAGUUGAAAGUUAAAAGUUGGCAUGGGCCAGGGACUAAUGGUCAUGGUAUUACGAGGGCCGAACCAUAAGACAUGAAAGCAUUUCAAAUGAAUUCUAAAAAAGUUGAAAGUUGGGAUGGUAUCAUAAUUUCACCCACAUAGCAUGUGCAUGUACAAAACGGACAAUGGUAGCAUGUUCGUGUGUUGCAAAGUUGCGGGAGAAAGUCUUCACGUUUUCUUCGCUUUUGUCAUUUGCUUAUUGCGCCGUAACCAUGGAUAAUCUUCAUUGUUUAUCAGGAUGCUUGGGUCAGCCUUGACAUUGAAGGGAGGAAUUUCAUGAAACUUUUCAUAAUCUUCAGACAUGUCUGUCUUGCCGUCCACUCCCAGGAUGUCCCUUUUUCCUGAAAGAACUAUGUGGCGCUUUGGCUCAUCGUAUGAUGUAUUCGCUUCCUUAUCUUUUCUUUUUCUCGGUUUGGUAGACAUGUCCUUCACAUAGAUAACCUGUGCCACAUCAUUGGCUAGGACGAACGGUUUGUUAGUGUACCCAAGAUUUUUCAGAUCCACUGUUGUCAUUCCGUACUGUGGGUCUACCUGUACCCCGCUGCCUAACAGAUUGACCCAUUUGCACUUAAACAAAGGGACCUUAAAAUUAGGUCCGUAGUCAAGUUCCCAUAUGUCCACUAUGUAACCAUAAUAUGUAUCCUUUCCGCUCUCAGUUGCUGGAUCAAAGCAGACAGCGCUGUUUUGGUUGGUGCUCUUUUGAUCUUGGGCGAUCGUGUAAAAUGUAUUCCCAUUCAUCUCGUAUCCUUUGUAAGUGAAUACAGUCAAAGAUGGUCCCCUGGUCAACAAGUACAACUCAUCACAAACAGUGUUGUCACCUCUGAGACGUGUUUCCAACCAACUGCUAAAAGUCCUGAUGUGUUCACAUGUAAUCCGGUCGUCGCACUGCUCCGGGUGUUUGGAGCGCAGACUGUUCUUGUGUUCAUCGACAUACGGGGUCACCAAGGUAGAGUUCUGUAGAACUAUGUAGUGUGCUUGAGACCAAGAAUAUCCGUCCCUGCAUAUUAUUGAGUCUCUUCCAAGAGUGCCUUUUCCAGUCAGUCUCCCCUCAUACCGCGAUUUAGGGAGACCUAUCUUGUUAAGGCCAGGAAUGAAGUCAACACAAAACCCGAUAACAUCCUCUGUUUGAUGGUCCAUGGAGAUGCUUCCUUCUGGCCUAGCGCGAUUACGGACAUAUUUCUUUAGGACUCCCAUGAACCUCUCAAAGGGGAACAUAUUGUGUAGAAAUACGGGCCCCAGGAUGACAAUCUCGUCGACUAGAUGAACUAGGACGUGCGUCAUGAUAUUGAAGAAGGAUGGUGGGAACACCAGCUCGAAACUGACAAGACAUUGCGCCACAUCACUCGUUAGCCUUGGUACGAUUUCUGGAUCGAUCACCUUCUGAGAGAUUGCAUUGAGGAAUGCACAUAGCUUCACAAUGGCUAAUCGGACGUUUUCCGGUAGAAGCCCCCUCAAUGCAACCAGAAGCAGUUGCGUCAUAAUCACGUGGCAGUCAUGAGACUUUAGGUUCUGAAACUUUUUCUCUGGCAUAUUUAUUAUUCCCUUUAUAUUCGACAAGAAGCCAGUCGUGACCUUCAUACUGAGCAGGCAUUUAAAGAAGAUUUCUUUCUCUUCUUUCGUAAGAGCGUAGCUGGCAGGACCUUUAUACUGCUUCGGAGGCAUGCCGUCUUUUUCGUGCAAACGUUGCAGGUCCUCCCAUGCCUCAGGUGUAUCUUUUGUCUUCCCAUACACGCCCAAGAAGCCUAGCAGGUUCACGCAAAGGUUCUUCGUCACGUGCAUCACGUCAAUUGAGGAGCGGACCUCUAGGUCUUUCCAGUAGGGUAGGUCCCAAAAUAUAGAUUUCUUCUUCCACAUGGGUGCGUGUCCCUCAGCGUCAUUCGGAAUAGCUAGUCCACCGAGACCCUUUCCAAAGAUUACGUAGUGUAAAUCAUUGACCAUAGCAAGCACGUGAUCACCGGUGCGCAUGGCGGGCUUCUUCCGGUGAUCUGCAACGCCUUUGAAAUGCUUGCCUUUCUUUCGACAUUGAUGGUUGGUCAGAAGAAAUCGACGAUGGCCCAGGUACACAUUCUUCCUACAUUUGUCCAGGUAUAUACUUUCAGUGUCAUCUAAACAGUGCGUGCAUGCGUGGUAUCCUUUGUUUGUCUGUCCUGAAAGGUUACUGAGAGCGGGCUAAUCGUUGAUGGUCAUGAACAGCAACGCCUUAAGGUUAAAUUCCUCCUGUCUGUGCUCAUCCCACGUACGUACACCAUUUCCAUUCCAAAGCUGUAAAAGUUCUUCAACUAAUGGCCUUAGGUACACAUCAAUGUCGUUGCCGGGUUGCUUAGGGCCUUGGAUGAGAACUGGCAUCAUAAUGAACUUCCGCUUCAUGCACAUCCAAGGAGGAAGGUUAUACAUACAUAGAGUCACAGGCUAGGUGCUGUGAUUGCUGCUCUGCUCCCCGAAAGGAUUAAUUCCAUCCGCGCUUAAGGCAAACCAUACAUUCCUUGGGUCCUUUGCAAACUCAUCCCAGUACUUUCUCUCGAUUUUUCUCCACUGCGACCUGUCAGCGGGUGCUCUCAACUUCCCAUCUUUAUUUCGGUUCUCACUGUGCCAUCGCAUCAACUUGGCAUGCUCUUUGUUUUUUAACAGACGUUUCAACCGUGGUAUUAUAGGAGCAUACCACAUCACCUUCACAGGAACCCUCUUCCUGGGGGGCUCGUCGUCAACAUCACCAGGGUCAUCUCGUCUGAUCUUAUACCGCAAUGCACCGCAUAUCGGGCAUGCGUUCAGAUCCUUGUAUGCACCGCGGUAGAGGAUGCAGUCAUUAGGGCAUGUAUGUAUAUUCUCCACCUCCAAUCCUAGAGGGCAUACGACCUUCUUUGCUGCGUAUGUACUGUCGGGCAAUUCGUUAUCCUUUGGAAGCUUCUUCUUCAAUAUUUUCAGUAGCUUCUCAAAUCCUUCGUCAGCCACAGCAUUCUCUGCCUUCCACUGCAGCAAUUCCAGUACGGUACCAAGCUUUGUGUUGCCAUCUUCGCAAUUGGGGUAUAACCCUUUUUUGUGCUCCUCUAACAUGCGAUCGAACUUCAGCUUCUCCUUUUGACUAAUGCAUUGCGCCCUUGCAUCGACAAUGACCCGGCGGAGAUCAUCAUCAUCGGGCACAUCGUCUGGUUCCUCUUGAUCUUCAGCAGCUUCACCCAUUGUAGCAUCAUUGGGCACAUCGUCUGGUUCCUCUUGAUCUUCACCAGCUCCCCCGUUGCAGCAUCACCGUAUUCAGGGGCCACAUAGUUGUCAUCAUACUCUUCUUCUUCACCGUCUUCCAUCAUAACCCCUAUUUAUCCGUGCCUCGUCCAAACAUUAUUAGUUUGGCAUGAAACCCUUGUAAAGCAGGUGGGAGUGAAGGAUUUUCUGGUUAGAGUAAGACCUCGUAUUCCCACAUUCAGUGCAUGGACAACACAUAAAACCAUUCUGCUUGUUUGCUUCAGCCGCAUCGAGAAACUCAUGCACGCCCUUAAUGUACUCGCGGGUGUGUCUGUCAUCGUACAUCCGUUGCCGGUUCAUCUUCGUGCAUUAUAUAUAAUUAAGUGUCCAAAUUAAUAGAAGUUCAUCAUCACAUUAAAACCAAAGUGCAUACAUUCUCAUCUAACAACAUAUAGCUCUCCAGAGCAUCUAAUUAAUUAAACCAUACAUUGAAACUAUGUAAAACAUUUCAAUGUGAAAACAAAUGCGAUCAUAAUCGCAACCAAGGUAACAAUUGAUCCAACGGCAUAAUGAUACCAAGCCUCGGUAUGAAUGGCAUAUUUUCUAAUCUUUCUAAUCUUCAAGCACAUUGCAUCCAUCUUGAUCUUGUGAUCAUCGACGACAUCCGCAACAUGCAACUCCAAUAUCAUCUUCUCCUCCUCAUUUUUUUAUUUUUUCCUUCAACAAAUUGUUUUCUUCUUCAACUAAAUUUAACCUCUCGACAAUAGGGUCGGUUGGCAUUUCCGAUUCACAUACAUCCUAGAUAAAUAAAAUCUAUGUCACGUUGGUCGGCAUAAUUUUCAUAAACAAUAAAUGAGCCAAUAGUUAUAAAGAUAAUAUACAUACCACAUCCGAAUCAUAGACAGGAUGAGGGCCGACGGGGGCGGAUACCAAGACCAUCGCACUAUAUAAGAUGCAAUAAUAAAUGUAAGAAAAUGAUACAAGUAUCUAUCUAAACAUACAAGUAAGAAUAUUUUUCCUUUCAGAAAGAAGAUAAGAACAAGAGGCUCACCACGGUGGUGUCGGUGAUGAGAUCGGCGCGGGUGAUCGACGGCGGUGAAGACGGGGACGAGGCGUGACGAACCGCUAAAUCUAGACAAAUCUCGAGGAAAAUGGAGCUUGGAGGUCGAGCUUCGAGAGGAGAAAGCUUAAGUAGUGUGGCUCGGGCAUUCCAUCGAACACCUCAUGUGCAUAGGAGGUGAGCUAGAGCACCACAAACCCCUCCCCUCGCCGGCCAGAGAAAAACAGAGCACUGGAGUGCUCUGCUCGCGGGCAAGGGUAUAUAUAGGCACCUCUUUGGUCCCGGUUCGUGGCAUGAACCGGGACUAAAGGUGGUGGGCCAGGAGCGAGGCCGAUUGGUCUCGGUUCAUCCCACCAACCGGGACCAAAAGGUCCAGAUGAACCGGGACCAAUGGCCCAUGUGGCCCGGCCGGCCCCCUAGGCUCACGAACCAGGACCAAUGCCCACAUUGGUCCCGGUUUUAGACUGAACCGGGACUAAUGGGCUGACCCGGCCUGGACCAUAGCCUUGUUUUCUACUAGUGAGUUGUUUUGGACUUUCUUUGGUCUACUCCUCUAUGCUUCUUAUUGGGAAAGUUAGUAUGCAAAAGUUAUGCCCAUCUUCUUAAAUUCGGAUGUAACUUUUCGAGUAGAUGAUUUUUCAUAUAAAAAACUUUUUCAUCCGAGUUAGUAUGCAAAAGUUAUGCCCAUUUUUACAAAUUUCAGAGAGAUUUUGCAAAUAAAGUCAAAAUUCACAUUUGCAAAUUUUCCCAACAACUAGACCACAUAUCACAUGGGAAACUUAUUUUCUUUUAUUUUUUUGACAUUUCCAUCAUUUUCUUUUAUUUUUUUUAAAACUGAAAAGGCGAUCCACAGGGGGGGGUAGAGUUUGAAAAUGGGACCUUUAGUACCGGUUCGUGGCACGAACCGGGACUUAAGGUCUCAACCCCAUUAGUCCCGGUUCGUGCCUCAAACCGGGACUAAAGGUCUAAUCUUUAGUCCCGGUUUGAGGCACGAACCGGGACCAAUGGUUGUGGGCCAGGAGCGAGGCCCAUCGGUCCCGGUUCAUCCCACCAACCGGGACCAAAAGGUCCAGAUGAACCGGGACCAAUGGCCCACGUGGCCCGGCCGGCCCCCUGGGCUCACGAACCGGGACCAAUGCCCCCAUUGGUCCCGGUUCUGGACUGAACCGGGACUAAUGGGCUGACCCGGCCUGGACCAAAGCCCUGUUUUCUACUAGUGAGUCCAAUCUUGUGUUUAUUCCUCCAUGUCGGCAAAGAGUCAGUAGUCAAUCUCCAAGCAAAAUUACGCACAGUGGGGGGGUACAUCACAUCUCCAUAUAUAUUGCCAGCAUUUUCUACUACCAUCUGGCGAUGUGCUAGACGCCUCUGCAGUAUUUCUGUGAGCUACUUCAAAAGCCAACAUAUAUCCUGAUUUGACCGUGAAGACGCCGAGCUUCCCCGGCCCCCAUGCAAUCACAUCCUCACCUAAUCUUGGAGAUGCCCGUAUCUUUAAUAGUUCUUCCACAUCAGCUGAUAAGAAAUACUGCUGAAGAAGUACCAAGUUCCAAGAACCAUUAUCAUUUAGCAAGUCGGACACAAAACGAAUGCGACAUCUUCCUUGCAGUGACACAGGUUUGUAUGAAAAGGGACUUGGAAUCCAGUUAUAUCUCCCCUUUGUUGGUAGUCAGAGUCACUAGGACAACUAACUGUGUUAGCAUCUAGAGUUGUAACAAGCCACAGUCCGCCUAUCUUGGGUGUGCAGCGAUGAUGCUACCAUCUCCUACUACAAAGUACACGCCUUGCACCGGAAACAGCGCAACCAUAUGACAUCUAUCCGAGUGGGCGACCACGUGGUGACCGGGCAUGAGGCCAUGGAUGAGGCCACCUACAACCACUUCUCCGAUGUGCUCGGAAGUACCACGGAGCAUGACAUCACGCUUGAUCUCCGCGUUUUGCGUGUUCAACACAAUGCUACUCCGUGCGGUGGACCUAGGCCUUCUUCGACGCCUUACCACUCGGCACGCGGCCUCGAGUAUAUCGCUAUACGCGGACGAUGUUGUCAUCUUUUGUCACCCGGACAACCACGACAUUACCACCGUGUGAACCAUCCUGCACAUAUUCGGGCUUCAUACAAACUUCGCCAAGUGCUCUGCCACCCCGAUCCAGUGCGAUGAUGACAACAACAUGAUGAUCACAUCUGAGAUGCCGUGCCCCAUAGCCCAAUUCCCCAUCACAUACCUCGGGUUGCCUCUCUCUGUCUGCAAGGCCUCCACGACUAGCUUGCUCCCGAUCAUCGACAAGCUCGGCCACAAGCUCUCCACUUGGCAUGCUUCCAUGAUGUCCAACGAGCAACGGCGACCGCCUUGCUCUCGUGCAUCACGUACUUAGUGCUAUCCCGACAUACUUCCUCACCGCCUUUGCUCUCAACCAAUCCAUCCUCAAGAAAUUCAACCGCAUCAUCCGCAGAUUCCUUUGGGCGGGAGGCACCGAAGGCAAUGGGGGUCAGUGCCGUGUUAACUAACAGCAAGUUUGCCGGCCAAUCUCUCUUGGCGGUCUUAGCAUCAGGGACAUUCAAAGGACCGGCAUCACCCUCCGUGUGUGGUUGCUUUGGUUACAGUGCACCGAUCCCUUGCAACCCUGGAGCCACUUACACAUACCUCACGACCCAGACGUGACUGCCAUCUUCAGCGCAUCUACGACCUGGGAUCUUGGGUCCGGCGUCACCUGCAGAUUCUGGUAGGACCACUUGAUAGAGGGUAGAUCCGUGGCUGAGAUCCCCCCAGUCCUCGCCUCGUCCCACGACACCGACGCAAGACUCGCACCAUUCGCGAGGGCCUCCACCUUAGAGCCUGGGUGGAAGAGAUUCAUGGAGCACUCGGACCGACGGCCAUGUUGCAAUAUGUUGAUCUUGAGCGUCGUGUGCGCCACAUUGACCAGAUGAGCCGGAUACACUCAAAUGGCGCUGGACCGCCUCCUCUAUGAAAUGUUUAUGAUGGGAGAAUUUAAAUUCUUCUUAGGUCUUCAAAUUCUUCAACAGCGCAAUGGCAUCUUCAUAUUUCAAGAGAAUACCUCAAGGAUGUAUUGUGGAAAUUCGGCAUGAAAGAUUGCAAAGGCGUCAAAAUCCCUAUGCCCACAAAUGGCCAUCUAUGCACUGAUGAAAAUGGUAUUGACUUUGAUCAAAAGAUAUACCGCUCCAUGAUUGGUUCUUUAUUGUAUUUAUGUGCAUCUAGGCCAGAUAUUAUUCUUAGUGUUUGCAUGUGUGCCUGAUUUCAACCUACACUGAAGGAAUCACACCAUAAGGCUGUGAAGCAUAUUCUUCGUUAUCUAGCUCACACACCAACACUUGGAUAUGGUAUCCCAAGGGCUCGGCUUUUGAUCUCAUUGGGUACUCACUCUAACUAUGCUGGUGAUCCUGUGGACCGCAAGUCAACAUCAGGCACAUGCCAUUUCCUCAGACGAUCCUUGGUCUGUUGGUCCUCGAAGAAACAGAACUGAGUAUCACUGUCUACUACUGAAGCUGAGUACAUUGCUGCUGGUUCUUGCUGUUCUCAAUUGCUAUGGAUGAAGCAAACCCUCAAGGACUACGGCGUCAAUGUAAAGAAUGUGCCUCUCUACUGUGACAAUGAGAGUGCCAUCAAGAUUGCUCAUAACCCACUUCACCAGUCGAAGACAAAGCACAUUCAGAUUUGUCAUCAUUUUCUUCGUGAUCAUGUAUUGAAGGGCGACAUUUCUAUUGAGCAUGUGAAGACUGGAGAACAGCUAGCCGGUAUCUUCACAAAGCCUUUGGAUGAGAAGAGAUCUAGCAAGUUGCGGUGUGAGCUAAAUAUCCUAGAAUCUUUGAAUGUCCUUUGAAAAGGACACACAUCCUAACACUUGUGCAAAGUUGAUGACUUAGACGUGCAACACACGGAGAAACGUUUUUCUUCAUUCAAUGAAGAUUAACACUCUAGGUGUGAACAAAUUAACGAAGAAUUUGAUUCUCAGAGCCCUUCAACAAUUGUACAUGGUGUUUGAAAUCAUCAUUCUUAUACGGUGGGUCACGCCACCACCAAAAGUUGAAAAUCUUGAAUUUGAGUUUUUACUCAUUUUUGAAUUUCCUCAGUUGUUCAAAUUCUUCAACUUUUCGAUGUCUUCACUCUUUCCGUUGUUGUUCUUCAUUGGCUAUAUAUAUAUAUAUAUAUAUAUAUAUAUAUAUAGGGUGGGUCUAUUAUGAUAACACCCUUUAAGACCCUUAUUCUGCUAACACCCAGCUUAUUCUGCUAACACUACCUACCUCGCCGUAGCUACAGACUAACCCAAAAAACAACUGGACCGAACUGCUCGCACAAAGGGAAAACCCAGCCCACCUUAUCUUCUCAUACCCACUCCCCCCCAAUUCCCUCUCUAUCUCUCCCGCAACCUCCCUUGCGCGGACGCCGCCAAACCACCACCUCCCCUGUGCCGCCGCACCGCAACCUCCUCUGUGCGGCCGAGUCCGCUCCCCGGCGACUCCUGAUCCGCAGCUCCCCCCAUCACCCCUGCCUUCCUCUGCGCGCCGCCGCUCCGGGUCACGGCCACCGCGUUCGACCACCAGCAGCACAUCAGUACGGCGGUAGUGCGGCCCCGCUUCCGUUCCUCCAUGGCCGACCCCCUACCUCCCACCUUCUCCCUCCUGCCCCGAUCGACAACCUCCAUCGCCGCCCCGGUCGUGUUGCCCCUCCAGACCCCACGCCGCCGGAUCCAGGCAACCACGCCGGCGUGCCCUUCCACGAGCUUUCCCGUCACGACCCUACCACGAGCUGCUCCAGCCCGACCCUGCUUCUUCGAGAACAGCACAGUGGCAACUCCCCUUAGUUCUCUCCUGCACCGGGGUCGCGAGCUCCGUUCACGGGCUCGUCGGAUCUCGUGAUUGGGGCGCUGGCGACGUGCUCUUCUACUCCACCGCGCCCCUCCUCUACUUCAGCUCCUGUGCCCGUGCCUCUCGUGGACUCAUCGGCGCAUAGGCCGCGCUGGAUCCAUGCUGGUUCGAGGCCCCGACGGCCUCCUCUUCCUGCUAAGUCACCGAGAUCCGUCGGGGUAUCAAGUUGUUUUGUCGGCCCAAUACUCCUUCUACCUUCCCUUGCCGGCGUUCGUGCAACUUCGGUGAACACCGCUACUCGCGCGCGGAUGACGACGAUGCAGUGGCACUGCAGUUCGCUUUGCAGGGGAUCCGUUGAUGCAGCCGUGGAGUUCGGCCCACAGGUGCAUGAAGUUAUCUUCCCCCCCUCCCACAGUUUACCCUUCCACAUGAGCCCCAUGCUGUAGUCCAUUGGGAAGAAGCUCAUGGUGCGGAUGUGCGGAUGCUUAGUGACAGUGCUGAUGCGUUUCAGAUUUUGUUUUUCUACAAUUUGUAGGCGAUGCUGGAGCCUUGCAGUCCAUUGCCUCGGGGGCGAGCAGUGGAGAGGACACACGUGCGUGCAGUUCCCUGUCCAUUGAAAAUGUAGAAGCCCAUCUUGCUGUAGUGUAUGUGAGCAUAUGGCCAGCAAGUGCUGCUCUUUUCCCAGAUUGAAAACAUUGCGGUGUGGUUGGCUGGCCAUCGACGUGCACUUCGCUUUGGGGGGGGGGGGGCAGUACGUUCUUUGUGGACGUGCACUUCGUUCGGCUCGAGCGGCAUGAAGCUCCGUUUGCGCGCAUGUGUGGCUCGGCUAACUAGUUUGUGCAGUUCGCAUGAUACCUUUAUUAUGUGAUGCCUCCCUAGUUGUUGGAGUUCACUUCUUUGUAUUUAUUGAAACAUCAUGUAGUGCACUGUGAAACUCUCUGUUGUUCACUUGUAAAAACAAAUAGCGGUUCCCUUUGUAAAAAAAGUGCAGCCCCUUAGUGGUUCACCUUGUAGAAAAUGAGAAAGAAAUCCCCAUGGGAGGUUCACUUCUUUUUCUAAUGCAAUUUGUUUAGUUUGUGGGAUGAUUGAAAAAAGAAGUUCACUCCACUUGUUUAGCAGCUCAUACCCCUUUGUAUGAAAUGCAAUUUGUUUCGUGUGUCUCAAAAUCAGUCAACUACAUCAACACGUGCAGUGCGUUUGGUUUUCGGAUGUGGUUCAUUUUUUAGAGUGAUGUUGUUCACUUGUGCCGAACAUGAAAGCGCAAAAAAAUUAGCAAAACAAUAAAAAUAGUAAUGCGGUUCACUACGAUAUAUGAUGUGGUUCGCUUGCUCGCGUCUCUGCGGUCCACUCUUGUUCAUAAAAAAAUUGAAAAAAAACAUCAAAAACUCGUCCGAGAAAAAUUUACAUCCGACAAAGGAAACCAUGAAGUUCACUUGCCUGUCUAAUGCAGUGCGGUUUCGUCCGAUGCAGUGCGGUUUUCUGUCGAAUGACGUUCACUCACCGAUUUGGGUGUCGCAAAAAACAGUGUCCGCAUUUUCGUAAUUUUAAAAUUGCUCUUAAACCGUAAGGAAUUAAAGAGAGUGUUCUACAUGAAAAAGUUGCGUCUCAUCGAUAUCUUUCCAAUGCCAUAUCAUUUGAAUCAUUUUGACAAGCAGUUUGUAAAAAUUUCGCAAAAAACGACCGCUGCCACUCAUCGUCCGCCGCACCAUUUUAAAAAUUAACUUAAAAACGUAAGGAAUCUCGAAACCAUUUCUACAUAUGAAAGUUGCGCCUUGUCCAUAGCUUUCCAACGACAUAUUACACACCUCAUUUCAAUAAACGGUACAAAAACUAGAGUGAAAACAGUAUCGAAAAUUGCAAAAAUUUCAAAAAACGUAAUUUCGCGAUUUAGUAAAUUUGAAACUGCUCUUAAACCGAAAAGAAUUAGAGAAAAUAAUAGAUAUGGAAAAGAUGCGCCUCAACGAUAUCUUUCCAACGGCGUAUCAUUUGCUUUAUUCCGAUGAGAGGUUUUGAAAAAAUCAUGAAAAUACGCUCGCUGCCACUCGUCGUCCGCAUCACCGUUUUUGAAACUGCUCUUAAACCGCGAGGAUCUCGAGAAGUGUUCAACAUGGCAAAGUUGCGCCUAAUCCAUAGCUUCUCCACAGUAUAUUACACGCGUCAUUCUGAUAAACGGUUAAAAAAUUAGAGCGAAAAAACUACCGAAAAUACACAGCGUGUAGUUUUUUCGACACGAAGUUCACUCGCCUGAGUACUGCAGUACACUUGGUUCAAACAAUGACGCGUGCUUGUGUUGAGCGUGCACUUGGUUUAAUAAAUAUUCUGCUAAUAUUAGCAUUAUAGACCGACUAUAUAUACAUCUGGGCUAUUCUGUUAUGCGUAACAGGAUAUUAUUCUGUUACCCUAUGGUGAAUUCAAGCGGUUGAACUGAUGCUUUCUAUUCCUGUUAAAAAUCGUCUUCUUUAGUUCAAAAGUUUUUGCAAUUUUUUUAUCAAAACAGGGCGUGUAAUAUAUCGUUGGAAAGCUCUUGACAUCCACAUUACAAUCUUAUAAUUUGUUUUUGCAAAAAAAUUAUGAUUUACGAGCAGUUUUGAAAAAACCGUUUUUUUCAAACGGAAAACGUGAAUCAUAUUUUGGACUUAAUUUUCAAAAGGUUUGUCGGAAUUGAGCAAAUGAGACGGCAUUGGAAAGCUUGUGAAAAUCCGCAUCUUCUAUAUUUCUACUAUUUUUUCAAAUUCUAUAUGAUUUAAAAGUAAUUUAAAAAACAAUGAAAUUUUGGGCGAAAUGUUUUUUCACUGUUUUUUUGCAAAUGGUUUGUAGGAUUGACACAAAUGAUAUGGUGUUGGAAAGCUAUGAAAAAUGCGCAAAUUUUGCGUAUAGAAAGUUUUUUCUAAUUCCUUACGGUUUAAAUACGAAUUCAAAUACGGUUAAAAUUGAUUUUGAACGUGUUUUUUAAAAAGUUUGUCGAAAUGGGGAAAAUAAUAUACCGUUGGAUAGCUAUCGAAAAUGCAAAACUUAGUCCUGUUGGACGUGUUCUCUACUUCGCAACCAUUUAAGAGUAAUCUUGAAUACGGCAUGACGGAUCCUGCUGUUUUCUCGUCUGAAAAACAAAUUAGUCGUACUGAUAUAUGUGUAUGUUUGUACUGAGCUAUUUUUUGUAGAGUAAUUUUAAAUGGUUCCGAAAAAAUGUACUUAUACUGAUGCUUGCAUGGUUUUGUACUAAACGUGUUUUCACUAACUAGGCUUUGCUCUGUUUUUUUGUGAGACCCAUCAUGCUGUUUUUUCGGGAGAAAAAAUAGAGUACUUGUACUGAUCUACGUGUGUGUUUGUACUGAUGUAUUCUUCGAAGAGUAAUUUUGAAAGGUUCCGAAAAAAGAGUACUUGAACUGAUGUCCGUAUGGGGUUGUACUGAGCGUUUUUUCACAGACUAGAGUUUACUCUAUUUUUUACCGAAAAUUGUUUCAUCAAUUGUUCGCAAAUGAUAGUACGAACUAAGAUAUGUGUUGGUUUGUACAGAGCAUUUGUUUCAUCAGUUGUUUGCAAUUGAUAGUACGAAUGGAGCUUUGUUCAUUUUUAUACUGAGCAUUCUUGUCAGUGCCAGGAUCUCCGAAUUUAUGUUGUUUUGUUCUGCGAACUUCCUCAAAAUUUUAUUGGUAAAUCACACCGUUUUUUUCUUUUGCUAAAUUUUUGUCCUCUGAACUUGUGACCUAUGGAGUUUGUACUGAUAUGAAUCGUUUUGCCGAACCGCCACAAUUUUUUGUGUAUUGAAUCACUAUAUAACUUAGAACCAAAUUUUUUUUCUUAACAUAUAUUUGAAUUGUUUCUAUAUGUACAUUGAAUUGCGGAAGAGUAGCAAUAGUUAUACAUACUUUAUGGAUAGUAAUACAUGAAUUUCUUGGUAAACUGAAGAAUGUACUCUGGACCGUAAUACAUGUCCUCUCGAGUUUGUACUGAUGUGAAUCCUUUUGAACUUGCUCUCGACGGUAAUACAUGCCCUCUCGAGUUUGUACUGAUGUGAAUCCAUUCGAACUUACGUGGCUUACAUCAUUGAACGGACUCUAUUCUUCUCACUACCACCAUUGUUCUGUCCAUUUCUUUUCGGACUUGCAUGGCUUACAUCGUUGAACGGGCUUAGGUGGAUAUGUACUAAUGAACUACUGUGAUUUGUAGCUCUCAGGAAAUGGAAUCCUUUCUUUCCCUGUUAUUCUGAAUACCAAACAGCAAAAAAUCAGUUCUCAUAAGCACGAAAAAAAUUAUAUAUGUACCCCUAAAUUUUGCAACUAUUUUGUCCUCUUUCAUUUUGAAAAAAGCAUACAAAAAGCAAAAGCACAAACUAUACAAAAGGUUUUAGACACCAAACCAGUAGAGAAUUAAAAAUAGGCAUCAGGCAGCAACUUGCGAAACAUAGCACGAGUCAUAUACAUACGCAUUUCAUCCCAUUAUACUUCUCCACCCGCAUGGAAAGUGAGAGAACCUCCCUACAUGCAUAUACAGGCAUCAAACUCCCUCUGUACCUAAACUAUAUUUUUGUUUGAUAUAUAUUGUGAACUCCUCUUGUCGAUGUACAUCAACCUGCUGUGCAGAGAGAUGAAAUGUAGUACAUCAGUCUAGCUUCAUUCAGCUAGAGAGAAACAUGAAAAAAUGUUCAGUUUUUUGGACGGCUUUCCUCUUUUUCUUUGUCCAAUUCUGCGCCACGACUGCCAGCAUCCUGCAUGCAAGCUUAAAAUUAAUUGAAGCCACCAAACAUGCACUUUCAUGAGACUUUGCUACUAUAAGUCAGCAAACAUAUCUUUUAGUAUUAAACCAAAGGCACACUUAUUACCCAUCACUCUUGUUCAGUUCAGAGCAUCAUCAAUAAGAUAAAGAUACGAAAACAUUAAGCCAAUAUAGAACAACUGGAUUGAUUUGAUUCAAAUUUUUUACUUUCAAUGCAUUGUAGGCAACAGCCGAUCCAAGUCAGAACUGAUGUGAUUUAUUCCAUCGAACUGAUAUGAAAGUUUAUCUAUACUGUUCUGUUUUUAACACACACGUUUUGAACUAUUCCCGCUUUUUUCAUUAUGAAUUGAUGACAUAAGACAUGUUGAACUGUUACACAAGAGCAAAAUUCAGAAAUACAUAACAAUGGUGUACUCAAAAUAUGUGCAUUUUAAGGAACAAAACUUUCUAAACCUUCUAUACGAAAAACUUCAACUAUCAGUCCAAAGAGAUUUUAAGUUAAACAAUCAUUUCCCUUACCGAGUGUUAAGGAAAACGAAACCAGAGAUGACCUCGCCGGCAGUAGGAGUAGCGAUCGCUGCCAAGGCGAUGCGUUGGUACAUGUACUAAAUAUCUGCUCAAACCUGUUGUAACAUCUACUUCAAGCUUUUUCUAAAGCAUUGUUGGGAGUAGAGGGUUUUAAAAGAAAAUACAGAGUGCCAAAGAAAGAAAGGAACAACCUGUUUAUCUAAAUGACUAUGAUAUUUGGCACACGUGUGCCAUAUAAGCAAAACUGCCACACCUCUAUUUCUUUCAUUUUAAAGUACCAUACGAUCCCUCGUUCUUUGACCCCGCCUCUUCCCAAAUUACCCCGCAGGCUCGCCUAAGAAACCUGCUUCUCCCACACAUCUCGGGCGCUUACCCCCGAGAAAACUGCCACUUCUUCACGUCUACCACAUGAUUUCUCCUCAGGACAAAGUUACCAUGAUAUUCAUAUGAAAGUUAUCAGGCCUGUGUUGCAUAACUUACCGUACUAUUUACAUAGAAUGUAUCAGGUACUAUGCUUCAACAACUACACCCUUUCAAAGUUACCACUGUGUUUUGUACACAAGUUAUAAGGUCUUCGAUGUGUAAAAUACUGUGGUACUUACACAUAAGUUAUCAGGGUAUAUGUACAUCAACCUCCCCCCGGUCAAAGUUACCAUGGGGGAUUGUACAUGAGUUACCGGGUCUACGGUUCGUAUAUUAUCAUGGUACUUGCACCUAAAAACCUGGGUGUGUUUCGGUAGCUUUUCUCAUAGGUCAAAAAUUACCAUGAUGUUUUUGCGUAACUUAUCACGCCUAUAGCACGUGUGCCCCUCGUGACACUAAACAUUAUGUGACUUUCCCGUGGCACGCCAUGUGUUGUGUUCAUCCAAGAGGCCCACGCGCGAGGCGAGUGUAUGUUUUUAACAACUUAUAUAUUUUCCUUUGGUAAAAAAGCUAUCAUCAUGUUUAUAUUGCAAGUUAUCGGUUAUGCGGUGCUUAUAUUAUCAUGUUAUUUACACAAAAAUUAUUGGGGAUGUUUUGAACAACUUUUUCCCGAGGCAAAAAGUUAUCAUGGUGAUUCUAGGUAACCUAUCAAGCCCAUAGUGCUUAAAAUAUCAUGCUAUUUACAUAAAAUUUAUCAGGGAUAUGUUUCAGCAACAAAUUCAACCCCCCCAUGGGUCAAAAAUUUAUCAUGGUGUUUAGUUAUCGCAGUGCAUAUGUUUUCAUACUAUUUACACAUAAAAAUGCCAUGGGAGGGAGGUAUACUACCGUGCUAUUUACACAGAAGUUACCGGAGUAUCUUAAAAAAAUUCCCUACGGUCAAAGUUACCAUGGUGCUUCUACCUCAGUUAUCAGAUGUGUGCUGCGUAUAUUACCAUCUAUUUACACAUAAACUAUCAGGUAUCUUUUCACAUUUGUUUUCCCCAAUGGUUAAAGUUACCACGAUGUUUGUAUCUAAAUUACCAGGUCUAUGGCGUGAAUGUUAUUGUACUAUUUACAGAAAUUAUCGGAGGGCGGGUUCAACAAAUUUAUUCCCAAUGAUCAAAGUUACCACGAUGCUUGAAACAAAGAGUUGCUAACAUAUUAAAGGCAAAAACAUGUCAAAACAGUAUUACCCUUAGAAUGUUCAACAAUGAGUAUCAUAGGUGAGGUGGUUAGCUCCCUUUGUUAAUUACCUGCAGACCAGAGAUCAAAUCCUAGUCUAAGCAUUAUUUUUGCUGAAAAUCGAGAAGGCAUGUGGGGCCAUAAAUGACCAUUAUGAAAAUUAGGAAGGCACAAGCAGGAGGAAUUGAUGACAUUGGAUGCGUGUGGCAGUUUCGCAAUCUGGCACACGGUUGCCAUAUACAUAUUUCGUUAUCUAAAUAGUGUGUGGAAUUGUUUAUACGGAUGAACAAAACAUUACUUGAAGUAGAGGUUCUUCCAAAAUAAAGAAAGAGCAUCUUGUAGGUUCAAGUUUGAGUAGUUGAGCCAGACAAUUUAUCGUAGGCGUUGUAUGUAAUAAUAAUUUAAUUAUUUUCAUAGGAGUACGACUCAUAGUAUCGGCAUGGAGGUCGUGAACAAAAGCAGAAGUAUCCUUAAUUUUUUAUUAGUGACUGUAAUUUUCCUUAUAAAGAACAUACUACUCUCGUGUAAACCCAUCCCUCUAUAUAUGUACUGUCAAUUUUUUGCAAAUCGAACAAAUUGCGUAUGUAGCAAGUGCUAGUAUCUUGAAAUGAAGUUAUGCGUAUGCCCCUAAGAGUAGGUGAAUAGAAAAGUCGAACCAAAAAUGGCUUUCUCCUAAUAGUAAUCGUGCUAGAACUCAUUCAAAGCUGAAGUGAACUAUAAUUAUAACCAGCCUUUGUCAAUAGAAGUCCUACUGAUCACAAAUUCCUCUAAUUUCCUCCAGACUCAAGAUCAAGAUGGUGGACAGUGCACGGAUAUUACAAAAUUAACAAUUCACAAUACGAAUUAAAUAUCACAAAUUGCAAGGCACAAGUUUUGAGCACAUACAAUCUUUCAUUGGUAGGUAGCACUACAACUUUGGAGGUCAACACAUUAGGCAAACUCUUUGGAAUUAAGAUAGUGAAAAGUAAAUGUAUGCGAAAGCAAGCUUCAGUUUGGUAAACCAUCAAGCCCAGAUUGCUGCACUCCGAAUUUCCUUUAGACUCGUACACUACCUUCAGUUCAGCAAGCUUUAUGUUCAGCAAGUGUGUAACAAAACAAGAAUUGAACUGGAAUAGAAUUUGAAAUUUGAACUGAAAUACAAUACGAAAACUAAACUAAGUGUACUUUCAGAUUUUCACAUGGACAUCAGUGCAUGAAGCACCAAUGAAAUUGAACUGAAACAAACUUUAGUUCAACAAACUUAUAUGAAGUUAUAUGAAGCAUGCUUGAAUGCGUUGACCCGAAGCAUGCUUGUAGGAGAGUAGUGGCACUGGAAGGGAGCCUUUUGCUGAACUUAUAUGAAGUUAUAUGUACUUGUCUAACUUAUAUGGAACUUAUAUGAAGCCUUUUGCUGAACUUAUAUGAAGUUGACCAGACAAGAUGAUACCGGGGCGCAUCAGAAUAUAGGAGAGUGGUGAUGCAAGUCAGUCACCGGCUGGGUAAUGAAGCGGGUGGUAUGCGGCAUGGAGACAACCAGAAAAUGGGACAUCCAGGGGUAGGGAGCGUCGUCGCUGAAGAUCAGAGAGUGUGGAGCGCAGGCGUGCGGUGUCCCCCGGCCGGCACCGGAGACGAAGGAGAUCGGGGAUAGUGCACUUUUUUCGUCAGCCUGCAAGAUGCUCAAGGACCAGGACAACAUGUAGUUUCAGAAUUACAGAUUGUGGUCAGCUAUAGGAUGUUUCUGGGACCAUGUUUUAGCUACGAGAGAGCAACAACAUCACAUCAUGAGAGAGAGGAUGCAUCAUCAAAAAUUCAGGAGAAAGAUCAGAGCAGAGCAGAAGUAAAUAUGUUUUGAGGAGAUGAACUGACCAGGAUUUAAAUGAACUCUCACUAGCAGUAAUUUUUGUACUUUGCAUGUAGUACUACAUGGACUUGCUGUAAAAUACAUGGACCAUGUAGUAAUUUUGAAGUUAAUUAUAUGAUCAUCUCAGGGAGCUCAAGUUGUACUGAAAGCUCAAGUUGGACUAAAACUCACUCGAUAAUUGAAACUCCUAGGGCGAGGGGUGGGAUCCAGGGUGCUGCUAGCAAUGAACGGCCUGGGGUGGUGGCGUUGAAUGGCCUGGAGUGGUGGCUGUGAACAGCCAGGGUGCUCCGGCGGCAGAGCCCCACCGGAGAUGGUGAUGCAAGCAGGAGGUUGGGAAGCAGUGGUGCCGGUGGUCGGGGUCGUCCAAUGCACAUGGCACACCAGUACAGGAAGUUGAUUCAUCACCCAUCCACAGUUUUUUUCCUUUUUGGAAUCCAUUGAACUGAAAAAAGCUACAUGUGAGCUGAAAGUAUGAAAAUAACAUAUCUUUGAAAGAAUAAAGAACUAGCUUUAACAUAUCUAUGAAAGAAUACACCUCCGAGGAACUAGCUUUGAACAUAUCUCUGAAAGAAUAGAGAGCAUGCAAAGUUCAAGGAAAGAAUAAGCAAAAUGGCACACUAGUACGCAGUAGUACGAGUCCAGUCAUGUACGUGCUAGUAUUAGAUUUGAAUAGUAGCUAGAAUUGAAGUUCAGGUAACCAUGGCACACACAUCAUACAGUUUCAGUCAUGUAUGCACACACACUGUAAUAGUCGCUGCAAUUAAAGUUCAAAUAACCACGGCACCCAUAACAGAACAAGAAUCAGUCUAGCAGCUAGGCAAGCAAGCUUCAUCAGCAUGAAUACACAUCAGCGGCAAGCUAGAACAUGCUAGUAGGCUGUAGAAGUCUCCUUGUAUUUUUUCAAACAGAAGUGCUUUAGCUCAGUUCAGUAGUAAGGCAUGGAAAAAGAAAAGCAAUGGAAUAAACUAUAACCGAGCCAAAUAUGUAAUUUCAACAAACUAGACCUCAUUGCUUGACUUCAGUCGUAAUACACGAUCAUCAGUUCAAUAUAAACAGACUAAUGUUAAGAUCAUCGUACAUCCAUUGCCGGUUCAUCUGCGUGCAUUAUAUAUAAUUAACUAAUUAAGUGUGUCAAAAACCAUUACAGAACAGCAUGAAUACAGAAGACCAAAUUAAUAGAAGUUCAUCAUCACAUUAAAACCAAAGUACAGUAGUGAUCAAAUGUUAUUACUGAAAAAAUAAAUACAUAAAGUUCAUACAUAUAUAGUUCUCAUUGAACAACAUAUAUAUAGCUCUCUAGAGCAUCUAAUUAAACCAUACAUUGAAACAAUGUAAAACAUUUCAAUGCAACAACAAAUGCGAUCAUAAUCGCAACUAAGGUAACAAUCGAUCCAACGGCAUAAUGAUGCCAAGCCUCGGUAUGAAUGGCAUAUUUUCUAAUCUUUCUAAUCUUCAAGCGCAUUGCAUCCAUCUUGAUCUUGUGAUCAUUGACGACAUCCGCAACAUGCAACUCCAAUCCCAUCUUCUCCUCCUUAAUUCUUUUCAAUUUUUUCUUCAGGUAAUUGUUUUCUUCUUCAACUAAAUUUAACCUCUCAACAAUAGGGUCGGUUGGAAUUUCCGGUUCACAUACCUCCUUGAUAAAAACAUCUAUGUCACGUUGGUCGGCAUAAUUUUCAUACACACUAAUGAACACAAUAGUUAUAAAAUAUAAUAUAUACCACAUCCAAAUCAUAGACAGGACGAGGGCCGACGGAGGCGGAUACCAAAACCAUCACACUAUAUAAUAACAAAAAAUAAUAAAAGUAAGAAAAUUAUACAAGUAUCUAUCUAAAUCAUACAAGUAAGAACUUUUUUCUUUUAGAAGAUAAGAACAAGAGGCUCACCACGGUGGUGCCGGCGACGAGAUCGGCGCGGGCGAUCAACGGCGGUGAGGACGGGGACGGGACAGGAUGGACCACCAAACCUAGACAAAUCUUAAGGAAAAUGGAGUUUGGACAAGGAGCUUCGAGAGGAGAAAGCUUAAGUAUGUCUCGGGCAUUUCACCGAACACCUCAUGUGCAUAGGAGGUGAGCUAGAGCACCACAAAGCUCUCCCACGGCCGGCCAAAAAACAGAGCAAUGCACUGCUCUGCUCGCGGGCAGGGGGAUAUAUAGGCCUCUCUUUAGUCCCGAUUUGUGGCUAGAGCCGGGACUAAAGGACCCCAUUUGGUCCUGGUUCCAACCACCAACCGGGAUUAAAGGUUGUGGGCCAGGAGCGAGGCCCAUUGGUCCUGGUUCGUGUCUGGAAGCGGGACCAAAGGGGUCAGACGAAUCGGGACCAAUGGCCCCCGAGGCCCGGCCGGUGCCCUGGCUUUACAAACCGGGAUUGAUGCACCCAUUAGUCCCGGUUCAUAGGGAAACCGGGAUUAAUGCCCUUUUCAGACCUGGACCAAAGCCCUAUUUUCUACUAGUGUUGUAGGCCUCGCUCACAUGAAGUAAGAACGGUCGGUGACGAUGCCUCAUAAAGUCCAUGGGGUGCAAUCAUAGUUGGUGGUGCAGGGGAGGAAGUAACCUUCUUUGAUGGGGAUUCCAUCACACGCUUGUUUGUCAUGUAGACGCGUCCUCUUAAUUUCUAUUCAGCUUUACAGGCAAGACGAAACAAAUGAUCGAUAGAAUAUAGUCUUCAUGCAUUAUUAUGUCUUGUAUAUCAUGGUUUAAACCUUUCCAAAAUCGAUUCAGAAAAUCUUCUUCGCAUUCUUCUAAGCCAGAACGAAACAAAGCAAUACACAAAUUGUCAUAAUAUUCUUCAACAGUGAUAUUGUCUUGUGCUAAACAUUGUAAUUUUCUAAGAAAAUCACUGGCAUGAUAUGAAGAACAAAUCGGUCUCGCAUAACAAGUUUUAAAUCUUUCCAAGUAGAAGACCUAUUAUCAAUAUUUUUCCUGCAAUAAUUUCUCCACCAAACUGAAGCAAAACCUAAAAACACUUUAGUGACAAUAUUUAUUUUCUUAUGCUUGGGAAGUUCAUGGCUAGCAAAUAUUUCUUCUACCUCAAUUUCCCAAUCAAUAUAUGAAUCAGGGUCAUAUUUACCCUUAAAAUUUGGCAAAGAGGUAACAUGAUGAUGUGUGUCUCUACCAUGAUGUAUAUCAUGUGACGAUCGUCGUACCUUUUGUGGUGGGAAAGAGUGAUCUUUAUCAAUAUAUGGCAAGUCAUCUCCCACAAUAGACGCACCCCAACUGUCAACCGCUCUAAAAUCUGCCAUGGUUAGUACCACACAAAAAACAAAAAUAAUAAGUAUAAUGUUUCUAUAGUACUAUUUGGUGGUGGCAGAAAAAUUAUCUCAAAACUCUAGCAAUUACCAAGCUCUUACCAGAUCUUACCGUGCUGCAGUGGUUGUCGGCCUUUGGCGCCUUCAAAAGUUAUCAAAGUUGGAUAUAGUGAUUGCCUAAUCACCGAACAAGGUACAAUAUAGAAAGUGGAGCUUGGUGAAGGUUUUCUCAACUCACAAUAUCGGUGGCACAAUUUUCCUGAAAGUAAUGCAAGAUAAUAAUUGCUCAAACUCCUAACUAGUGUUGGUAGUCGACUAGUAAGAGCUAAAAUAAUCUAAGCCCAGAUAUUGAAUCAAGUGAGAGGGAACUGACGAAAAUAUAAUAGCUCCAAGUAGCUAGAUAUAAGUGAGGUAUGAACGUAGUGUAUGGCAACCAAGAGCAGAGAAAAAAAUCCAACACUUAUCACUUAUAUGAACAGAGCAGGCUGAACAGCAAAAGAGAUUGUUCAAAAGAUGCUAGCUGGCCAAAACUUUGCAUAAACUUUUUUUUAUUCUUUUUUCUGAAUUUUCCUUUUUUCAACUUUCAGGUCGGCCGCUAGUAGAAGUCACGGACACAAAUAUCUGACCAAACAGGUAUGAAGGGGUGGCCGGGGCACGUCCGGUGUAGCCCAUCGGCGCUGUCCAGCGGUAAAAGAUCUCAUGCCAUUGCUGAAAUUCACGUCCCCCACCCAGGGCAUUUUGGUCAUUUUGCAUCUGUGCCCUUUUCCGAUUCGCUGCCUCCUCCCCCAAUGAUUUCCUCCCUCAUUUUUCUCUCCCUCACAUCUCUCUCUCUCGAGAGAGAGCCGUUGCCGCCAGUCAUCCUCCCCGUCCGCCGCCGCCGCCGCCAACCAUCCGCAGCCGCGCCACCAUCCCCUCCCCGUUCCUCUCCCGUAGCUGAGCCAGCCAUGGCCGGGAAGAAGUGCAAGUCCUCUUCCUUCCUCCCUCACCCCUGAUCUGAAUCCUCUCCUGGAACCCCAGCCAGCCGCACGCAUCCCAUAUGGCACUGCCCAGCUCGCAGCCCUCGGCCGUCGAGCCAUCGCGAGGCUCCUCGCGCAAGCACACAACCUCCUCAAAGGCUGCGCUCGAGGCCGACCUGGAGUUCACCGUCACCAAGGAAAGGUAAGGGGAGGGGAGGGGAUGGAAGGGAUUGAGCGACCAGGUGAGGCAGUGCCCAGAUCCACAGGGCCAUCGACACUUCGUCAUCGACCUCAUCCGCGACCGUCCUCGAGGUCGGCCAUGGUGGUCCGGCCCGGCAACAACCAUGGAAGGAGACGCCCGAAUCCCUGGCCCUCCAAGUACGCGCCUACUGCAGGCCAUCUCCGGCGAGCUCAUCCACAGAUCUCCAACUAUGGUGCGUGCGCAUGAUACCUCAACCCCUUGUCUUGUCGGUUUCUUCAUCUCCCCUCCUUGUAAUUCCUUGGUUUGUUUUGUGCGCAGUUGCUCCGAUCUGGAAGAGGUGGUGGAGCUUUUGUUGUUGCUGCUGCAGGUGAACGAGGCACCACCCCCUCUUUCUACUUCUGGACACAACCUGGUGGUGAUUGCUCAUUUCAGUGUUAAAAAAUUCAGUUCAAUUCAGUCAUGUUCUUUUUCUUUUGUGGGGAAAUUCAGUCACAUUGAAUGUUCAACUUUUAGAGUUAACAAACUGUUGUUAUGACCACUGUGGUUUAGAUGUUCAGAAAUUCAGACAAGUGGUAUGAUGAAAUGAGCCACCUUUUAACCCCCUACUAAACCUACCGUGAACGUGUAGAGAGCCAAUGCAGGGAGGUGUGGACAUUUUACCAUGUUCAUAGGAAGAAAUCAACAUAAAAUACACAGCUUGUAGAUGAUUCGUCAACCACCAUCAAACACGACUUGUAACUUUCUGGACUAAACUGAACAGUGCAAUUGACUCAAAAUAAAACGGAACCGUGCAAUUGACUCAAAAAUAAAUAGUAAAUAUACUUUGGUUGUGUCUGCAGAAUUGCAUUAUGGAAAGAUGUGUGUGAGGUUACCCCAUCGCCACUGGUUCCAACUUUGUCCAUCAUGUCGCUCUGAUGAGAAGACCUCGUCCAUGUUUCAUUAAUAGGGCAGAGUGCUGCUGAAGUAUCUAUGUUGAACAAUUAUAACAGUACCAAGUAAGUUUGCUCCAAUUGCAUUUGAUGCAGAAGGCACAACACCGCCAUCAUGCGUCAGGUUCAGUAGAAGGCACGACACCGCCACGCUCUCCUCCACUACAAUGCCACGCACCCGGUAAUUAAACAUGCUUUCUCUUCAUUNNNNNNNNNNNNNNNNNNNNNNNNNNNNNNNNNNNNNNNNNNNNNNNNNNNNNNNNNNNNNNNNNNNNNNNNNNNNNNNNNNNNNNNNNNNNNNNNNNNNNNNNNNNNNNNNNNNNNNNNNNNNNNNNNNNNNNNNNNNNNNNNNNNNNNNNNNNNNNNNNNNNNNNNNNNNNNNNNNNNNNNNNNNNNNNNNNNNNNNNNNNNNNNNNNNNNNNNNNNNNNNNNNNNNNCCCAGGCGCCUUUUCUUCUGCCGGCGAGCUAAAAAUGGGAAAAAAUAGGCCCAGCCAUGCCCCCCAAGACCUCAAAAAGGUGCCAGAGAACCCAGGCCACACCCAACGCGCUGGGGGGCUGCUGGGGGCGCUGGCGGAAGCAACAGCCAAUCAUAUUCCUCCAUGUAUCAUUUUUUUCUGGUCCACUCAUUCACUUUUUGCCUGGCGACUGUCCUGGGGGAACCAACGGCUGGGAAACCGUCCUCGCGUUUCAUUCGGCGAAGGUGUAUUGCCCCCCAGGACGUGCUAUAUUUGGCCCGGCGAUUGUCCUGGGGGGCUCCAACGGCUGGAGAUGCUCUAAUUCAUUGUAUUUGCAUGUUUCCAGCAGCCAUGUAUCAAAAAAGCUUCAGCUUUGGGUUGUUGAUUUAGCAGCAUCAAUCAUUAAUUGUUCUGCUAUAUAUGUUCUUAACCAUGACAACCUGAUUAGGCUCUUAGUUUAUUAUGGUCUUUGUUCUGGGUGGAUCUCUGACUAUUCUGGGUGGGCAUGAAUCUCUUCUUUGUUUCUUCAUCUCCUCUUAUUCUGAUUCCUGCGUUUGUUUUAUGUGAAGGUUGCUCCGAUGAGGACAAGCUGCUUCUGCAGGUGGACGGGCCCUCAAGGCUGCUCUGCCUAUUCCUCAUGCUACCCCCACACGUGGUGAGCCCCACCCGUUCUCGAGCUACCCCUGCAAAUCUGAUGUGAUGUGCACAAAAUACUUGCAAUUGUUCUCGACACAAGAGCAUGUCAUGUAUUGUUCUAUUUGAAUGUGCAAUUUCAUUGCUUCUGUGCUGUUUGAUUCUUGCUUCACAAGAGGGCAAUCAUGGAUAUAAACUGCGCUUCCUUUCAAGUUGAAUAGUAAUGAUCACCAUUUGGUUCCAUUUUCUCCUCUGCAUCCAGUGUUCACUCUCUCAUAGAUGUCCAUAUAUACACAGUUCUGAUCUCCUUUUUUCUGUGGCUCCAUACAGCGAACACAAAGCCGUCGAUGCAUUGAGGGCUCAAUGUCGUCUCCGUCGGCUGAGCGGCAAGCCGGGGUUGGGCCUGCACACCGUCUAUUAGCACCCUCCCGCGUCUCCAUUCACGGAUCUGCAGGUCAACCCCUCUCCUCCUCCUAUCCAUGCAUCUUCUUUUCCAGAGCUAGGUGUAUGGUUGCAUGGCAAUUUGUGUUUUGGGGCUCACCAUGUUCUGCUUGCCUUGGUUGGCCAAUGAGGCUUUCCUUUUCUGGUAAAGGCCAAAUGUACUAUUCUCUAUGCUUUAUAUUUUUGUAGUUCCUUUGUUUCCAUGCUUGUUUUUUGAUGGGGUGUAAAUAUAUGCUUUUUUGUUCCUUGUCUGGAUUCAGGUAGGGCCUAACAUUAUUGUUCCUUUGUGCAUGGAAAUGUUGGUGGUUUUGUUCCUUUGUCUAUGGAAGGGGGCCUUGAUUAGAAUUUCUAACGUUUGAGUUGUAAUUAGUGUUUUUGUUACACAUGAAAACAUAUGGUUGUUUGUCCAAUCACAUAUGAAAAAGAGAGGAUUGUUUGUCCAAUAAUUUUCUUUCUCUGUGAUAGUUUUACUAGAAAUAAAGCAUAGUCACUAUUACAUCCUAUUUUAUAUCUUGUUGUGUCGUGAUAUCUGUAUAGGCUCUGUCUACGUCCUUUUGACAUUCCAAGUUUUGUUUUUCUAUGGCUCAAUUAGUUACCCCGUAUCAAGAGAAAUUUAACUGGUAUUUGCGGCAGAGUUAGCUGAAUUCAUGAAGCAAUGAUUUAGUUAUUAUUAAAGCUGAAACACAACAUGUUUUGACAAAUGCGUUCUAAGUAAAGCCUCCAACUAACAUAACCAAAAACAUAUUCUUUAGGUUUAUCAUCUAUUGAAGUAUUAUGUAGAAUUUAAAAUCAUACGAGGCAAAGCAAAUGAGCUCUAUGCACUUUCCAUGUAGCACAGAACAAAAAUAAUCAUGUAUAUUUUGGAUGCACCUAGAUAUACUCAUCAGCAAGGCUGAGGUUAUAGGGCACUCACCCACAUUGUCGAUAUCUCCGUCACUAUGAUCACCCACAUGAUGGACAAUUCCCUUCUUUCUUUUCUCUGUGGAUAUUGACACUUAAUGCUAUUACUGUGUGCAUAUAUGUACUGUGAUCCAUUCUCAUUCUUCAUAUCUUGAGAAACUAUCUCAAGAUACUCGCGUUUGUGUUUUGGAGAAAUCCUAUUCUAUGAUUAAUAUAUCGAGUAUGGAUGGCGCGAUAUCACCUCUCUUUAUGAUGAUGUUCUUACAGAAUAUAGGUUUUAUGGUAACAAGUCUUAGCCAACACCUAUACUGAUGCUCAGACCAGAUGAUUAUAGUCUCUCCUUGCUAUUUUUCUUGAGGUGUGUACAUCUAUCUAGACAAUUCAAUUAAAAUAUAUAUUCCAUACAAACCAUCAAUACAUGUUAGUUGACUUUGAAACUAAUCAGUAAAAGGUUGUCCCUUUCGCAUUUUAUGGACAUAAAGAUUUGGUGUUGAUUGUCGAUCUUUAGUUAACACAUGACCUUACAACCGUAGGGAGUGGGGAAAAACUUAUAUGUUUGGCACAUUUGAAGAACAUAUCAUAGUAACAAAGUUUUGGUAAACAAUGUCCUAGAUCUCAACCAUAUAGAAAUACUAAAUAUAUGUUUAUUUGUAUAUGGAUUAAUUAUACAGACUUAUAAAACCUUGUGCACGGCACAUAAAAGAAAUUUGAAAUAACUAUUAUUUCAAUAUUUGCUUUUUCAGUUGAGCAUAAUAGUUUAUAGCCUGAUAGGCUUGGACAUAAUUGUCUACAUGUACUGCUCAGUAGGCGACAUCCUUUGGGAAAUUGAGGAUGUCCUCGUGCAUUUUCUAAAUACAAUUGUGGCAGCUCUGAGGAAGGAGGGGAGGAAUAAUCUCGCGGGAGAGUUCGGUGCAGAGGAAGAAGAACAAGAUAUUAUUUAUUUCUUGUGAACAGUCAAGCUUGUGCAUUGUCCCACUGUAAGUUAUUUCAACAAUACUAGUAACUGUUAUCUCUGGCCAUCUGUCGCGACAUUUUCUUUAACCACCAAUGCAUAUUUAUUUUCUUGUUAAUAACUCUCAUAAUUGCCUGCUACUGUUUCAGUUCUGGGGCCAGGCAACCUUGAAUCCAACGUCCACCUGCAGGCUACAUCUCAGGUAGGAUAAAAAGAUUGCAGUGAACUUGAUGGGUAUAUCAUUAUUGUUGCCUCCUAAUUUGUGUGAUGAGAAAAUGUGUAGAUUGUGUGUAAAUCCGAGAUGCCUAAAACAGUUGGGAAGUGAACUUGUUACCUCGGUUCAGUUUAAUGGCAUGUUAAACUCGAUGCACUUUCUGGACUGUGACAUUUUUCCUGAAAUUUUGGAAGUGACUGCUAAUGUAGUCUAAAUAGAGUGACUGAGUAGUUACUUCCUCACAAGAGUUGACUUCCCGUUAUUACUUGCUAAGAUGGAUUGGUGGUUUUUAUGUUAGAUGAAAAAUAUUACAUCAAUCUUUACGGCUUUUUAUGGGCAAGUGAUUCCGAGUCCAUAAUAAGGAAUAAUAUAGCCCCAGUGCUGUGAUAAUGUUAAAACAUUUACCUCUUUUAUCGGUUCAAGUAAUGUAUUUGCUGCGAAAAAAUGGUCUUAUAUCAAAUAAUAGCCUAGAGCUUUUGGAGUGUUAUUACUUGUAUUUGUUGCUUGGAUGUAUAAACCUUCAGCAGACUGUCAGUUUUGCUUUUAUAUAAUCUGUUUGUUUAAGUCUGCUGCAUAUUGGUCAAAAGCUCAUGCUAAUUGAUGAUGUUAGGUGAUGAUCUUGUAUCUAACAGUGAUUUCUGAAUGCAUGCUAAAGAAAACUCAUGAACAUCAUGGCGCCUUGUUGAUGGGGUGAUCAAUAGCUACAAUAUUGGGACCCUGCACUUAAAUUGUAGGUCUGAUUUUGUUUUGGAGUUCUCCUGCUACCCACAAGCUCAGAUAGUUCUUUUGUUUGUGCAGGGGAAAUUGCAAAGCAUAUUAUGAAUUGUUACAAGAAACUAUUUCCGCUGUUUUGGUGCAAGGAUGUUGCUUUUUAGUAUGCUUCCCGUAUCUUGGUAUCUUGGAAUAAUAAACAGAUAGAUGUCGUGUACCAAGAUUGUUCCUUGUUGUUAAGAGGGAUACAAAUAUUAUACAAGAAUUUUUCUGAUGACUCCUAAAGCAUAUUUGGAUAUACAGCAAAGUAUAUUGUCGCUUCCCUGUUAGUAAAACAAUUAUGUUAGAAAUUUGGUUGGCAGCCCCUACAUUUGGCUGAUUGCUAGCUGACUGGAUUACUCAUGUUUGCCGACUCUGGUAACUUACGCCUACCAAGAACUACAUGAAUUUUGUGUCUUGCUGCAGUGAACAUUACCAAACUAAUUCUAAAGGUGUUAUAAUCAUGUUUUCUUUUGCAUUAUCAACUUUUAACUUUUGUCAUUUGUUAACACAUUCCUUUUGCAUUAUCAACUUUUAACUAUUGUCAUUUGUUAACACGAUUAUUUAGCAUGUUCACUAUGCAAGUACUCCCUCCGUCCGAAAAUACUUGUCAUCAAAAUAGAUAAAAAGAAAUGUAUCUAGAACUAAUAUACAUCUAAAUACAUCCCCUUUUAUUCAUUUUGGUGACAAGUAUUUCCAGACGGAGGGAGUAGUAAUAAUAGGAGCUAUUUAUUUGCCAGAUAACUAACACUAUUCAUAAGGCAUAAGGGUUAGAAAAAGAACUGUAUUCUUGCUGUGUUGAUUUUCGUAUGGCACACUAUGGAUUCUUUGUGUAACACAUAAUGUCGAUCAACAUGUGUUUACAACGCAGGGAGGAGCCGCGCGACAAGGCAGUCAGACCAAACUCUCUAUCCAUAUAUAUAGGUAGUCUGAUGUUAUGCCAUAGCCGAACCAUAUAUGUUUCGUGUACUGCUCUAUCAAUCUGGUCUUUUGGUAUAUUAGACUCUAUCCUUUGUAAUGAACUUAUUGUCAUGGGCGAUCGUUAUGACUGGAUCGUAUGGUAUGGAUCGGGUCUUUAUGCUUUGUGAUGAAAUAUCAUAUUAUCCUGUUCACCAGUUUGGUUUGGUUUUGAGCUAAAACGUAUAAAAAUACAUGGCUUACAACAAUGGAUAUAUGUGAUGAUAUAUUGAGUGAUUAAGCAUAAUUUUAGACUUUCGGUGCUGGACCAAUGGGAUGCAUGGGGUAAUUGAAUGUUUCUUCUUCACUUUAUUAUUAUCGGUUGGGAUCAGCACUCUCGCGCGAUCUAGUUAUGACGAUGCUGCCUAUACAAAGCAAACCUACGUGGCUAUAAAGUGGAGCACCAUGGCGAACAAGAAACUGGCGCUUGAGGACAGACACGAGUGGAACUGAUGUUUGAUGCAACACGGCGCUGCUGUACGCGUCAGGGCGGACAACAACGACGUGUAACAGAUGGGAUGUCGGAUUGCACGCAAAACAAAGGAAUCCAAUGCAAUUUUGAUAGUUUUUUUUUUCAGAUUAUGGACGAGCUUGCGGCGGAAACUAUGGUGGAGAAAAAAAAGUUCGAUCUAGUAGACAAAAUUUUCUCGUACAAAUCUAAACCAGCACUAUUUGUAGGAUGAUGCAACCAAAAAUUCAACUACGCAAGUACUAGAUGCAAAAAUUGCUAAAGGCUAAAAAGAUAGGUGCAAAGGAUGAACUAAUCUUUCUUUCUUUUUUGGCUUUUUUUGGGUUAUAGGACAUGAAAAAUAAACUAAUCUAACAAAACUGUAAAUCUCUCACCGAUGAAACUAAAAACUGAUACCACUUAUGUGACGGCGGUCUGAUGUUUCGAUGAGAGUGAGGAUAACUAUCAAUUUGGUGGAUUCUGAUCUUGACGAUCCGGCUAUACAAUACCCGACGAUAUGCCUCGACAAUCGCUAAACCAAUCUCCAAUGGUUAUUGACCUUGCCGUAGGCACGGUCAACCUGAACGACGAGGUUUAAGGUCCUGCAAGCAACUAAAGAACCGGCAAGAACAAAGGUGAAUUGCAAUCUGAAAUUACGAAUGAAAAAUUAAGCACAUGAACUAGAUCAAAAGUUGGGGUUUCACUUUGGAUCUGACAAGGCGGUAGUCCUACACGUUUCAUAGAUGCGAAAUUGUAGCAUGGCUAAACAAUACAAUAAAACCCGCGUAAACCCUAAAAUAUGAUGACUAUUUAUUAAAGGCCGGCGUGGAGAACGCUUCGUCUAUUUUCUUGGAAGUCAAGACGGGCCUGCUAAUUGGCCGGACCCACACGCGAUCUGAUUUGAAAAUAAACUUCUCAUAUCAAUCUGGUGGCAAACUGCCUCAUCGGUACUGUAGGCCCAGAUGCGCAACACACAAGGCCAUGCAUGGGCGCAAAACCUAUACGGUGCCCUCAGCGGCCGAUACCAUGUUAACGGUACAGGGCGCAGAACGUCGUGAGACAGUUCGGUCCAUAUCCGGUGUGGGCGUUAGAGCAUUAAGAGGACCUUUCCCUAGUACGAGAGAACUGGGAAGGACGCACUUCUGGUGUAUCAGUACACCCCCUUGUCACGAUGGGCCGGCCCACAUUCUUUUUUUUCUAUAUUAAAGACGUCAAAAAAACUGAAUGUAAGCACUAUGAUUCAAACCGGCAAUCGACCGGUUCAACACACACCACCUAACCAAUAGGCCACCUGCUGUUGACGUGGUUAGUUAUAGCUUUUCCUUCUUUUCUUCUUUGUACCUUCUUUUUUGUUUUUUUGUUGGAACGGUUUUGUUAGUUUUUAUUAUUUUCCAUAUUAAUUUUUUUCAAUAAUACAACAUUUUUCGUUUCAAUUUCGUGAACUUUUUUAAAAUUCGAUAUUUUUUUCCAAAAUUCAAUGAACUUAUUUUCAAAUUCGAUGAACUUUUUACAAAUUGGAUGAACUUUUUUCAAAUUUGAUGAACCUUUUUUCAAACUCGAUAUUUGUUUUCAAAUUUGCCAACUUUUUUGAAAAUUCUUGUACAAUUAUGAAUUCAUGAAUUUUUUGAUUUUUUUUUAAUUUUGCAAAUUUUCCCUUGUUAGUUUUUUUGAACAGCAGUGGUUUUUUCGACAAGUGCUUGCAAGAGAAAAAAGGCUAGCAAAGGAGCGAGCAGCGACCGAUUGAGCCAGCAGCAGCGGUCGAGCGAGCAGUCGAGCGAUUAGCGAUCGAGCGAGCCAGCAGCGGCGGCCGAGCGAGCAGUUGAGCGAUUAGCGAUCGAGCGAACAAAUGCAUGUUGAUUCGAUAAUGCUCAAGUGUAAAUCUUCUGUAUUAAACUUCGCAUCUUCACCCGAGGUUUGUGCAUAUAAAAUAUUGUGUUGUAUUUUUGUUUCGGAUAACAAAAUAAUAAUUCACAUAAUUUCUAUUAGAAUUCACCUCAUAAUUAUCUUUACGCGCAAUAAUUGUGGUUAUAUCCGUACGGGUCAUGUUUAUAUCAGGUCGUUAAUCUUCUUCUUCUUGUCCGCAAGCCACUUCUUCACAUGCUCAUCCAAGAGGGUUUCGUCUGCCAAUAUGAUCAUCGCAUCCACCACGUCCUGUGAGAGUUGCAACCCCUCCUUCUCAAGCUCUAUGUAGCCAAAUGUCUUGGCCUUGUCGAGUUCCCAUUUGAUCACCACCCCUUGGUGGUCCACCAUGUCCGAACCUCCUUGCGCCGCCGCCUCCCUCUCUCGCUGCAGGCGUUGCCGCAACUUCCGGGCGGCGUCCUCCGCCUUGCAAGUCGGAGCCGAUGAAGGGACGCCGACGGACAAGGCGGACUGCGUCUUCGUCACGGUGGUGGAUCGGGACCGGUGGUGAGGAUUGGGAGCAAGGGUGGAGGACGGCGAGGGUUCGGGCGCGGGAAAAGUUGGAGGGCGGCGGGAGGAGGAGAAAGGGUUUGGUGCAUUUGGCGCAAUUUUCGAUGGGGUCGGGCUGGCGGGUCCGACGUGGCGGGCGCGCCCGGGCGCCCCAUAUUUGGGCUACAUAUGAGGGGUGCUGGUUAGCCCAGGCGUUCGAGGCCCGUUUAAGGAGCCCGUCUGGAUCGAAAAAUCGUGACCGGGUGGCCCACCCGGGUGUAUGAGCCAUGCUUGAGGUGCCCGACUGUAGAUGCUCUAAUCAUGUAGAUCCGGCGCUCAAAGGCUCCACCCUCCCCCACGGCUUGGGUUCGGGCGCCUCCCCAAAACUUCGUCGGGAUCCGCCACAACCGGCACGGCGAGGCCAGAGGUGGCCGGAUCCGGCACAGGUUGGUCUCUCCCCUCCUUCUUCGCCCACCCUCUCCUCCUUACCUCACGCCACUUGUCUUCCCUUUUUUGCAGGUCGCCAUGGCGCGAACGGCGAUGACGGCAGGAGGGGCACACACAUCCGUGGAAUGGGACGCCGCCAUGGAGAUGGAGAUCCUUCUUCACACCACGCAGAGGCCCCAUACUUUGCUCUACAUGUGCAACUUUUGUGGGCUGCGCGGUGUGUCACUUUGUGUGAGAAACAACCUGACAUGAUUUAGUACAUUCUCCCGCCCUAUUAACAAGAGUGCUUAGUUAAUAGUUUGCAAGACAAUUGUUCCUUUAACCAUUUGUUAGUUGUAGCCAACAAAUAAUGACUUACCAGAAAAAUAAGAUUACGCAAGAUUAUAAUUCGCUACUCAGGAUUUGAAAUCCUUUAUAAUUUCAACCACGCCCACUUUAGGCAUUAAUGAUGUUAGAGAAGAAUGAGUAUCACAUAUUAGGUACCACAACAGAAAUGAGUAUCACAUAUUAGGUACCACAAGAGAAAUGAGUAUCACAUAUUAGGUAUCUCAUGAGGUACAUUUUUUUAAUCUAAAUUUGUUUAAGUAUUGAAAUAGUGCAAAUCUACUACAAUGUUAAGAUGUCAGCAUAUCAGAACUUCGCAAUCAAGAAAAGAAAUCAUGUUAUGGGAGCAUCUGCUUCUCGCAUUAGUUUUUCUGUUGUUAAUUUCUGUAAUUUUCCAAUACUUCGCUACUAAGGGUUUUCGGAGCAUGAAUAUUGCAAUGAUAUUCCUUUCAGGUGUAGGAAGGUAGUUGCGAUGUGCAGAAUACGUGGUGGGUGAGAUUGAUCAAUCGUGCAUGUGUUAACUUAUAAAAAACAUAACUUAGAGAGCUAAAUUUUGGUCGAAAACAGGAUUCUGACGGGGGUUUUAGAGACAUUUCGUUCGUGGUACUUCAUUCUGCUUUUAGGUCGACGAAAGCGUGCACCUAACUUUUAGUAUAUUCUAAUAAUUUUGGACCUAAUAAUCAUAACAAAUGUGCAGUAGCAUGAUAAUGAUUUGACUUAUCCAAGUCCUUCAAGUUGAAGAGAAGUAUAUACAUUCCUCAUAUGUAAUAACCAAUCAUGAUUCCAUUUUUCCUUCUUAGGUAAUAUAUGUCUAACUAGGUUAUUACAUAUGUUCCCUAAAUUUUACUCCUUUCAUAAUAAUCAAUCUAACUAGGUUCUAAUUCCCAUGACCUCUAAAUGUGAUGCACAUUUUUCUCUACUGGGUAUGUGGUUCCUUCUAAGCGUUUCUUCAAAAUCCAUAUUAUAAUUCCAAUUGUAUCGACUCAUAGUGUCAAUCAUAUUUCUAUAUAUGGCGUAUAAUGAUUAGUUGGGACAUAUUGAAGAUUCCAGUCCAAGUUCUAAUAUAUUUCAAACUCAUAACAUAGUAUAGUAUAGAGUAUUGUACAUUCGUGUUUCGAAAAUCACUAGACCGUGCGGGCGCACGGGUUGAUGACUAGUUCAUUUAACUAGGCAAGUAGUUGCACUGCAUUUCGUUCGUGCGGCUAAUUAACCUUCUGAUCUUUAGCAUAUGGGAUCAAUUGGACAAAUAUCUCCUUAACUCCCGACUCUUGGUGUCGAUGUGCAUGUCACACAUGUGAUGCAUGAAACAUGCUCACCACACUUCACUCGCUCACAAGUACUGUCAAGCUUCUAUGUAUCAUAGGACGAGAUAGGACAGCAUGGGGCUGUCCACACGAGGCACAUGCACAGUCUACGGCUUAGGGUUGGUGGAUCCGCGCCAAACUAGUUGCCGGCAUUAAGGGUAGAUAUCGUGUGCUCUCCUUCCAUCUCUACGCACGCAUGAGGACCUAUAGCAUGCAUGCAAUGCAAUGCAAUAUACUCCCUCCGUUCCUAAAUAUAAGUUUUUUUUAGAGAUUUCACUAUAGACUACAUACGGAUGCAUAUAUACAUAUUUUAGAGUGUAGAUUCACUCAUUUUGCUUCGCAUGUAGUCUCUUAUUGCAAUCUCUAAAAAGACUUACAUUUCGAAACGUAAAAUAAGACUUACACAGGGAAAAGAAGGAAUAAAUACUCCCUCCGUUCCGAAAUGUAAGUCUUUUUAGAGAUUGCAAUAAGAGACUAUAUACGAAGCAAAAUGAGUGAAUCUACACUCUAAAAUAUGUAUAUAUGCAUCCGUAUGUAGUCUAUAGUGAAAUCUCUAAAAAAAAAUUAUAUUUAGGAACGGAGGGAGUAUAUUGCAUUGCAUUGCAUGCAUGCUAUAGGCCCUCAUGCGUACGUAGAGAUGGAAGGAGAGCACACGAUAUCUACCCUUAAUGCCGGCAACUAGUUUGGCGCGGAUCCACCAACCCUAAGCCAUAGACUGUGCAUGUGCCUCGUGUGGACAGCCCCAUGCUGUCCUAUCUCGUCCUAUGAUACAUAGAAGCUUGACAAUACUUGUGAGCGAGUGAAGUGCGGUGAGCAUGUUUCAUGCAUCACAUGUGUGACAUGCACAUCGACACCAAGAGUCGGGAGUUAAGGAGAUAUUUGUCCAAUUUAUGCCAUAUGCUAAAGAUGAGAAGGUUAAUUAGCCGCACGAACGAAAUGCAGUGUAACUACUUGCCUAGUUAAAUGAACUAGUCAUCAACCCGUGCGCCCGCACGGUCUAGUGAUUUUCGAAACAUGAAUGUACAAUACUCUAUACUAUACUAUGAGUUCGAAAUAUAUUAGAACUUGGACUGGAAUCUUCAAUAUGUCCCAACUAAUCAUUAUACGCCAUAUAUAGAAAUAUGAUUGACACUAUGAGACGAUACAAUUGGAAUUAUAAUAUGGAUUUUGAAGAAACGCUUAGAAGGAACCACAUACCCAGUAGAGAAAAAUGAGCAUCACAUUUAGAGGUCAUGGGAAUUAGAACCUAGUUAGAUUGAUUAUUAUGGAAGGAAUAAAAUUUAGGGAAUAUAUGUAAUAACCUAGUUAGACAUAUAUUACCUAAGAAGGAAAAAUGGAAUCAUGAUUGGUUAUUACAUAUGAGGAAUGUAUAUACUUCUCUUCAACUUGAAGGACUUGGAUAAGUCAAAUCAUUAUCAUGCUACUGCACAUUUGUUAUGAUUAUUAGGUCCAAAAUUAUUAGAAUAUACUAAAAGUUAGGUGCACGCUUUCAUCGACCUAAAAGCAGAAUGAAGUACCACGAACGAAAUGUCUCUAAAACCCCCGUCGGAAUCCUGUUUUCGACCAAAAUUUAGCCCUCUAAGUUAUGUUUUUUAUAAGUUAACACAUGCAUGAUUGAUCAAUCUCACCCACCACGUAUUCUGCACAUCGCAACUACCUUCCUACACCUGAAAGGAAUAUCAUUGCAAUAUUCAUGCUCCUAAAACCCUUAGUAGCAAAGUAUUGGAAAAUUACAAAAAUUAACAACAGAAAAACUAAUGCGAGAAACAGAUGCUCCCAUAACAUGAUUUCUUUUCUUGAUUGCGAAGUUCUGAUAUGCUGACAUCUUCACAUUGUAGUAGAUUUGCACUAUUUCAAUACUUAAACAAAUUUAGAUUAAAAAAAAUGUACCUCAUGAGAUACCUAAUAUGUGAUACUCAUUUCUGUUGUGGUACCUAAUAUGUGAUACUCAUUCUUCUCUAACAUCAUUAAUGCCUAAAGUGGGCGUGGUUGAAAUUAUAAAGGAGUUCAAAUCCUGAGUAGUGAAUUAUAAUCUUGUGUAAUCUUAUUUUUCUGGUAAGUCAUUAUUUGUUGGCUACAACUAACAAAUUAUUAAAGAAACAAUUGUCUUGCAAACUAUUAACUAAGCACUCUUGUUAAUAGGGCGGGAGAAUGUACUAAAUCAUGUCAGGUUGUUUCUCACACAAAGUGACACAGCGUGCAGCCCACAAAAGUUGCACAUGUAGAGCAAAGUAUGGCUAAAACGAAAAGGAGCAGAUACUUGGAACUUGAGCUGAUUUUCGCCCAAACUUCCUGUUGUACUGUUUGAUCAGAAUUUUUUCUCUCAUUGUGUAGAUGCCUCACUGCAGCCCAUGAUUGCCACAACCAUGCCUUUUUCUCCCUGAGACAGGGGCAACAGGUUAUUGACGACCAAUGGAUGGGGGUCACCAAGAUCAAAACCGUCAAACAUCAAAGGACUAUGUUUGUACCUGAGAAGGAGAAACACUCUUACCCAUCUAAUUGAAAAGCUGCGAGCAGGCACUUACCAUAAAACACCAAAGAAGUACGUUUAUACCUGAGAAGGAGCCGAGUACAGAUCUCAGGCAACCCUACAGUUCAUGGUUGCAUCAGCUACGUGUUAGAGAUGAAGCAAACUUUAGUUGGCGUGGCACACAAUCCACACAACACCGAUGCCAUGGUUCUCCAUCAGCCCAGGCAGCACUGUAGUUGAUGGUUGCAUGAAGUUCGUGUUGGAGACGAAGCAAAUUAAACUGACUGUGGCACACAAUCUAGACAACAGGGAGAUGUCCUGGCUAUCCAUCGGCCGGUUGGAACUUGAUCGUCGCCGCUAGAUUGGGGGAAGGUUUUUGUUUUUUGUCUCUUUUAGAGAAUAUAAUAGAAGCAUAUCAAGAAGUCAAUAUAGUGGGGACACCCAUGUUCAGAACGCCAUAUAACUGGGUCGGUUGAAUCCUGCAUCAUACAUAACGAAGCAUAAAUUCUAGAAGGGCACUAUUCGUUUGAAACUUGUAUCUAAUUCAAGUUCUGUAGUCAGAACAAAAACAACACAACAAAAAGCAAAAUAAAUAUUACAUACCUGCUAGUUUGUCUUCUCUUUCGAUUCAAUGCGGCGAUCUAUUUUCAAUCAAUGUUCUUGUAGAUUUUUUUACUUGGCCUAAUGACCUAUACGAUAUGAAAUUGCCUGAGGCAGUGGAGACCUCCUAAAUUUAUCUCCUGGAUCGUGACACAAAUCCUAUUUUUUUUACUUGAGAAACAAAGUACCAACCACUGAUUUGGUUUGUUAGAGAUGGAAGUAACAGUAACAGUUAGCACUUGCUGCAUAAUAUAGACAGAAAUAAGAAGACAUGAAGAUGAAAAAACAUGGCAUUUUUAUUUUCCACACAGAGCUACUUCUUAACAGUGUUGAGGAGGUGAACGGACCAUGAUGUUAACUUGAGCAUCUUUUUAGAUCUCCCGUCUUCCUUCAAAUAGAUACUGCUAAGGUGUCAUCUUCUUGACUUCUUGAACGCAUAAACAUUCCAUGUCUGCAAAUAACAUAUAAAUAGGCUUGCAGACGACACUAUAGAUAAAUAAAAAUCAACAGAAUAGAGUAUUGUUUGUGCUUCUAUGAUGGACAUGGCCUAUAGGAUAAUUACAGAAGCAUAAAAUUGUAAGUACAGAUCCAAAUCGAACCUGUAGUUUUUCCCAAUAAGAAGCAUAGAGGAGUAGACCAAAGAAAGUCCAAAACAACUCAUCCAAUUUCUAAGAACAUAAGAAGAUGUGCUUGAAUUUGUUGUGCGAAAGUACAGCCACAUCUUCAAUGAAUGGAAUCCCUUAACUGGAUUGUAUGACACCUCAGCCAAGAUGAACCGCAGGUCUGCAGCCUUCUUGUGGCAGUUGAAAUUUCUGCAGCAAGAGAUUCAUUAAAUCGCUUUACUUGAAGACCGUAGAUAGGAAGCAGGGGGCAACCUAGAAGAGCAGCGCUAGGGAUAUGUGGAAACAUCUUUGACAAACUGAAUCCCCUAAUUGGAUUGUAUGGCUCCUACAAAUAUUGUCCAUCCUAGUUAUACGUAUUUAGAUAAGUCUGUAACUAAGCGCACAUCAUCAAAAUCCUCCAAAACGAACUCUAAUGGUGUACUUGUUCUUUGAGAUCAAGUCGCACUACAUAAAAAUUCCUAAUAACAAAAACCUAAUGGAUCGUUGCUAGCUCCUUAAUUACCUGCAAUUAGUCUACCAUAGUUCUUCGACUUGUAGCUUCCCCAACAAUGGCAUAUGUCCGAUCAGACUUAGGUAGCGCCUCCUUCUGAACAACAUCGUUUAUCAUGGGUUGCGGUUUGGUUGGGGCAUGGCAUCUGUGGAGAUUGAAAGGGCCUUCUCUUUGUCCAAGACGGACCACAGAUCUGCAGCGUGGUUGGGAGAGUUCAGAUUUCUACGUGAAGAUGAAGAGGAUCACAAGGAUCUCACGGAAUCGUUUUGCAUUAAGACAGCAAAAGAUAGGAAGGAGGAGGACGACCUGGAAGAGCAGCGCUAGGGAUUUGUGGAUGAUGUGCAAGUGCCUUACAUGAUAGAUCGGGGGAGGAAGAAUUUGGCCAGGGAGAUGAUUUUUUUCACAUUACAUGGAGCAUGAAGUGGGAUGGAUUUGCGCUAGGGAUUUGUGGAUGAUGCGCAAGUGCCUCACAUGAUAGAUCGGGGCAGGAAGAAUUUGGCCAGGGAGAUGAUUUUUUUCACAUUACAUGGAGCAUGACGUGGGAUGGAUUUGGCCAAGGAGAUGAUUUUUUUUUUCACAUUACAUGGAGCAUGACGUGGGAUAGUAACCCAGGACUCUUGAGUUGUCCAAUGGACGGCUACAGAUACUUAAUAUGGAGAUCGGAUGGAUAAUAUUCUUAGUUUUUGAGGAUUAACGUGGUCGCUUAUUUGGUGCCUCUAAUUAGUAAAUAUAAGAUUGAGUCUAUCAUGCAAACUACUAAGUAAUUAAAAGAAUGACAAGUACUACAAUUUCUUUGGUGAUAUAUUAAUUUUCAAAAUAAACAAAGUACAUAUAUACAUCCUGAUGGGACCGUGGAAAUCUUGAGAAGACAGAGACGCCAGUUGAAAGUUUGUCUGAAUCGCAGUGGUGGACAUAAGCUUGGCAAUGAAGCCCUGAUCAGGAUGGCCUUGCUUGGUACCUUAUGUGAUUUUCCUCACCAUUUCUUGUGCGCCGACCGCUCUGGCGUUUCAAGGUCUUGCGGGGGUGCCCUUUUGGCUUCGGUUGCCGCACACCACUGAGAAUCUUGCGACCGGGGUGAUGUUCUCGUGGCGUGCCUUAACCAUAUCUAGGGUUCUCGCCAUCCUCUCAAGACAUGUGUCAUCAUCGAGCAACCGUAUGUUCUUUUCACAGGCUUUCUCCCUCCUCAAGUACAUCUAUCAUUUGCGGCACACCUUCGACCAAUUUGCGGUGUAGAUGACUUGGGUCCAGCUCCUUAACCUACUUCGUGUCAGGCACUUCAUCUGCUCAUGUGUCCGGAUCCACCUUAUCCUAGUCUUGGCAUCACCAUCCACAAAGAAUCAAGGUCGCAUAUUCCCGACGUAAAUGACGCGGGCCCGUCUCCUUACCCUUCGGUGUUGGAACUUCAUGUGCCCAUGCUUCGGUCCAUGGUAUGUUUCAGGUUCUCUCGUAACCUUCCACAAAAAAUCAUGGUUGCAUAUGUAGCGGUACGCCAUGUAUUCCUCGGCCUCUACAAGGAAAUAAUAUCUCCCCUUCACAUUUAAGUUGAGAGAUAUUACCCACCUACACCAUUUUGAUAAAAUGCUUCAAGGAAAUAACCUACAUAUGCCUAUGAAAAAGGUUUGAACUCUAUUAUGCCUAACGCUACCAACCCACCGAUCCAAACUUUGCACCCUAGGCCUUCUCCCAUUUCCCGUGAUUGACCAAAUCAAAUCAGGUUGUGUAUCCCCUACUGCCGCUUGCGUUGCGCCCCUAACCCUCUAUCCAUAGACGCCACAUCUGCGUACUCACAUACAAGCAGUAAUAAGCCAUGUGUACUGCCUUUGAGAAGCUCUCCUUGCCGCCUCAAAGGUGCAUCCCUACCGAUGAUCGCCUUGCUGCGUUAUUUGAUUAAACUCCAAACUCCCAACCUGAUAUUCAUGUUUCAUGUCGAAAGUAUCACACCCACAUUUGGACAUAGGUAGUAUGCUCGUGUGGUGAAUUUUGUGGAUAUAGGUAGUAUACUCGUGUGGUGAGUUUUGUGGAAUAUCUAAUCAAUACUCUGCAUCUACCAAAAGGAUCGCUCCCCUCAAAUGCAAAUAUAAUUGAGGCCAAUGGCUUUCUUCUCCCCUCAGAUCACAAGACAAGAGCAGACCAUCUAAACAGGCAGAUCGGACCUUCACCUUGGUAGGGAGGUGAGUGCUACCUGUUGCCGUGUCGUCCUCGAGCUCGGGUGGCCAUCCUCCUCCUCCUCGAGCAGGACAAGGUUGUUCGUCCCCUACAGUCCAAUGGUCAUCUUCUCCAAGGACAUAUACAAGGGAGAGCACAACAUUGAUGCAAGUGCCACCAAGAUAGUUUCAGUCAAAGUUAAAGCAACGGUACACAUGCAAACUGAACCAAACCGAGGUGCAUAUUCAUAUGUGUGUGUGUAUGUAGAGAUGCCAGUGCCAUCUGAAUUUUGGGGAACCAAAGCAUGGCUGUUGUUGUUGCUACUUUAGCAGCAACAACAUACUCAAAGUGAAACGAGCAGCAAGUUGUUUUAUAAGCAGUGCAUACUAGUAAUUAGCUAGGACCAUUAUUAUUGCACAACCAUUCGAGGACGGUUGCAGACACAUCUAUCUCAAGGCUCUACUUGAGAAACAAAAGCAUAAGAUAUGUGAUGCUAUCAACCUUAGCACAAGAAGAAAAAAAACACAACCUCUCCGAUAGAAUGGAUGGAUGCAUCAUGCGCAAUCAUCGAUUAUAAGUGGACUAGUAUUUAUUUGCCAUUCGAGUUAAUGGUGUAUAUCUACUGAUUAAACAAGGGAUUGUCUAUUUGUCAUUCAACUGAAAUCAGUUGGACAUUAUUCAAAUUUCUUGACCAAUAACAAAAUGAUACUUCUAUGUCCUUUUUCCUUCUUUCCUGCAUGUCAAUGACCCAAAACACGCAACAGGCCUGACCUGCAAUAAUGAGUUUUGCACUGUACAUGAACUGCAUAGAACCCGGUUUCGUAAGGCUGCGCUGGACCACAUAACAAUUCGACAAAAGGCCUAAAGAGAGACACUGAAAUAUUCUUUCUGUUCCACAGCACAAAUAUGUCAAUUUGUUUAUAAGGACGAGAGAAGUAUCAUAAACCACAUGAUCUAGCAUGUACACUAACAAAAAAAUAGCAAUUCUAAAGCACAAGGGCCUAGGGUCAAAGGAAACUGAAAAUUACGGUUACCAAGCUGCUCAAAUUACAUAGUAGAAAAUUAUGUGCUCAGCAAAGUUUCUUACGCAAGGGUAGAAUCAAUCAACAGUAUAGCAGUAACUUGUAGGGAAAAAAGACAAACCCGAAAGGUAUGGAGUGAUACUUUAAAUUCACUAAAUAUAUAGUAUGAUUGCUCUAAAGUGCACACUGUAAUUACACUUAAAUUACUCUACUGUAAACCCUUUGAAAUUACAGUGUAAAUUACACUAAAAGUUGCACACGAAUUACAAUGUAAUUUCCGUAAAUUUACAUAGUAAAUUACACUGAAUUUACACUAUAAUUUCCAUUGCACUUAAAUUACACAGUAAAAUGCACGGGAAUUCACAUAAACUAACAUUGUAAUUCUCUGAACUUACAGUGCAAGAACCUUGAAAUUACACUGUAAUAACCAUGAAAUUGCACUGUUAAAUGUCCCGCGAAAUAUAGUGGAACUGACACUGAAAUGCCCUAAAUUAACGUCACUGAGUGCUGCAACACAAUACUUCAAUCCUAAAUGUGCAGAGCACGUCAUACCUAUGUAUGCACUCCUAAAGUCUAGCAGCCAACUGAGCUAACUAAUCUAAUCAACCCUAAACAGCAGCCAAUCAAGGGAUUAACCUCAAACUGCAGCAACCCCUAACUUCCCAUGUAUCAUCCAUGGGUGGAUGAAUCUGAAACAAAGCAUGGUGCAACUCAAAGUAGAGGAGGGGGGAGGGCAGAGGUAGUGGGUGGGGCCUGAGAAGAAGUCACCGAAGAAGGAGGGAGGCUCCAUGGGGCCUCUGCGUGGUGUGAAGAAGGAUCUCCAUCUUCAUGGCGGCGUCCCAUUCCACGGAUGUGUGUGCCCCUCCUGCCGUCAUCGCCGUCCGCGCCAUGGCGACCUGCAAAAAAGGGAAGACAAGUGGCGUGAGGUAAGGAGGAGAGGGUGGGCGAAGAAGGAGGGGAGAGACCAACCUGUGCCGGAUCCGGCCACCUCUGGCCUCGCCGUUGCCGGUUGUGGCGGAUCCCGACGAAGUUUUGGGGAGGCGCCCGAACCCAAGUCGUGGGGGAGGGUGGAGCCUUUGAGCGUCGGAUCUAGAUGAUUAGAGCAUCUACAGUCGGGCACCUCAAGCCUGGCUCAUACACCCGGGUGGGCCACCCGGUCACGAUUUUUCGAUCUAGACGGGCUCCUUAAAUGGGCCUCGAACGCCUGGGCUGAUCGGCACCCCUCAUAUCCAGCCCAAAUAUGGGGCGCCCGGGCGUGCCCGCCACGUCGGACCCGUCAGCCCGACCCCAUCGAAAAUUGCGCCAAAUGCACCAAACCCUUUCUCCUCCUCCCGCCGCCCUCCAACUUUUCCCGCGCCCGAACCCUCGCCGUCCUCCACCCUUGCUCCCAAUCCUCACCACCGGUCCCGAUCCACCACCGCGACGAAGACGCAGUCUGCCUUGUCCGUCGGCCUCCCUUCGUCGGCUCCGACUUGCAAGGCGGAGGACGCCGCCCGGAAGUUGCGGCAACGCCUGCAGCGAGAGAGGGAGGCGGCGGCGGUGCAAGGAGGUUCGGACAUGGUGGACCACCAAGGGGUGGCGAUCAAAUGGGAACUCGAGAAGGCCAAGACAUUUGGCUACAUAGAGCUUGAGAAGGAGAGGUUGCAACUCUUACAGGACGUGGUGGAUGCGAUGAUCAUGUUGGCAGACGAAACCCUCUUGGAUGAGCAUGUGAAGAAGUGGCUUGCGGACAAGAAGAAGAAGAUUAAUGACCUGAUAUAAACAUGACCCAUACGGAUAUAACCACAAUUAUUGCGCGUAAAGAUAAUUAUCAGGUGAAUUCUAAUAGAAAUUAUAUGAAUUAUUAUUUUGUUAUCCGAAACAAAAAUACAACACAAUAUUUUAUAUGCAGGAUUAAAGAAGACAUGCACAAACCUCGGGUGAAGAUGCGAAGUUUAAUACAGAAGAUUUACACUUGAGCAUUAUCGAAUCAACAUGCAUUUGUUCGCUCGAUCGCUAAUCGCUCAACUGCUCGCUCGGCCGCUGCUGCUGGCUCGCUCGAUCGCUAAUCGCUCGACUGCUCGCUCGACCGCUGCUGCUGGCUCAAUCGGUCGCUGCUCGCUCCUUUGCUAGCCUUUUUUUCUCUUGCAAGCACUUGUCGAAAAAACCAUUGCUGUUUGAAAAAACUAAAAAGGGAAAAUUUGCAAAAUUAAAAAAAAAUCAAAAAAUUCAUGAAUUCAUAAUUGUACAUGAAUUUUCAAAAAAGUUGGCAAAUUUGAAAACAAAUAUCGAGUUUGAAAAAAGGUUCAUCAAAUUUGAAAAAAGUUCAUCCAAUUUGUAAAAAGUUCAUCGAAUUUGAAAAUAAGUUCAUUGAAUUUUGAAAAAAAUAUCAAAUUUAAAAAAGUUCACGAAAUUGAAACGAAAAAUGUUGAAUUAUUGGAAAAAAUUAAGAAGGAAAAUAAUAAAAACUAACAAAACCGUUCCAACAAAAAAACAAAAAAAAGGUACAAAGAAGAAAAGAAGGAAAAGCUAUAACAUACCACGUCAACAGCAGGUGGCCUAUUGGUUAGGUGGUGUGUGUUGAACCGGUCGAUUGCCGGUUUGAAUCAUGGUACUUAUCUCAAUGUUCUAACGCCCACACCGGAUAUGGACCGAACUGUCUCACGACGUUCUGCGCCCUGUACCGUUAACACGGUAUCGGACGCUGAGGGCGCCGUAUAGGUUUUGCGCCCAUGCAUGGCCUUGUGUGUUGCGCACCUGGGCCUAUAGUACAGAUGAGGCAGUUUGCCACCAGAUUGAUAUGAGAAGUUUAUUUUCAAAUCAGAUCGCGUGUGGGUCGGCCAAUUAGCAGGCCCGUCUUGACUUCCAAGAAAAUAGACGAAGCGUUCUUCACGCCGGCCUUUAAUAAAUAGUCAUCAUAUUCUAGGGUUUACGCGGGUUUUAUUGUAUUGUUUAGCCAUGCUACAAUUUCGCAUCUAUGAGACGUGUAGGACUACCGUUUUGUUAGAUCCAAAGUGGAACCCCAACUUUUGAUCUAGUUCAUGUACUUAAUUUUUCAUUCGCAAUUUCAGAUUGCAAUUCACCUUUGUUCUUGCCGGUUCUUUAGUUGCUUGCAGGAACUCAAACAUCGUCGUUCAGGUUGACCGUGCCUACGGCAAGGUCAAUAACCAUUGGAGAUUGGUUUAGCGAUUGUCGAGGCAUAUCGUCGGGUAUUGUAUAGCCGGAUCGUCAAGAUCAUAAUCCACCAAAUUGAUAGUUAUCCUCACUCUCAUCGAAACAUCGGGCCGCCGUCACAUAAGUGGUAUCAGUUUUCAGUUUCAUCGGUGAGAGAUUUACAGUUUUGUUAGAUUAGUUUAUUUUUCAUGUCCUAUAACCCAAAAAAAAGCCAAAAAAGAAAGAAAGAUUAGUUCAUCCUUUGCACCUAUCUUUUUAGCCUUUAGCAAUUUUUGCAUCUAGUACUUCCGUAGUUGAAUUUUUGGUUGCAUCAUCCUACAAAUAGUGCUGGUUUAGAUUUGUACGAGAAAAUUUUGUCUACUAGAUUGAACUUUUUUUUCUCCAUCAUAGUUUCCGCCGCAAGCUCGUCCAUAAUCUGAAAAAAAAAACUAUCAAAAUUGCAUUGGAUUCCUUUGUUUUGCGUGCAAUCCGAAAUCUCAUCUGUUACACGUCGUUGUUGUCCGCCCUGACGCGUACAGCAGCGCCGUGUUGCAUCAAACAUCAAUUCCACUCAUGUCUGUCCUCAAGCGCCAGUUUCUUGUUCGCCAUGGUGCUCCACUUUAUAGCCACGUAGGUUUGCUUUGUAUAGGCAGCAUCAUCAUAACUAGAUCGCGCGAGAGUGCUGAUCCCAACCGAUAAUAAUAAAGUGAAGAAGAAACAUUCAAUUACCCCAUGCAUCCCAUUGGUCCAUCACCGAAAGUCUAAAAUUAUGCUUAAUCACUCAAUAUAUCAUCACAUAUAUCCAUUGUUGUAAGCCAUGUAUUUUCAUACGUUUUAGCUCAAAACCAAACCAAACUGGUGAACAUGAUAAUAUGAUAUUUCAUCACAAAGCAUAAAGACCCGAUUCAUACCAUACGAUCCAGUCAUAAUGAUCGCCCAUGACAAUAAGUUCAUUACAAAGGAUAGAGUCUAAUAUACCAAAAGACCAGAUUGAUAGAGCAGUACACGAAACGUAUAUGGUUCGGCUAUGGCAUAACAUCAGACUACCUAUAUAUAUGGAUAGAGAGUUUGGUCUGACUGCCUUGUCGCGCGGCUCCUCCCUGCGUUGUAAACACAUGUUGAUCGACAUUAUGUGUUACACAAAGAAUCCAUAGUGUGCCAUACGAAAAUCAACACAGCAAGAAUACAGUUCUUUUUCUAACCCUUAUGCCUUAUGAAUAGUGUUAGUUAUCUGGCAAAUAAAUAGCUCCUAUUAUUACUACUCCCUCCGUCCGGGAAUACUUGUCACCAAAAUGAAUAAAAGGGGAUGUAUUUAGAUGUAUAUUAGUUCUAGAUACAUUCCUUUUUAUCUAUUUUGAUGACAAGUAUUUUCGGACGGAGGGAGUACUCGCAUAGUGAACAUGCUAAAUAAUCGUGUUAACAAAUGACAAUAGUUAAAAGUUGAUAAUGCAAAAGGAAUGUGUUAACAAAUGACAAAAGUUAAAAGUUGAUAAUGCAAAAGAAAACAUGAUUAUAACACCUUUAGAAUUAGUUUGGUAAUGUUCACUGCAGCAAGACACAAAAUUCAUGUAGUUCUUGGUAGGCAUAAGUUACCAGAGUCCGCAAACAUGAGUAAUCCAGUCAGCUAGCAAUCAGCCAAAUGUAGGGCUGCCAACCAAAUUUCUAACAUAAUCGUUUUACUAACAGGGAAGCGACAAUAUACUUUGCUGGAUAUCCAAAUAUGCUUUAGGAGUCAUCAGAAAAAUUCUUGUAUAAUAUUGGUAUCCCUCUUAACAACAAGGAACAAUCUUGGUACACGACAUCUAUCUGUUUAUUAUUCCAAGAUACCAAGAUACGGGAAGCAUACUAAAAAGCAACAUCCUUGCACCAAAACAGCGGAAAUAGUUUCUUGUAACAAUUCAUAAUAUGCUUUGCAAUUUCCCCUGCACAAACAAAAGAACUAUCUGAGCUUGUGGGUAGCAGGAGAACUCCAAAACAAAAUCAGACCUACAAUUUAAGUGCAGGGUCCCAAUAUAGUAGCUAUUGAUCACCCCAUCAACAAGGCGCCAUGAUGUUCAUGAGUUUUCUUUAGCAUGCAUUCAGAAAUCACUGUUAGAUACAAGAUCAUCACCUAACAUCAUCAAUUAGCAUGAGCUUUUGACCAAUAUGCAGCAGACUUAAACAAACAGAUUAUAUAAAAGCAAAACUGACAGUCUGCUGAAGGUUUAUACAUCCAAGCAACAAAUACAAGUAAUAACACUCCAAAAGCUCUAGGCUAUUAUUUGAUAUAAGACCAUUUUUUCGCAGCAAAUACAUAACUUGAACCGAUAAAAGAGGUAAAUGUUUUAACAUUAUCACAGCACUGGGGCUAUAUUAUUCCUUAUUAUGGACUCGGAAUCACUUGCCCAUAAAAAGCCGUAAAGAUUGAUGUAAUAUUUUUCAUCUAACAUAAAAACCACCAAUCCAUCUUAGCAAGUAAUAACGGGAACUCAACUCUUGUGAGAAAGUAACUACUCAGUCACUCUAUUUAGACUACAUUUGCAGUCACUUCCAAAAUUUCAGGAAAAAUGUCACAGUCCAGAAAGUGCAUCGAGUUUAACAUGCCAUUAAACUGAACCGAGGUAACAAGUUCACUUCCCAACCGUUUUAGGCAUCUCGGAUUUACACACAAUCUACACAUUUGCUCAUCACACAAAUUAGGAGGCAACAAUAAUGAUAUACCCAUCAAGUUCACUGCAAUCUUUUUAUCCUACCUGAGAUGUAGCCUGCAGGUGGACGUUGGAUUCAAGGUUGCCUGGCCCCAGAACUGAAACAGUAGCAAGCAAUUAUGAGAGUUAUUAACAAGAAAAUAAAUAUGCAUUGGUAGUUAAAGAAAAUGUCGCGACAGAUGGCCAGAGAUAACAGUUACUACUAUUGUUGAAAUAACUUACAGUGGGACAAUGCACAAGCUUGACUGUUCACAAGAAAUAAAUAAUAUCUUGUUCUUCUUCCUCUACACCGAACUCUCCCGCGAGAUUAUUCCUCCCCUCCUUCCUCAGAUCUGCCACAAUUGUAUUUAGAAAAUGCACGAGGACAUCCUCAAUUUCCCAAAGGAUGUCGCCUACUGAGCAGUACAUGUAGACAAUUAUGUCCAAGCCUAUCAGGCUAUAAACUAUUAUGCUCAACUGAAAAAGCAAAUAUUGAAAUAAUAGUUAUUUCAAAUUUCUUUUAUGUGCGCUGCACAUGGUUUUAUAAGUCUGUAUAAUUAAUCCAUAUACAAAUAAACAUAUAUUUAGUAUUUCUAUAUGGUUGAGAUCUAGGACAUUGUUUACCAAAACUUUGUUACUAUGAUAUGUUCUUCAAAUGUGCCAAACAUACAAGUUUUUUCCCACUCCCUACGGUUGUAAGGUCAUGUGUUAACUAAAGAUCGACAGUCAACACCAAAUCUUUAUGUCUAUAAAAUGCGAAAGGGACAACCUUUUUACUGAUUAGUUUCAAAGUCAACUAACAUGUAUUGAUGGUUUGUAUGGAAUAUAUAUUUUAAUUAAAAUUGUCUAGAUAGAUGUACACACCUCAAGAAAAAUAGCAAGGAGAGACUAUAAUCAUCUGGUCUGAGCAUCAGUAUAGGUGUUGGCUAAGACUUGUUACCAUAAAACCUAUAUUCUGUAAGAACAUCAUCAUAAAGAGAGUUGAUAUCGCGGCAUCCAUACUCGAUAUAUUAAUCAUAGAAUAGGCUUUCUCCAAAACACAAACGCGAGUAUCUUGAGAUAGUUUCUCAAGAUAUGAAGAAUGAGAAUGGAUCACAGUACAUAUAUGCACACAGUAAUAGCAUUAUGUGUCAAUAGCCACAUAGAAAAGAAAGAAGGGAAUUGUCCAUCAUGUGGGUGAUCAUAGUGACGGAGAUAUCGACAAUGUGGGUGAGUGCCCUAUAACCUCAGCUUUGCUGAUGAGUAUAUCUAGGUGCAUCCAAAAUAUACAUGAUUAUUUUUGUUCUGUGCUACAUGGAAAGUGCAUAGAGCUCAUUUGCUUUGCCUCGUAAGAUUUUAAAUUCUACAUAAUACUUCAAUAGAUGAUAAACCUAAAGAAUAUGUUUUUGCUUAUGUUAGUUGGAGGCUUUACUUAGAACGCAUUUGUCAAAACAUGUUGUGUUUCAGCUUUAAUAAUAACUAAAUCGUUGCUUCAUGAAUUCAGCUAACUCUACCGCAAAUACCAGUUAAAUUUCUCUUGAUACGGGGUAACUAAUUGAGCCAUAGAAAAACAAAACUUGGAAUGUCAAAAGGACGUAGACAGAGUCUAUACAGAUAUCACGACACAACAAGAUAUAAAAUAGGAUGUAAUAGUGACUAUGCUUUAUUUCUAGUAAAACUAUCACAGAGAAAGAAAAUUGUUGGACAAACAAUCCUCUCUUUUUCAUAUGUGAUUGUACAAACAACCAUAUGUUUUCAUGUGUAACAAAAACACUAAUUACAACUCAAACGUUAGAAAUUCUAACCAAGGCCCCCUUCCAUACACAAAGGAACAAAACCACCAACAUUUCCAUGCACAAAGGAACAAUAAUGUUAGGCCCUACCUGAAUCCAGACAAGGAACAAAAAAGCAUAUAUUUACACCCCAUCAAAAAACAAGCAUGGAAACAAAGGAACUACAAAAAUAUACAGCAUAGAGAAUAGUAUAUUUGGCCUUUACCAGAAAAGGAAAGCCUCAUUGGCCAACCAGGGCAAGCAGAACAUGGUGAGCCCCAAAACACAAAUUGCCAUGCAACCAUACACCUAGCUCUGGAAAAGAAGAUGCGUGGAUAGGAGGAGAAGAGGGGUUGACAUGCAGAUCCGUGAAUGGAGACGCAGGAGGGUGCUGAUAGACGGGGUGCAGGCCCAACCCCGGCUUGCCGCUCAGCCGGCGGAGACGACAUUGAGCCCUCAAUGCAUCGACGACUUUGUGUUCGCUGUAUGGAGCCGCAGAAAAAGGAGAUCAGAACUGUGUAUAUAUGGACAUCUAUGAGAGAGUGAACACUGGAUGCAGAGGAGAAAAUGGAACCAAAUGGUGAUCAUUACUAUUCAACUUGAAAGGAAGCGCAGUUUAUAUCCAUGAUUUCCCUCUUGUGAAGCAAGCAUCAAACAACACAGAAGCAAUGAAAUUGCACAUUCAAAUAGAACAAUACAUGAAAUGCUCUUGUGUCGAGAACAAUUGCAAGUAUUUUGUGCACAUCACAUCAUAUUUGCAGGGGUAGCUCGAGAACGGGUGGGGCUCACCACGUGUGGGGGUAGCAGGAGGAAUAGGCAGAGCAGCCUUGAGGGCCCGUCCACCUGCAGAAGCAGCUUGUCCUCAUCGGAGCAACCUUCACAUAAAACAAACGCAGGAAUCAGAAUAAGAGGAGAUGAAGAAACAAAGAAGAGAUUCAUGCCCACCCAGAAUAGUCAGAGAUCCACCCAGAACAAAGACCAUAAUAAACUAAGAGCCUAAUCAGGUUGUCAUGGUUAAGAACAUAUAUAGCAGAACAAUUAAUGAUUGAUGCUGCUAAAUCAACAACCCAAAGCUGAAGCUUUUUUUAUACAUGGCUGCUAGAAACAUGCAAAUACAAUGAAUUAGAGCAUCUCCAGCCAUUGGAGCCCCCCAGGACAAUCGCCAGGCCAAAUAUAGCACGUCCUGGGGGGCAAUACACCUUCGCCGAAUGAAACGCGAGGACGUUUUCCCAGCCGUUGGUGCCCCCAGGACAGUCGCCAGGCAAAAAGUGAAUGAGUGGACCAGAAAAAAAUGAUACAUGGAGGAAUAUGAUUGGCUGUUGCUUCCGCCGGCGCCCCUAGCAGCCCCCCAGCGCGUUGGGUGUGGCCUGGGUUCACCGGCACCUUUUUGAGGUCUUGGGGGCAUGGCUGGGCCUUUUUUUGCCAUUUUUAGNNNNNNNNNNNNNNNNNNNNNNNNNNNNNNNNNNNNNNNNNNNNNNNNNNNNNNNNNNNNNNNNNNNNNNNNNNNNNNNNNNNNNNNNNNNNNNNNNNNNNNNNNNNNNNNNNNNNNNNNNNNNNNNNNNNNNNNNNNNNNNNNNNNNNNNNNNNNNNNNNNNNNNNNNNNNNNNNNNNNNNNNNNNNNNNNNNNNNNNNNNNNNNNNNNNNNNNNNNNNNNNNNNNNNNNNNNNNNNNNNNNNNNNNNNNNNNNNNNNNNNNNNNNNNNNNNNNNNNNNNNNNNNNNNNNNNNNNNNNNNNNNNGGGGGGCUGGAGAUGCUCUUACUACUUGAAUGAAGAGAAAGCAUGUUUAAUUACCGGGUGCGUGGCGUUGUAGUGGAGGAGAGCGUGGCGGUGUCGUGCCUUCUACUGAACCUGACGCAUGAUGGCGGUGUUGUGCCUUCUGCAUCAAAUGCAAUUGGAGCAAACUUACUUGGUACUGUUAUAAUUGUUCAACAUAGAUACUUCAACAGCACUCUGCCCUAUUAAUGAAACAUGGACGAGGUCUUCUCAUCAGAGCGACAUGAUGGACAAAGUUGGAACCAAUGGCGAUGGGGUAACCUCACACACAUCUUUCCAUAAUGCAAUUCUGCAGACACAACCAAAGUAUAUUUACUAUUUAUUUUUGAGUCAAUUGCACGGUUCAGUUUUAUUUUGAGUCAAUUGCACGGUUCAGUUUAGUCCAGAAAGUUACAAGUCGUGUUUGAUGGUGGUUGACGAAUCAUCUAUAAGCUAUGUAUUUUAUGUUGAUUUCUUCCUAUGAACAUGGUAAAAUGUCUACACCUCCCUGCAUUGGCUCUCUACACGUUCACAGUAGGUUUAGUAGGGGGUUAAAAGGUGGCUCAUUUCAUCAUACCACUUGUCUGAAUUUCUGAACAUCUAAACCACAGUGGUCAUAACAACAGUUUGUUAACUCUAAAAGUUAAACAUUGAAUGUGACUGAAUUUCCCCACAAAAGAAAAAGAACAUGACUGAAUUGAACUGAAUUUUUUAACACUGAAAUUAGCAAUCACCACCAGGUUGUGUCCAGAAGUAGAAAGAGGGCGUGGUGCCUCGUCCACCUGCAGCAGCAACAACAAAAGCUCCACCACCUCUUCCAGAUCGGAGCAACUGCGCACAAAACAAACCAAGGAAUCACAAGGAGGGGAGAUGAAGAAACCGACAAGACAAGGGGUUUAGGUAUCAUGCGCACGCACCAUUGUUGGAGAUCUGUGGAUGAGCUCGCCGGAGAUGGCCUGCAGCAGGCGCGUACUUGGAGGGCCAGGGAUUCGGGCGUCUCCUUCCAUGGCUGUUGCCGGGCCGGACCACCAUGGCCGACCUCGAGGACGGUCGCGGAUGAGGUCGAUGACGAAGUGUCGAUGGCCCUGUGGAUCUGGGCGCUGCCUCACCUGGUCGCUCGAUCCCUUCCAUCCCCUCCCCUCCCCUUACCUUUCCUUGGUGACGGUGAACUCCAGGUCAGCCUCGGGCGCAGCCUUUGAGGAGGUCAUGCGCUUGCGCGAGGAGCCUCGCGAUGGCUCGGCGGCCGAGGGCUGCGAGCUGGGCGGCGCCAUAUGGGAUGCGUGCAGCUGGCUGGGGUUCCGGGAGAGGAUUCAGAUCAUGGGUGAGGGAGGAAGGAAGAGGACUUGCACUUCUUCCCGGCCAUGGCUGGCUCAGCUAUGGGAGAGGAACGGGGAGGGGAUGGUGGCGCGGCUGCAGAUGGUUGGCGGCGGUGGCGGCGGCGAACGGGGAGGAUGACUGGCGGCAGUGGCUCUCUCGAGAGAGAGAUGUGAGGGAGAGAAAAAUGAGGGAGGCACUCAUUGGGGGAGGAGGCAGCGAAUCGGAAAAGGGCACAGAUGCGAAAUGACCAAAAUGCCUUGGGUGGGGGACGUGAAUUUCAGCAAUGGCAUGAGAUCUUUUACCCGCUGGACAGCGCCGAUGGGCUACACCGGACGUGCCCCGGCCACCCCUUCAUACCUGUUUGGUUAGAUAUUUGUGUACGUGACUUCUACUAGCGGGCGGCCUGAAAGUUGAAAAAAAGGAAAAUUCAGAAAAAAGAAUAAAAAAAAGUUGAUGCAAAGUUUUGGCCAGCUAGCAUCUUUUGAAAAAUCUCUUUUGCUGUUCAGCCUGCUCUGUUCAUAUAAGUGAUAUGUUCGAUUUUUUUGUCUGCUCUUGGUUGCCAUACACUACGUUCAUACCUCACUUAUAUCUAGCUACUUGGAGCUAUUAUAUUUUCGCCAGUUCCCUCUCGCUUGAUUCAGUAUCUGGGCUUAGAUUAUUUUAUCUCUUACUAGUCGACUACCAAUACUAGUUAGGAGUUUGAGCAAUUAUUCAUCUUGCAUUACUUUUAGCAAAAUUGUGCCACCGAUAUUGUGAGUUGAGAAAACCUUCACCAAGCUCCACUUUCUAUAUUGUACAUUGUUUGGUGACUUGGCAAUCACUAUAUCCAACUUUGAUAACUUUUGAAGGCGCCAAAGGCCGACAACCACUGCAGCACGGUAAGAUCUUGUAAGAGCUUGGUAAUUGCUAGAGUGUUGAGAGAAUUUUUCCGCCACCUCCGAGUAGUAAUAUAGAAACAUUAUACUUAUUAUUUUUGUUUUUUGUGUGGUACUAACCAUGGCAGAUUCUAGAGCGGUUGACAGUUGGGGUGCGUCUAUUGUGGGAGAUGACUUGCCAUAUAUUGAUAAAGAUCACUCUUUCCCACCACAAAAGGUACGACGAUCGUCACAUGAUAUACAUCAUGGUAGAAACACACAUCAUCAUGUUACCUCUUUGCCAAAUUUUAAGGGUAAAUAUGACCCCGAUUCAUAUAUUGAUUGGGAAACUGAGGUAGAAGAAAUAUUUGCUAGCCAUGAACUUCCCAAGCAUAAGAAAAUAAAUGUUGUCACUAAAGUGUUUUUAGGUUUUGCUUCAGUUUGGUGGAGAAAUUAUUGCAGGAAAAAAAUUGAUAAUAGGCCUUCUACUUGGAAAGAUUUAAAACUUGUUAUGCGAGACCGAUUUGUUCUUCAUAUCAUGCCAGUGAUUUUCUUAGAAAAUUACAACGUUUAGCACAAGACAAUAUCACUGUUGAAGAAUAUUAUGACAAUUUGUGUAUUGCUUUGUUUCGUUCUGGCUUAGAAGAAUGCGAAGAAGAUUUUCUGAAUUGAUUUUGGAAAGGUUUAAACCAUGAUAUACAAGACAUAAUAAUGCAUGAAGACUAUAUUCUAUCGAUCAUUUGUUUCGUCUUGCCUGUAAAGCUGAACAGAAAUUAAGAGGACGCGUCUACAUGACGAACAAGCGUGCGAUGGAAUCCCCAUCAAAGAAGGUUACUUCCUCCCCUGCACCACCAACUAUGAUUGCACCACAUGGACUUUAUGAGGCAUCGUCACCGACCGUUCUUACUUCAUGUGAGCAAGGCCUACUACACUAGUAGAAAAUAGGGCUUUGGUCCAGGUCUGAAAAGGGCAUUAAUCCCGGUUUCCCUAUGAACCGGGACUAAUGGGUGCAUCAAUCUCGGUUCGUAAAGCCAGGGCGCCGGCCGGGCCUCGGGGGCCAUUGGUCCAGAUUCGUCUGACCCCUUUGGUCACGCUUCCAGACACGAACCAGGACCAAUGGGCCUCGCUCCUGGCCCACAACCUUUAAUCCCGGUUGGUGGUUGGAACCGGGACCAAAUGGAGUCCUUUAGUCCCGGUUCUAGCCACAAAUCGGGACUAAAGAGAGGCCUAUAUAUCCCCCUUCCCGCGAGCAGAGCAGUGCAUUGCUCUGUUUUUUGGCCGGCCGUGGGAGAGCUUUGUGGUGCUCUAGCUCACCUCCUAUGCACAUGAGGUGUUCGGUGAAAUGUCCAAGACAUACUUAAGCUUUCUCCUCUCGAAGCUCCUUGGCCAAACUCCAUUUUCCUUAAGAUUUGUCUAGGUUUGGCGGUCCAUCCUGUCCCGUUCCCGUCCUCACCGACGUCGAUCGCCCGCGCCGAUCUCGCCGCCGGCACCACCGUGGUGAGCCUCUUGUUCUUAUCUUCUAAAAGAAAAAAGUUCUUACUUGUAUGAUUUAGAUAGAUACUUGUAUAAUUUUCUUACUUUUAUUAUUUUUUGUUAUUAUAUAAUGCGAUGGUUUUGGUAUCCGCCUCCGUCGGCCCUCGUCCUGUCUAUGAUUCGGAUGUGGUAUAUAUUAUAUUUUAUAACUAUUUUGUUCAUUUAGUGUGUAUGAAAAUUAUGCCGACCAACGUGACAUAGAUGUUUUUAUCAAGGAGGUAUGUGAACCGGAAAUUCCAACCGACCCUAUUGUUGAGAGGUUAAAUUUAGUUGAAGAAGAAAACAAUUACCUGAAGAAAAAAUUGAAAAGAAUUAAGGAGGAGAAGAUGGGAUUGGAGUUGCAUGUUGCGGAUGUCGUCAAUGAUCACAAGAUCAAGAUGGAUGCAAUGCGCUUGAAGAUUAUAAAGAUUAGAAAAUAUGUCAUUCAUACCGAGGCUUGGCAUCAUUAUGCCGUUGGAUCAAUUGUUACCUUAGUUGCGAUUAUGAUCGCAUUUGUUGUUGCAUUGAAAUGUUUUACAUUAUUUCAAUGUAUGGUUUAAUUAGAUGCUCUAGAGAGCUAUAUAUAUGUUGUUCAAUGAGAACUAUAUAUGUAUGAACUUUAUGUAUUUAUUUUUUCAGUAAUAACAUUUGAUCACUACUGUACUUUGGUUUUAAUGUGAUGAUGAACUUCUAUUAAUUUGGUUUUCUAUAUUCAUGCUGUUCUGUAAUGGUUUUUGACACACUUAAUUAUAUAUAAUGCACGCAGAUGAACCGGCAAUGGAUGUACGAUGAUGUUAACAUCAGUCUGUUUAUAUUGAACUGAUGAUCGUGUAUUACUACUGAAGUCAAGCAAUGAGGUCUAGUUUGUUGAAAUUACAUAUUUGGCUCGGUUAUAGUUUAUUCCAUUGCUUUUCUUUUUCCAUGCCUUACUACUGAACUGAACUAAAGCACUUCUGUUUGAAAAAUUACAAGGAGACUUCUACAGCCUACUAGCAUGUUCUAGCUUGCCGCUGAUGUGUAUUCAUGCUGAUGAAGCUUGCUUGCCUAGCUGCUAGACUGAUUCUUGUUCUGUUAUGGGUGCUGUGGUUAUUUGAACUUUAAUUGCAGCUACUAUUACAGUGUGUGCAUACAUGACUGAAACUGUAUGAUGUGUGUGCCAUGGUUACCUGAACUUCAAUUCUAGCUACUAUUCAAAUCUAAUACUAGCAUGUACAUGACUGGACUCGUACUACUGCGUACUAGUGUGCCAUUUUGCUUAUUCUUUCCUUGAACUUUGCAUGCUCUCUAUUCUUUCAGAGAUAUGUUCAAAGCUAGUUCCUCGGAGGUGUAUUCUUUCAUAGAUAUGUUAAAGCUAGUUCUUUAUUCUUUCAAAGAUAUGUUAUUUUCAUACUUUCAGCUCACAUGUAGCUUUUCUUUGUAGGAAAGUAAAUACUCCUACGUUACAUAAAAAGAGAGACAGAGUCAAAGCUGUAAGGACUUGGUAAAGAAAACUGUGAGAUGUAGGCCCCAUAUACUCCUGCGUGACCCGAAUUUCCUGAGCGAAGUUGGAAGCAGCGCAGCGUGCGUCCGUACAUCAUGGGCAUCUUGCCAGUGAUCUAUGCACUAUCCCCUUUGUUUUUUUUGCGGGAAUAAUACUUGUAUUACUCAUUCACCAAGUCCUUACAAUCAUCAAGGACCAACUUCAAAACAUCCUCCGGGCCUGAACCGACCCAAGUCAUAGUACGACCUUCUACUCUAGCAAAACUAGCUAGUCUAUCACUCGCUCAUGAGUAAUACAAGUCUGCCUAAGACUCAACAAGAAUUUAAUUUCACUAACCAAAGAAGCAUAAACUGAGCAAUCCACCUCGCCGCAUGAAAUAAUAGCCAUGGUUGUAGUCGAGUCCAUCUCAAUGGCAAUUGGAAGAUUGGAGCGUUGAAUUGCGAAAGAUAAGCCUUCCAUACAUGCACAUAACUCCGUCCCCAGAGCGUCUCUACACGAGAACAAGGCCCUGCAUGAUGAGAAUAUUAUGGCUCCUGAGUUAUCUCGCAAGAUCAUUCUAGCACCCGCACCACCAGCGAACGAGUAAGAUCCAUCCGUGUUAAGCUUCACCCAGCCAAGCUGGGGCGGCCUCCAAGGUGUAUCGCCAUUCACGGGGUGCUCAACAGCGGACCUAGACUUUAGAUCAUAGGAUAUGCUGCACUUCCCCUUUGCUGGAUCAAAGCGUGAGUUCAGUUUGAUGCCAAUUAGAGCAUCCAAGUAAUUCUGAAGAAACCUUGUUGAUACUUCCAUGGGAGGAGCAGGUCCAUGAUGUACUAUCUCAUUCCGAAUGAACCAGCUUCUCCAAAAAAUUAACAGUAGCAUACUUCUCUGAAUUCGUUCAAAGGGGCAAGUACGUGAAGUAGCCAUUCCUUACCAACAGGCAACAGGGAAUCAAGGAAUGGUAAAAUCCAAAUCUCGGCCAUGGCUAGAUAAAGAUCACGUCCGUAUUGGCAUCUCACAAACGGGUGGAAAUUGUCCUCCUCUUCCAUACCACAAACUGGACAUCUACUUGAAAGCUCCAGUCCAAUCUUGUGUUUAUUCCUCCAUGUCGGCAAAGAGUUCGUAGUCAAUCUCCAAGCAAAAUUGCGCACAGUGGGGGUACAUCACAUCUCCAUAUAUAUUGCCAGCAUUUUCUACUACCAUCUGGCGAUGUGCUAGACGCCUCUGCAGUAUUUCUGUGAGCUACUUCAAAAGCCAGCAUAUAUGCUGAUAUGACCGUGAAGACGCCGAGCUUCCCCGGCCCCCAUGCAAUCACAUCCUCACCUAAUCUUGGAGAUGCCCGUAUCUUUAAGAUUUCUUCCACAUCAGCUGAUAAGAAGUACUGCUGAAGAAGUACCGAGUUCCAAGAACCAUUAUCAUUUAGCAAGUCGGACACAAAAAGAAUGCGACAUCUUCCCUGCAGCGACACAGGUUUGUAUGAAAAGGGCCUUGGAAUCCAGUUAUCUCUCCCCUUUGUUGGUAGUCAGAGUCACUAGGACAACUAACUGUGUUAGCAUCUAGAGUUGUAACAAGCCACAGUCCGCCUAUCUUGGUUGCGCAGCGAUGAUGCUACCAUCUCCUACUACAAAGUACACGCCUUGCACCGGAAACAGCGCAACCAUAUGACAUCUAUCCGAGUGGGCGACCACGUGGUAACCGGGCAUGAGGCCAUGGCUGAGGCCGCCUACAACCACUUCUCCGAUGUGCUCGGAAGUGCCACGGAGCAUGACAUCACGCUUGAUCUCCGCGUUUUGCGUGUUCAACACAAUGCUACUCCGUGCGGUGGACCUAGGCCUUCUUCGACGCCUUACCACUCGGCACGCGGCCUCGAGUAUAUCGCUAUACGCGGACGAUGUUGUCAUCUUUUGUCACCCGGACUGCCACGACAUUACCACCGUGUGAACCAUCCUGCACAUAUUCGGGCUUCAUACAAACUUCGCCAAGUGUUCUGCCACCCCGAUCCGGUGCGAUGAUGACAACAACAUGAUGAUCACAUCUGAGAUGCAGUGCCCCAUAGCCCAAUUCCCCAUCACAUACCUCGGGUUGCCUCUCUCUGUCUGCAAGGCCUCCACGACUAGCUUGCUCCCGAUCAUCGACAAGCUCGGCCACAAGCUCUCCACUUGGCAUGCUUCCAUGAUGUCCAACGGGCAACGGCGACCGCCUUGCUCUCGUGCAUCACGUACUUAGUGCUAUCCCGACAUACUUCCUCACCGCCUUUGCUCUCAACCAAUCCAUCCUCAAGAAAUUCAACUGCAUCAUCUAGAUGCUCGAGGUGCCCGACUGUAGAUGCUCUAAUCAUCUAGAUCCGGCGCUCAAAGGCUCCACCCUCCCCCAUGGCUUGGGUUCGGGCGCCUCCCCAAAACUUCGUCGGGAUCCGCCACAACCGGCAACGGCGAGGCCAGAGGUGGCCGGAUCCGGCACAGGUUGGUCUCUCCCCUCCUUCUUCGCCCACCCUCUCCUCCUUACCUCACGCCACGUGUCUUCCCUUUUUUGCAGGUCGCUAUGGUGCGGACGGCGAUGACGGCAGGAGGGGCACACACAUCCGUGGAUGGGACGCCGCCAUGGAGAUGGAGAUCCUUCUUCACACCACGCAGAGGCCCCAUGGAGCCUCCCUCCUUCUUCGGUGACUUCUUCUCAGGCCCCACCACUACCUCUGACCUCCCCCUCCUCUACUUUGAGUUGCACCAUGCUUUGUUUCAGAUUCAUCCACCCAUGGGUGAUACAUGGCAAGUUAGGGGUUGCUGCAGUUUGAGGUUAAUCCCUUGAUUGGCUGCUGUUUAGGGUUGAUUGGCUCAGUUGGCUGCUAGACUUUAGGCGUGCAUACAUGGGUAUGACGUGCUCUGCACAUUUAGGAUUGAAGUAUUGUGUUGCAGCACUCAGUGACGUUAAUUUAGGGCAUUUCAGUGUCAGUUCCACUAUAUUUAGGGGGACAUUUAAUAGUGCAAUUUCAUGGUUAUUACAGUGUAAUUUCAAGGUUCUUGCACUGUAAGUUCAGAGAAUUACAAUGUUAGUUUAUGUGAAUUCCCGUGCAUUUUACUGUGUAAUUUAAGUGCAAUGGAAAUUAUAGUGUAAAUUUAGUGUAAUUUACUAUGUAAAUUUAAGGAAAUUACACUGUAAUUCGUGUGCAACUUUUAGUGUAAUUUACAGUGUAAUUUCAACGGGUUUACAGUAGAGUAAUUUAAGUGUAAUUACAGUGUGCACUUUAGAGCAAUCAUACUAUAUAUUUAGUGAAUUUAAAGCAUCACUCCAUACCUUUCGCGUUUGUCUUUUUUCUCUACAAGUUACUGCUAUACUGUUGAUUGAUUCUACCCUUGCGUAAGAAACUUUGAUGAGCACAUAAUUUUCUACUAUGUAAUUUGAGCAGCUUGGUAACCGUAAUUUUCAGUUUCCUUUGACCCUAGGCCCUUGUGCUUUAGAAUUGCUAUUUUUUGUCAGUGUACAUGCUAGAUCAUGUGGUUUAUGAUACUUCUCUGGUCCUUAUAAACAAAGUGACAUGUUUGUGCCGUGGAAUAGAAAGAAUAUUUCAGUGUCUCUCUUUAGGCCUUUUGUCGAAUUGUUAUGUGGUCCAGCGCAGCCUUACGAAACCGGGUUCUAUGCAGUUCAUGUACAGUGCAAAACUCAUUAUUGCAGGUCAGGCCUGUUGCAUGUUUUUGGUCAUUGACAUGCAGGAAAGAAGGAAAAAGGACAUAGAAGUAUCAUUUUGUUAUUGGUCAAGAAAUUUGAAUAAUGUCCAACUGAUUUCAGUUGAAUGACAAAUAGACAAUCCCUUGUUUAAUCAGUAGAUAUACACCAUUAACUCAAAUAGCAAAGAAAUACUAGUCCACUUAUAAUCGACGAUUGCGCAUGAUGCAUCCAUCCAUUCUAUCGGAGAGGCUGUGUUUUUUUUUCUUCUUGUGCUAAGGUUGAUAGCAUCACAUAUCUUAUGCUUUUGUUUCUCAAGUAGAGCCUUGAGAUAGAUGUGUCUGCAACCGUCCUCGAAUGGUUGUGCAAUAAUAAUGGUCCUAGCUAAUUACUAGUAUGCAUUGCUUAUAAAACAACUUGCUGCUCAUUUCACUUUGAGUAUGCUGUUGCUGCUAAAGUAGCAACAACAACAGCCAUGCUUUGGUUCCCCAAAAUUCAGAUGGCACUGACAUCUCUACAUACACACACAUAUGAAUAUGCACCUUGGUUUGGUUCAGUUUGCAUGUGUACCGUUUCUUUAACUUUGACUGAAACUAUCUUGGUGGCACUUGCAUCAAUGUUGUGCUCUACCCUUGUAUAUGUCCUUGGAGAAGAUGACCAUUGGACUGUAGGGGACGAACAACCUUGUCCUGCUCGAGGAGGAGGAGGAUGGCCACCCCGAGCUCGAGGACGACACGACAACAGGUAGCACUCACCUCCCUACCAAGGUGAAGGUCCGAUCCGCCUGUUUAGAUGGUCUGCUCUUGUCUUGUGAUCUGAGGGGAGAAGAAAGCCAUUGGCCUCAAUUAUAUUUGCAUGUGAGGGGAGCGAUCCUUUUGGUAGAUGCAGAGUAUAGAUUAGAUAUUCCACAAAACUCACCACACGAGUAUACUACCUAUAUCCACAAAAUUCACCACACGAGCAUACUACCUAUGUCCAAAUGUGGGUGUGAUACUUUCAACAUGAAACAUGAAUAUCAGGUUGGGAGUUUGGAGUUUAAUCAAAUAACGCAGCAAGGCGAUCAUCGGUAGGGAUGCACCUUUGAGGCGGCAAGGAGAGCUUCUCAAAGGCAGUACACAUGGCUUAUUACUGCUUGUAUGUGAGUACGCAGAUGUGGAGUCUAUGGAUAGAGGGUUAGGGGCGCAACGCAAGCAGCAGUAGGGGAUACACAACCUGAUUUGAUUUGGUCAAUCACGGGGAAAUGGGAGAAGGCCUAGGGUGCAAAGUUUGGAUCGGUGGGUUGGUAGCGUUAGGCAUAAUAGAGAUCAAACUUUUUCAUAGGCGUAUGUAGGUUAUUUCCUUGAAGCAUUUUAUCAAAAUGGUGUAGGUGGGUAAUAUCUCUCAACUUAAAUGUGAAGGGAAGAUAUUAUUUCCUUGUAGAGGCCGAGGAAUACAUGGCGUACCGCUACAUAUGCAACCAUGAUUUUUUGUGGAUGGUUACGAGAGAACCUGAAAUAUACCAUGGACCGAAGCAUGGGCACAUGAAGUUCCAACACCGAAGGGUAAGGAGACGGGCCCGCGUCAUUUACGUCGGGAAUAUGCGACCUUGAUUCUUUGUGGAUGGUGAUGCCAAGACUAUAGGAUAAGGUGGAUCCGGACACAUGAGCAGAUGAAGUGCCUGACACGAAGUAGGUUAAGGAGCUGGACCCAAGUCAUCUACACCGCAAAUUGGUCGAAGGUGUGCCGUGAAUGAUAGAUGUACUUGAGGGGGGAGAAAGCCUGUGAAAAGAACAUACGGUUGCUCGAUGAUGACACAUGUCUUGAGAGGAUGGCGAGAACCCUAGAUAUGGUUAAGGCAUGCCACGAGAACAUCACCCCGGUCGCGAGAUUCUCAGUGGUGUGCGGCAACCGAAGCCAAAAGGGCACCCCCGCAAGACCUUGAAACGCCAGAGCGGUGGGCGCACAAGCAAUGGUGAGGAAAAUCACAUAAGGUACCAAGCAAGGCCAUCCUGAUCAGGGCUCCAUUGCCAAGCUUAUGUCCACCACUGCGAUUUAGACAAAUUUUCAACUGGCGUCUCUGUCUUCUCAAGAUUUCCACGGUCCCAUCAGGAUGUAUAUAUAUACUUUGUUUAUUUUGAAAAUUAAUAUAUCACCAAAGAAAUUUUAGUACUUGUCAUUCUUUUAAUUACUUAGUAGUUUGCAUGAUAGACUCAAUCUUAUAUUUACUAAUUAGAGGCACCAAAUAAGCGACCACGUUAAUCCUCAAAAACUAAGAAUAGUAUCCAUCCGAUCUCCAUAUUAAGUAUCUGUAGCCGUCCAUUGGACAACUCAAGAGUCCGUUGUUACUAUCCCACGUCAUGCUCGAUGUAAUGUGAAAAAAAAUCAUCUCCUUGGCCAAAUCCAUCCCACGUCAUGCUCCAUGUAAUGUGAAAAAAAUCAUCUCCCCGGCCAAAUUCUUCCUCCCCCGGUCUAUCAUGUGAGGCACUUGCGCAUCAUCCACAAAUCCCUAGCGCAAAUCCAUCCCACGUCAUGCUCCAUGUAAUGUGAAAAAAAUCAUCUCCCUGGCCAAAUUCUUCCUCCCCCGAUCUAUCAUGUGAGGCACUUGCGCAUCAUCCACAAAUCCCUAGCGCUACUCUUCCAGGUCAUCCUCCUCCUUCCUAUCUUUUGCUGUCUUAAUGCAAAACAAUUCCGUGAGAUCCUUGUGAUCCUCUUCAUAUUCACGUAGAAAUCUGAACUGUCCCAACCACGCUGCAGAUCUGUGGUCCGUCUUGGACAAAGAGAAGGCCCUUUCAAUCUCCACAGAUGCCAUGCCCCAACCAAACCACAACCCAUGAUAAACGAUGUUGUUGAGAAGGAGGCGCUACCUAAGUCUGAUCGGACAUAUUCCAUUGUUGGGGAAGCUACAAGUCGAAGAACUAUGGUAGACUGAUUGCAGGUAAUUAAGGAGCUAGCAACGAUCCAGUAGGUUUUUGUUAUUAGGAAUUUUUAUGUAGUGCGACUUGAUCUCGAAGAACAAGUACACCAUUAGAGUUCGUUUUGGAGGAUUUUGAUGAUGUGCGCUUAGUUACAGACUUAUCUAAAUACGUAUAACUAGGAUGGACAAUAUUUGUAGGAGCCAUACAAUCCAAUUAGGGGAUUCAGUUUGUCAAAGAUGUUUCCACAUAUCCCUAGCGCUGCUCUUCUAGGUUGCCCCCUGCUUCCUAUCUACGGUCUUCAAGUAAAGCGAUUUAAUGAGUCUCUUGCUGCAGAAAUUCCAACUGCCACAAGAAGGCUGCAGACCUGCGGUUCAUCUUGGCUGAGGUGUCAUACAAUCCAGUUAAGGGAUUCCAUUCAUUGAAGAUGUGGUUGUACUUUCGCACAACAAACUCAAGCACAUCUUCUUAUGUUCUUAGAAACUGGAUGAGUUGUUUUGGACUUUCUUUGGUCUACUCCUCUAUGCUUCUUGUUGGGAAAGUUAGUAUGCAAAAGUUAUGCCCAUCUUCUUAAAUUCGGAUGUAACUUUUCGAGUAGAUGAUUUUUCAUAUAAAAAACUUUUUCAUCCGAGUUAGUAUGCAAAAGUUAUGCCCAUUUUUACAAAUUUCAGAGAGAUUUUGCAAAUAAAGUCAAAAUUCACAUUUGCAAAUUUUCCCAACAACUAGACCACAUAUCACAUGGGAAACUUAUUUUCUUUUAUUUUUUUGACAUUUCCAUCAUUUUCUUUUAUUUUUUUAAAANNNNNNNNNNNNNNNNNNNNNNNNNNNNNNNNNNNNNNNNNNNNNNNNNNNNNNNNNNNNNNNNNNNNNNNNNNNNNNNNNNNNNNNNNNNNNNNNNNNNNNNNNNNNNNNNNNNNNNNNNNNNNNNNNNNNNNNNNNNNNNNNNNNNNNNNNNNNNNNNNNNNNNNNNNNNNNNNNNNNNNNNNNNNNNNNNNNNNNNNNNNNNNNNNNNNNNNNNNNNNNNNNNNNNNNNNNNNNNNNNNNNNNNNNNNNNNNNNNNNNNNNNNNNNNNNNNNNNNNNNNNNNNNNNNNNNNNNNNNNNNNNNNNNNNNNNNNNNNNNNGGCACGAACCGGGACUAAAGGUCUCAACCCCAUUAGUCCCGGUUCGUGCCUCAAACCGGGACUAAAGGUCUAAUCUUUAGUCCCGGUUUGAGGCACGAACCGGGACCAAUGGUUGUGGGCCAGAAGCAAGGCCCAUUGGUCCCGGUUCAUCCCACCAACCGGGACCAAAAGGUCCAGAUGAACCGGGACCAAUGGCCCACGUGGCCCGGCCGGCCCCCUGGGCUCACGAACCAGGACCAAUGCCCCCAUUGGUCCCGGUUCUGGACUGAAACGGGACUAAUGGGCUGACCCGGCCUGGACCAAAGCCCUGUUUUCUACUAGUGAGUCCAAUCUUGUGUUUAUUCCUCCAUGUCGGCAAAGAGUCAGUAGUCAAUCUCCAAGCAAAAUUGCGCACAGUGGGGGGUACAUCACAUCUCCAUAUAUAUUGCCAGCAUUUUCUACUACCAUCUGGCGAUGUGCUAGACGCCUCUGCAGUAUUUCUGUGAGCUACUUCCAAAGCCAGCAUAUAUGUUGAUUUGACCGUGAAGACGCCGAGCUUCCCCGGCCCCCAUGCAAUCACAUCCUCACCUAAUCUUGGAGAUUCCCGUAUCUUUAAGAUUUCUUCCACAUCAGCUGAUAAGAAGUACUGCUGAAGAAGUACCAAGUUCCAAGAACCAUUAUCAUUUAGCAAGUCGGACACAAAAUGAAUGCGACAUCUUCCCUGCAGCGACAUGGGUUUGUAUGAAAAGGGCCUUGGAAUCCAGUUAUCUGUCCCCUUUGUUGGUAGUCAGAGUCACUAGGACAACUAACUGUGUUAGCAUCUAGAGUUGUAACAAGCCACAGUCCGCCUAUCUUGGUUGCGCAGCGAUGAUGCUACCAUCUCUUACUACAAAGUACAUGCCUUGCACCGGAAACAUCGCAACCAUAUGACAUCUAUCCGAGUGGGCGACCACGUGGUGACCGGGCAUCAGGCCAUGGCUGAGGCUGCCUACAACCACUUCUCCGAUGUGCUCAGAAGUGCCACGGAGCAUGACAUCACGCUUGAUCUCCGCGUUUUGCGUGUUCAACACAAUGCUACUCCGUGCGGUGGACCUAGGCCUUCUUCGACGCCUUACCACUCGGCACGCGGCCUCGAGUAUAUCUCUAUACGCAGACGAUGUUGUCAUCUUUUGUCACCCGGACAGCCAUGACAUUACCACCGUGUGAACCAUCCUGCACAUAUUCGGGCUUCAUACAAACUUCGCCAAGUGUUCUGCCACCCCGAUCCGGUGCGAUGAUGACAACAACAUGAUGAUCACAUCUGAGAUGCAGUUCCCCAUCACAUACCUCGGGUUGCCUCUUUCUGUCUACAAGGCCUCCACGACUAGCUUGCUCCCGAUCAUCGACAAGCUCGGCCAAAAGCUCUCCACUUGGCAUGCUUCCAUGAUGUCCAACGGGCAACGGCGACCGCCUUGCUCUCAUGCAUCACGUACUUAGUCCUAACCCGACAUACUUCCUCACCGCCUUUGCUCUCAACCAAUCCAUCCUCAAGAAAUUCAACCGCAUCAUCUGCGGAUUCCUUUGGGCGGGAGGCACCGAAGGCAAUGGGGGUCAGUGUCGUGUUAACUGACAGCAAGUUUGCCGGCCAAUCUCUCUUGGCGGUCUUAGCAUCAGGGACAUUCAAAGGACCGGCAUCACCCUCCGUGCGUGGUUGCUUUGGUUACAGUGCACCGACCCCUUGCAACCCUGGAGCCACUUACACAUACCUCACGACCCAGACGUGACUGCCAUCUUCAGCGUGUCUACGACCUGGGAUCUUGGGUCCGGCGUCACCUGCAGAUUCUGGUCCGACCACUUGAUAGAGGGUAGAUCCGUGGCUGAGAUCCCCCCAGUCCUCGCCUCGUCCCUCAACGCCGAUGCAAGACUCGCACCGUUCGCGAGGGCCUCCACCUUAGAGCCUGGGUGCAAGAGAUUCAUGGAGCACUCGGACCGACGGCCAUGUUGCAAUAUGUUGAUCUUCAGCGUCGUGUGCGCCACAUUGACCAGAUGGGUCGGAUACACUCAAAUGGCGCUGGACCGCCUCCGCUAUGAAAUGUCUAUGAUGGGAGAAUUUAAAUUCUUCUUAGGUCUUCAAAUUCUUCAACAGCGCAAUGGCAUCUUCAUAUUUCAGGAGAAAUACCUCAAGGAUGUAUUGUGGAAAUUCGGCAUGAAAGAUUGCAAAGGCGUCAAAAUCCCUAUGCCCACAAAUGGCCAUCUAUGCACUGAUGAAAAUGGUAUUGACUUUGAUCAAAAGGUAUACCGCUCCAUGAUUGGUUCUUUAUUGUAUUUAUGUGCAUCUAGGCCAGAUAUUAUGCUUAGUGUUUGCAUGUGUGCCCGAUUUCAACCUACACUGAAGGAAUCACACGAUAAGGCUGUGAAGCAUAUUCUUUGUUAUCUAGCUCACACACACCAACACUUGGAUAUGGUAUCCCAAGGGCUCGGCUUUUGAUCUCAUUGGGUACUCACUCUGACUAUGCUGGUGAUCCUGUGGACCGCAAGUCAACAUCAGGCACAUGCCAUUUCCUCAGACGAUCCUUGGUCUGUUGGUCCUCGAAGAAACAGAACUACGUAUCCUAACACUUGUGCAAAGUUGAUGACUUAGACGUGCAACACACGAAGAAACGUUUUUCUUCAUUCAAUGAAGAUUAACACUCUAAGUGUGAAGAAAUUAACGAAGAAUUUGAUUCUCAGAGCCCUUCAACAAUUGUACAUGGUGUUUGAAAUCAUCAUUCUUAUACGGUGGAUCACGCCACCACCAAAAGUUGAAAAUCUUGAAUUUGAGUUUUUACUCAUUUUUGAAUUUCCUCAGUUGUUCAAAUUCUUCAACUUUUCAAUGUCUUCACUCUUUCCGUUGUUGUUCUUCAUUGGCUAUAUAUAUAUAUAUAGGGUGGGUCUAUUAUGAUAACACCCUUCAAGACCCUUAUUCUGCUAACACCCAGCUUAUUCUGCUAACACUACCUACCUCACCGUAGCUACAGACUAACCCAAAAAAACAACUGGACCGAACUGCUCGCGCAAAGGGAAAACCCAACCGACCUUAUCUUCUCAUACCCACUCCCCCCAAUUCCCUCUCUAUCUCUCCCGCAACCUCCCUUGCACGGACGCCGCCUAACCACCACCUCCCAUGUGCCGCCGCGCUGCGACCUCCUCUGCGCCGCCGCGCCGCGACCUCCUCUGUGCGGCCGAGUCCGCUCCCCGGCGACUCCCGAUCCGCAGCUCCCCCCAUCGCCCCUGCCUUCCUCUGCGCGCCGCCGCUCCAGGUCGCGGCCACUGCGUUCCACCAACAGCAGCACAUCAGUACGGCGGUAGUGCGGCCCCGCUUCCAUUCCUCCAUGGCCGACCCCCUACCUCCCACCUUCUCCCUCCCUCCCCGAUCGACAACCUCCAUCACCGCCCCGGUCAUGUUGCCCCUCCCGACCCCGCGCCGCCGGAUCCGGGCAACCACGCCGGCGUGCCCUUCCACGAGCUUUCCCGUCGUGACCCUACCACGAGCUGCUCCAGCCCGACCCUGCUUCUUCAACAACGGCACGGUGGCAACUCUCCUUAGUUCUCUCCUGCACCGGGUUCGCGAGCUCCGUUCACGGGCUCGCCGGAUCUCGUGAUUGGGGCGCUGGCGACGUGCUCUCCUACUCCACCGCGCCCCUCCUCUACUUCAGCUCAUGUGCCUGUGCCUCUCGUGGACUCAUCGGCGCACAGGCCGCGCUGGAUCCAUGCUAGUUCGAGGCCCCGACGGCCUCCUCUUCCUGCUAAGCCGCCGAGAUCCGUCGGGGUAUCAAGUUGUUUUGUCGGCCCAAUACUCCUUCUACCUUCCCUUGCCGGCGGUCGUGCAACUUCGGUGAACACCGCUACUCGCGCGCGGAUGACGACGGCUUAGUGGCACUGCAGUUCGCUUUGCAGGGGAUCCGUUGAUGCGGCCGUGGAGUUCGGCCCACAGGUGCAUGAAGUUAUCUUGCCCCCCUCCCAUAGUUUACCCUUCCGCAUGAGCCCCAUGCUGUAGUCCAUUGGGAAGAAGCUCGUGGUGCGGAUGCUCAGUGACAGUGCUGGUGCGUUUCAGAUUUUGUUUUUCUGCAAUUUGUAGGCGACGCUGGAGCCUUGCAGUCCAUUGGCUCGGGGGAGAGCAGUGGAGAGGACACACGUGCGUGUAGUUCCCUGUCCAUUGAAAAUGUAGAAGCCCAUCUUGCUGCAGUGUAUGUGAGCAUAUGGCCUGCAAGUGCUGCUCUUUUCCCAGAUUGAAAACAUUGCGGUGUGGUUGGCUGGCCAUCGACGUGCACUUCGCUUUGGGGGGCAGUACGUUCUUUGUGGAUGUGCACUUCGUUUGGCCCGAGCGGCAUGAAGCUCCAUUUGCGCGCAUGUGUGGCUCGGCUAACUAGUUUGUGCAGUUCGCAUGAUACCUUUAUUAUGUGAUGCCUCCCUAGUUGCUGGAGUUCACUUCUUUGUAUUUAUUGAAACAUCAUGUAGUGCACUGUGAAACUCUCUGUUGUUCACUUGUAAAAACAAAUAGCGGUUCCCUUUGUAAAAAAAGUGCAGCCCCUUAGUGGUUCACCUUGUAGAAAAUGAGAAAGAAAUCCCCAUGGGAGGUUCACUUCUUUUUCCAAUGCAUUUUGUUUUGUUUGUGGGAUGAUUGAAAAAAGAAGUUCACUCCACUUGUUUAGUAGCUCAUACCCCUUUGUAUGAAAUGCAAUUUGUUUCGUGUGUCUCAAAAUCAGUCGACUACAUCAACACGUGCAGUGCGUUUGGUUUUUGGAUGUGGUUCAUUUUUUAGAGUGAUGUUGUUCACUUGUGCCGAACAUGAAAGCACAAAAAAAAUUAGCAAAACAAUAAAAAUAGUAAUGCGGUUCACUAUGAUAUAUGAUGUGGUUCGCUUGCUCGCGUCUCUGCGGUCCACUCUUGUUCAUAAAAAAAUUGAAAAAAACCAUCAAAAACUCGUCCGAGAAAAAUUUACAUCCGACAAAGGAAACCAUGAAGUUCACUUGCCUGUCUGAUGCAGUGCGGUUUCAUCCGAUGCAGUGCGGUUUUCUGUCGAAUGACGUUCACUCACCGAUUUGGGUGUCGCAAAAAACAGUGUCCGCAUAUUCGUAAUUUUAAAAUUUCUUUUAAACCGUAAGGAAUUAGAGAGAGUGUUCUACAUGAAAAAGUUGCGUCUCGUCGAUAUCUUUCCAAUGCCAUAUCAUUUGAAUCAUUUUGACAAGCAGUUUGUAAAAGUUUGGCAAAAAACGACUGCUGCCACUCAUCGUCCGCCGCACCAUUUUAAAAAUUAACUUAAAACCGUAGGGAAUCUCGAAACCAUUUCUACAUAUGAAAGUUGCGCCUUGUCCAUAGCUUUCCAACGAUGUAUUACACGCCUCAGUUCGAUAAACGGUUCAAAAACUAGAGUGAAAACAGUAUCGAACAUUGCAAAAAAUUUCAAAAACGUAAUUUCGCGAUUUAGUAAAUUUGAAACUGCUCAAAACCGAAACGAAUUAGAGAAAAUAAUAGGUAUGGAAAAGAUGUGCCUCAACGAUAUCUUUCCAACGGCGUAUCAUUUGCUUUAUUCCGAUGAGCGGUUUUGAAAAAAUCAUGAAAAUACGCUCGCUGCCACUCGUCAUCUGCAGCACCGUUUUUGAAACUGCUCUUAAACCGCGAGGAUCUUGAAAAGUGUUCAACAUGGCAAAGUUGCGCCUAAUCCAUAGCUUCUCCAGGUAUAUUACACGCAUCAUUCUGAUAAAUGGUUAAAAAAUUAGAGCGAAAAAACUACUAAAAAUACUGCAGCACACUUGGUUCAAACAAUGACGUGCACUUGCGUUGAGCGUGCACUUCGGAAGUGUUAUCAGAAUAACUAUUCUGCUAAUAUUAGCAUAAUAGACAGACUGUAUAUAUAUAUACAUCUGGUUACCCUAUGAUGAAUUCAAGCGGUUGAACUGAUGCUUUCUGUUCCUGUUAAAAAUCGUCUUUUUUAGUUCAAAAGUUUUUACAAUUUUUUUAUCAAAAUAGGGCGUGUAAUAUAUCAUUGGAAAGCUCUUGACAUCCACAUUACAAUAUUAUAAUUUUUUUUUGCAAAAAAAUUAAGAUUUACGAGCAGUUUUGAAAAAACCGUUUUUUUUUCAAACUGAAAAUGCGAAUCGUAUUUUGGACUUAAUUUUCAAACGGUUUGUUGGAAUUGAGCAAAUGAGAUGGCAUUGGAAAGCUUGUGAAAAUCCGCAUCUUCUAUAUUUCUACUAUUUUUUCAAAUUCUAUACGAUUUAAAAGUAAUUUGAAAAAGAGUGAAAUUCUGGGUGAAAUGUUUUUUCACUAUUUUUUUGCAAAUGGUUUGUAGGAUUGAUACAAAUGAUAUGGUGUUGGAAAGCUAUGGAAAAUGUGCAAAUUUUGCGUAUAGAAAGUUUUUUCUAAUCCUUACGGUUUAAAUACGAAUUCAAAUACGGUUAAAAUUGAUUUUGAACGUGUUUUUUAAAAAGUUUGUCGAAAUGGGGAAAAUAAUAUACCGUUGGAUAGCUAUCGAAAAUGCAAAACUUAGUCAUGUUGGACGUUUUCUCUACUUCGCAACCGUUUAAGAGUAAUCUUGAAUACGGCAUGACGGAUCCUGCUAUUUUCUCGUCUGAAAAACAGAUUAGUCGUACUGAUAUAUGUGUAUGUUUGUACUGAGCUAUUUUUUGUAGAGUAAUUUUAAAUGGUGCCGAAAAAAUGUACUUAUACUGAUGCUUGCAUGGUUUUGUACUAAACGUGUUUUCACUAACUAGACUUUGCUCUGUUUUUUCGUGAGAACCAUCAUGCUGUUUUUUUGUGAGAAAAAAUAGAGUACUUGUACUGAUCUUCGUGUGUGUUUGUACUAAUGUAUUCUUCAAAGAGUAAUUUUGAAAGGUUACGAAAAAAGAGUACUUGAACUGAUGUCCGUAUGGGGUUGUACUGAGCGUUUUUUCACAGACUAGGCUUUACUCUAUUUUUUUACUGAAAAUUGUUUCAUCAAUUGUUCGCAAAUGAUAGUACGAACUAAGAUAUGUGUUGGUUUGUACUGAGCAUUUGUUUCAUCAUUUGUUCGCAAUUGAUAGUACGAACGGAGCUUUGUUCAUUUUUAUACUGAGCAUUCUUGUCAGUGCCAGGAUCUCCGGAUUUAUGUUGUUUUGUUCUGCGAACUUCCUCAAAAUUUUAUUGGUAAAUCACACCGUUUUUUUUCUUUUGCUAAAUUUUUGUCCUCUGAACUUGUGACCUAUGGAGUUUGUACUGAUAUGAAUCGUUUUGCCGAACCGCCACAAUUUUUUGUGUAUUGAAUCACUAUAUAACUUAGAACCAAAUUGUUUUUCUUAACAUAUAUUUGAAUUGUUUCUAUAUGUACAUUGAAUUGGGGAAGAGUAGCAAUAGUUAUACAUACUUUAUGGAUAGUAAUACAUGAAUUUCUUGGUAAACUGAAGAAUAUACUCUGGACCGUAAUACAUGUCCUCUCGAGUUUGUACUGAUGUGAAUCCUUUUGAACUUGCUCUCGACGGUAAUACAUGACCUCUCGAGUUUGUACUGAUGUGAAUCCAUUCGAACUUACGUGGCUUACAUCAUUGAACGGACUCUAUUCUUCUCACUACCACCAUUGUUUUGUCCAUUUCUUUUUGGACUUGCAUGGCUUACAUCGUUGAACGGGCUUAGGUGGAUAUGUACUAAUGAACUACUAUGAUUUGUAGCUCUCAGGAAAUGUAAUCCUUUCUUUCCCUGUUAUUCUGAAUACCAAACAGCAAAAAAUCAGUUCUCAUAAGCACGAAAAAAUUAUAUAUGUACCCCUAAAUUUUGCAGCUAUUUUGUCCUCUUUCAUUUCGAAAAAAGCAUACAAAAAGCAAAAGCACAAACUAUACAAAAGGUUUUAGACACCAAACUAGUAGAGAAUUAAAAAUAGGCAUCAGGCAGCAACUUGCUAAACAUAGCACGAGUCAUAUACAUAUGCAUUUCAUCCCAUUAUACUUCUCCACCCGCAUGGAAAGUGAGAGAACCUCCCUACAUGCAUAUAUAGGCAUCAAACUCCCUCUGUACCUGAACUAUAUUUUUGUUUGAUAUAUAUUAUGAACUCCUCUCGUCGAUGUACAUGAACCUGCUGUGCAGAGAGAUGAAAUGUAGUACAUCAGUCUAGCUUCAUUCAGCUAGAGAGAAACAUGAAAAAAUGUUCAGUUUUUUAGACGGCUUUCCUCUUUUUCUUUGUCCAAUCUGCGCCACGACUGCCACCAUCCUGCAUGCAAGCUUAAAAUUAAUUGAAGCCACCAAACAUGCACUUUCAUGAGACUUUGCUACUAUAAGUCAGCGAACAUAUCUUUUAGUAUUAAACCAAAGGCACACUUAUUACCCAGCACUCUUGUUCAGUUCAGAGCAUCAUCAAUAAGAUAAAGAUACGAAAACAUUAAGCCAAUAUAGAACAACUGGAUUGAUUUGAUUCAAAUUUUUACUUUCAAUGCAUUGUAGGCAACAGCCGAUCCAAGUCAGAACUGAUGUGAUUUAUUCCAUCGAACUGAUAUGAAAGUUUAUCUAUACUGUUCUGUUUUUUAACACACAUGUUUUGAACUAUUCCCGCUUUUUUCAUUAUGAAUUGAUGACAUAACACAUGUUGAACUGUUACACAAGAGCAAAUUCAGAAAUACAUAACAAUGGUGUACUCAAAAUAUGUGCAUUUUAAGGAACAAAACUUUCUGAACCUUCUAUACGAAAAACUUCAACUAUCAGUCCAAAGAGAUUUGAAGUUAAACAAUCAUUUCCCUUACUGAGUGUUAAGGAAAACGAAACCAGAGAUGACCUCGCCGGCAGUAGGAGUAGCGAUGGCUGCCAAGGCGACGCGUUGGUACAUGUACUAAACAUCUGCUCAAACCUGUUGUAACAUCUACUUCAAGCUUUUUCUAAAUCAUUGUUGGGAGUAGAGGGUUUUAAAAGAAAAUACAGAGUGCCAAAGAAAGAAAGGAACAACCUAUUUAUCUAAAGGACUGUGAUAUUUGGCACACGUGUGCCAUAUAAGGAAAACUGCCACACCUCUAUUUCUUUCAUUUUAAAGUACCAUACGAUCCCUCGUUCUUUGACCCCGCCUCUUCCCAAAUUACCCCGCAGGCUCGCCUGAGAAACCCGCUUCUCCCGCACAUCUCGGGAGCUUACCCCCGAGAAAACUGCCACUUCUUCACGUCUACCACAUGAUCUCUCCUCAGGACAAAGUUACCAUGAUAUUCAUAUGAAAGUUAUUAGGCCUGUGUUGCAUAGCUUACCGUACUAUUUACAUGGAACGUAUCAGGUACUAUGCUUCAACAACUAGACCCUUUCAAAGUUACCACUAUGUUUUGUACACAAGUUAUAAGGUCUUCGAUGUGCAAAAUACCGUGGUACUUACACAUAAGUUAUCAGGGUAUAUGUACAUCAACCUCCCCCCGGUCAAAGUUACCAUGGGGGAUUGUACAUGAGUUACCAGGUCUACGGUUCGUAUAUUAUCAUGGUACUUGCACCUAAAAACCUGGGUGUGUUUCGGUAGCUUUUCUCAUAGGUCAAAAAUUACCAUGAUGUUUUUGCGUAACUUAACAUGCCUAUAGCACGUGUGCCCCUCGUGACACUAAACAUUAUGUGACUUUCUCGUGGCACGCCAUGUGUUGUGUUCAUCCAAGAGGCCCACGCGCGAGGCAAGUGUAUUUUUUUAACAACUUAUAUAUUUUCCUUUGGUAAAAAAGUUAUCAUCAUGUUUAUAUUGCAAGUUAUCGGUUAUGCGGUGCUUAUAUUAUCAUGUUAUUUACACAAAAAUUAUUGGGGAUGUUUUGAACAACUUUUUCCCGAGGUAAAAAGUUAUCAUGGUGAUUCUAGGUAACCUAUCAAGCCCGUAGUGCUUAAAAUAUCAUGCUAUUUACAUAAAAUUUAUCAAGGAUAUGUUUCAGCAACAAAUUCCACCCCCCCAUGGGUCAAAAAUUUAUCAUGGUGUUUAGUUAUCGCAGUGCAUAUGUUUUCAUACUAUUUACACAUAAAAAUGCCAGGGGAGGGAGGUAUACUACCGUGCUAUUUACACAGAAGUUACCGGAGUAUCUUAAAAAAAUUCCCUACGGUCAAAGUUACCAUGGUGCUUCUACCUCCGUUAUUAGAUGUGCGCUGCGUAUAUUACCAUCUAUUUACACAUAAACUAUCAGGUAUCUUUUCACAUUUGUUGUCCCCAAUGGUUAAAGUUACCACGAUGUUUGUAUCUAAAUUAUCAGGUCUAUGGCGUGAAUGUUAUCGUACUAUUUACAGAAAUUACCGGAGGGCGGGUUCAACAAAUUUAUUCACAAUGAUCAAAGUUACCACGAUGCUUGAAACAAAAAGUUGCUAAAGUAUUAAAGGCAAAAACAUGUCAAAAACAGUAUUACCCUUAGAAUGUUCAACAAUGAGUAUCAUAGGUGAGGUGGUUAGCUCCCUUUGUUAAUUACCUGCAGACCAGAGAUCAAAUCCUAGUCUAAGCAUUAUUUUUGCUCAAAAUUGAGAAGGCAUGUGGGGCCAUAAAUGACGAUUACGAAAAUUAGGAAGGCACAAGCGGGAGAGAAUUGAUGACAUUGGAUGCGUGUGGCAGUUUCGCAAUCUGCCACACGGUUGCCAUAUACAUAUUUCGUUAUCUAAAUAGUGUGUGGAAUUGUUUAUAUGGAUGAACAAAACAUUACUUGAAGUAGAGGUUCUGCCAAAAGAAAGAAAGAGCAUCUUGCAGGUUCAAGUUUGAGUAGUUGAGCCAGACAAUUUAUCGUAGGUGUUGUAUGUAAUAAUAAUUUAAUUAUUUUCAUAGGAGUACGACUCAUAGUAUCGGCAUGGAGGUCGUGAACAAAAGCAGAAGUAUCCUUAAUUUUUUAUUAGUGACUGUAAUUUUCCUUAUAAAGAACAUACUACUCUCGUGUAAACCCAUCCCUCUACAUAUGUACUGUCAGUUUUUUGCAAAUCGAACAAAUUGCGUAUGUAGCAAGUGCUAGUAUCUUGAAAUGCAGUUAUGCGUAUGCCCCUAAGAGUAGGUGAAUAGAAAACUCGAACAAAAAAUAGCUUUCUCCUAAUAGUAAUCGUGCUAGAACUCAUUCAAAGCUGAAGUGAACUAUAAUUAUAACCAGCCUUUGUCAAUAGAAGUCCUACUAAUCACAAAUUCCUCUAAUUUCCUCCAGACUCAAGAUCAAGAUGGUGGACAGUGCACGGAUAUUACAAAAUUAACAAUUCACAAUACGAAUUAAGUAUCACAAAUUGCAAGGCACAAGUUUUGAGCACAUACAAUCUUUCAUUGGUAGGCAGCACUACAACUUUGGAGGUCAACACAUUAGGCAAACUCUUUGGAAUUAAGAUAGUGAAAAGUAAAUGUAUGCGAAAGCAAGCUUCCAUUCGGUAAACCAUCAAGCCCAGAUUGCUGCACUCCGAAUUUCCUUUAGACUCAUACGCUACCUUCAGAUCAGCAAGCUUUAUGUUCAGCAAGUGUGUAACAAAACAAGAAUUGAACUGGAAUAGAAUUUGAAAUUUGAACUGAAAUACAAUACGAAAACUAAACUGAGUGUACUUUCAGAUUUUCACAUGGGCAUUAGUGCAUGAAGCAGCAAUGAAAUUGAACUGAAACAAAUUUCAGUUCAGCAAACUUAUAUGAAGUUAUAUGAAGCAUGCUUGAAUGCGUUGACCCGAAGCAUGCUUGUAGGAGAGUAGUGGCACUGGAAGGGAGCCUUUUGCUGAACUUAUAUGAAGUUAUAUGAACUUGUCUAACUUAUAUGGAACUUAUAUGAAGCCUUUUGCUGAACUUAUAUGAAGUUGACCAGACAAGAUGAUACCGGGGCGCAUCAGAAUAUAGGAGAGUGGUGAUGCAAGUCAGUCACCGGCUGGAUAAUGAAGCGGGUGGUAUGCGGCAUGGAGACAACCAGAAAAUGGGACAUCCAGGGGUAGGGAGCGUCGUCGCUGAAGAUCAGAGAGUGUGGAGCGCAGGCGUGCGGUGUCCCCCGGCCGGCAACGGAGACGAAGGAGAUCGGGGAUAGUGCACUUUUUUCGUCAGCCUGCAAGAUGCUCAAGGACCAGGACAACAUGUAGUUUCAGAAUUACAGAUUGUGGUCAGCUAUAGGAUGUUUCUGGGACCAUGUUUUAGCUACGAGAGAGCAACAACAUCACAUCAUGAGAGAGAGGAUGCAGCAUCAAAAAUUCAGGAGAAAGAUCAGAGCAGAGCAGAAGUAAAUAUGUUUUGAGGAGAUGAACUGACCAGGAUUUAAAUGAACUCUCACUAGCAGUAAUUUUUGUACUUCGCAUGUAGUACUACAUGGACUUGCUGUAAAAUACAUGGACCAUGUAGUAAUUUUGAAGUUAAUUAUAUGAUCAUCUCAGGGAGCUCAAGUUGUACUGAAAGCUCAAGUUGGACUGAAACUCACUCGAUAACUAAAACUCCUAGGGCGAGGGGUGGGAUCCAGGGUGCUGCUAGCAAUGAAUGGCCUGGGGUGGUGGCGUUGAACGGCCUGGAGUGGUGGCUGUGAACAGCCAGGGUGCUCCGGCGGCAGAGCCCCACCGGAGAUGGUGAUGCAAGCAGGAGGUCGGGAAGCAGUGGUGCCGGUGGUCGGGGUUGUCCAAUGCACACGGCACACCAGUACAGGAAGUUGAUUCAUCACCCAUCCACAGUUUUUUUCCUUUUGGGAAUCCAUUGAACUGAAAAAAGCUACAUGUGAGCUGAAAGUAUGAAAAUAACACAUCUUUGAAAGAAUAAAGAACUAGCUUUAACUUAUCUAUGAAAGAAUACACCUCCGAGGAACUAGCUUUGAACAUAUCUCUGAAAGAAUAGAGAGCAUGCAAAGUUCAAGGAAAGAAUAAGCAAAAUGGCACACUAGUACGCAGUAGUACGAGUCCAGUCAUGUACGUGCUAGUAUUAGAUUUGAAUAGUAGCUAGAAUUGAAGUUCAGGUAACCAUGGCACACACAUCAUACAGUUUUAGUCAUGUAUGCACACACACUGUAAUAGUAGCUGCAAUUAAAGUUCAAAUAACCACGGCACCCAUAACAGAACAAGAAUCAGUCUAGCAGCUAGGCAAGCAAGCUUCAUCAGCAUGAAUACACAUCAGCGGCAAGCUAGAACACGCUAGUAGGCUGUAGAAGUCUCCUUGUAAUUUUUCAAACAGAAGUGCUUUAGUUCAGUUCAGUAGUAAGGCAUGGAAAAAGAAAAGCAAUGGAAUAAACUAUAACCGAGCCAAAUAUGUAAUUUCAACAACCUAGACCUCAUUGCUUGACUUCAGUAGUAAUACAUGAUCAUCAGUUCAAUAUAAACAGACUGAUGUUAACAUCAUCGUACAUCCAUUGCCGGUUCAUCUGCGUGCAUUAUAUAUAAUUAAGUGUGUCAAAAACCAUUACAGAAUAGCAUGAAUACAAAAGACCAAAUUAAUAGAAGUUCAUCAUCACAUUAAAACCAAAGUACAGUAGUGAUCAAAUGUUGUUACUGAAAAAAUAAAUACAUAAAGUUCAUACAUAUAUAGUUCUCAUUGAACAACAUAUAUAUAGCUCUCUAGAGCAUCUAAUUAAACCAUACAUUGAAACAAUGUAAAAACAUUUCAAUGCAACAACAAAUGCGAUCAUAAUCGCAACUAAGGUAACAAUUGAUCCAACGGCAUAAUGAUGCCAAGCCUCGGUAUGAAUGGCAUAUUUUCUAAUCUUUCUAAUCUUCAAGCGCAUUGCAUCCAUCUUGAUCUUGUGAUCAUUGACGACAUCCGCAACAUGCAACUCCAAUCCCAUCUUCUCCUCCUUAAUUCUUUUCAAUUUUUUCUUCAGGUAAUUGUUUUCUUCUUCAACUAAAUUUAACCUCUCAACAAUAGGGUCGGUUGGAAUUUCCGGUUCACAUACCUCCUUGAUGAAAACAUCUAUGUCAUGUUGGUCGGCAUAAUUUUCAUACACACUAAAUGAACAAAAUAGUUAUAAAAUAUAAUAUAUACCACAUCGGAAUCAUAGACAGGACGAGGGCCGACGGAGGCGGAUACCAAAACCAUCGCACUAUAUGAUAACAAAAAAUAAUAAAAGUAAUAAAAUUAUACAAGUAUCUAUCUAAAUCAUACAAGUAAGAACUUUUUUCUUUUAGAAGAUAAGAACAAGAGGCUCACCACGGUGGUGCCAGCGACGAGAUCGGCGCGGGCGAUCGACAGCGGUGAGGACGGGGACGGGACAGGAUGGACCGCCAAACCUAGACAAAUCUUAAGGAAAAUGGAGUUUGGACAAGGAGCUUCGAGAGGAGAAAGCUUAAGUAUGUCUCGGACAUUUCACCGAACACCUCAUGUGCAUAGGAGGUGAGCUAGAGCACCACAAAGCUCUCCCACGGCCGGCCAAAAAAUAGAGCAAUGCACUGCUCUGCUCGCGGGCAGGGGGAUAUAUAGGCCUCUCUUUAGUCCCGAUUUGUGGCUAGAACCGGGACUAAAGGACCCCAUUUGGUCCCGAUUCCAACCACCAACCGGGAUUAAAGGUUGUGGGCCAGGAGCGAGGCCCAUUUGUCCUGGUUCGUGUCUGGAAGCGUGACCAAAGGGGUCAGACGAAUCGGGACCAAUGGCCCCCGAGGCCCUGCUGACGCCCUGGCUUUAUGAACCGAGAUUGAUGCACCCAUUAGUCUCGGUUCAUAGGGAAACCGGGAUUAAUGCCCUUUUCAGACCUGGACCAAAGCCCUAUUUUCUACUAGUGUUGUAGGCCUCGCUCACAUGAAGUAAGAACGGUCGGUGACGAUGCCUCAUAAAUCCAUGUGGUGCAAUCAUAGUUGGUGGUGCAGGGGAGGAAGUAACCUUCUUUGAUGGGGAUUCCAUCGCACGCUUGUUCGUCAUGUAGACGCGUCCUCUUAAUUUCUGUUCAGCUUUACAGGCAAGACGAAACAAAUGAUCGAUAGAAUAUAGUCUUCAUGCAUUAUUAUGUCUUGUAUAUCAUGGUUUAAACCUUUCCAAAAUCGAUUCAGAAAAUCUUCUUCGCAUUCUUGUAAGCCAGAACGAAACAAAGCAAUACACAAAUUGUCAUAAUAUUCUUCAACAAUGAUAUUGUCUUGUUCUAAACGUUUUAAUUUUCAAAGCAAAUCACUGGCAUGAUAUGAAGAACAAAUCGGUCUCGCAUAACAAGUUUUAAAUCUUUCCAAGUAGAAGGCCUAUUAUCAAUAUUUUUCCUGCAAUAAUUUCUCCACCAAACUGAAGCAAAACCUAAAAACAUCUUAGUGACAACAUUUAUUUUCUUAUGCUUGGGAAGUUCAUGGCUAGCAAAUAUUUCUUCUACCUCAAUUUCCCAAUCAAUAUAUGAAUCAGGGUCAUAUUUACCCUUAAAAUUUGGCAAAGAGGUAACAUGAUGAUGUGUGUUUCUACCAUGAUGUAUAUCAUGUGACGAUCGUCGUACCUUUUGUGGUGGGAAAGAGUGAUCUUUAUCAAUAUAUGGCAAGUCAUCUCCCACAAUAGAUGCACCCCAACUGUCAACCGCUCUAGAAUCUGCCAUGGUUAGUACCACACAAAAACAAAAAUAAUAAGUAUAAUGUUUCUAUAGUACUACUUGGAGGUGGCAGAAAAAUUCUCUCAACACUCUAGCAAUUACCAAGCUCUUACCAGAUCUUACCGUGCUGCAGUGGUUGUCGGCCUUUGGCGCCUUCAAAAGUUAUCAAAGUUGGAUAUAGUGAUUGCCAAAUCACCGAACAAGGUACAAUAUAGAAAGUGGAGCUUGGUGAAGGUUUUCUCAACUCACAAUAUCGGUGGCACAAUUUUGCUAAAAGUAAUGCAAGAUGAAUAAUUGCUCAAACUCCUAACUAGUGCUGAUAGUCGACUAGUAAGAGAUAAAAUAAUCUAAGCCCAGAUACUGAAUCAAGCGAGAGGGAACUGACGAAAAUAUAAUAGCUCCAAGUAGCUAGAUAUAAGUGAGGUAUGAACGUAGUGUAUGGCAACCAAGAGCAGACAAAAAAAUCCAACACUUAUCACUUAUAUGAAUAGAGCAGGCUGAACAGCAAAAGAGAUUUUUCAAAAGAUGCUAGCUGGCCAAAACUUUGCAUCAAAUUUUUUUAUUCUUUUUUCUGAAUUUUCCUUUUUCUUCAACUUUCAGGCCGGCCGCUAGUAGAAGUCACGGACACAAAUAUCUGACCAAACAGGUAUGAAGGGGUGGCCGGGGCACAUCUGGUGUAGCCCAUUGGCGCUGUCCAGCGGUAAAAGAUCUCAUGCCAUUGCUGAAAUUCACGUCCCCCACCCAGGGCAUUUUGGUCAUUUUGCAUCUAUGCCCUUUUCCGAUUCGCUGCAUCCUCCCCCAAUGAGUGCCUCCCUCAUUUUUCUAUCCCUCACAUCUCUCUCGGGAGAGAGUCGCUGCCGCUAGUCAUCCUCCCCGUCUGCCGCCGCUGCCGCCAACCAUCCGCAGCCGCGCCACCAUCCCCUCCCCGUUCCUCUCCCGUAGCUGAGCCAGCCAUGGCCAGGAAGAAGUGCAAGUCCUCUUCCUUCCUCCCUCACCCCUGAUCUGAAUCCUCUCCCGGAACCCCAGCCAGCCGCACGCAUCCCAUAUGGCGCCGCCCAGCUCGCAGCCCUCGGCCGCCGAGCCAUCGCGAGGCUCCUCGCGCAAGCGCACGACCUCCUCAAAGGCUGCGCCCGAGGCCGACCUGGAGUUCACCGUCACCAAGGAAAGGUAAGGGGAGGGGAGGGGAUGGAAGGGAUCGAGCGACCAGGUGAGGAAGCGCCCAGAUCCACAGGGCCAUCGACACUUCGUCAUCGACCUCAUCCGCGACCGUCCUCGAGGUCGGCCAUGGUGGUCCGGCCGGCAACAGCCAUGGAAGGAGAGGCCCGAAUCCCUGGCCCUCCAAGUACGCGCCUGCUGCAGGCCAUCUCCGGCGAGCUCAUCCACAGAUCUCCAACUAUGGUGCGUGCGCAUGAUACCUAAACCCCUUGUCUUGUCGGUUUCUUCAUCUUCCCUCCUUGUGAUUCCUUGGUUUGUUUUGUGCGCAGUUGCUCCGAUCUGGAAGAGGUGGUGGAGCUUUUGUUGUUGCUGCUGUAGGUGGACGAGGCACCACCCUCUCUUUCUACUUCUGGACACAACCUGGUGGUGAUUGCAAAUUUCAGUGUUAAAAAAUUCAGUUCAAUUCAGUCAUGUUCUUUUUCUUUUGUGGGGAAAUUCAGUCACAUUCAAUGUUCAACUUUUAGAGUUAACAAACUGUUGUUAUGACCACUAUGGUUUAGAUGUUCAGAAAUUCAGACAAAUGGUAUGAUGAAAUGAGCCACCUUUUAACCCCCUACUAAACCUACCGUGAACGUGAGAGAGCCAAUGCAGGGAGGUGUGGACAUUUUACCAUGUUCAUAGGAAGAAAUCAACAUAAAAUACACAGCUUGUAGAUGAUUCGUCAACCACCAUCAAACACGACUUGUAACUUUCUGGACUAAACUGAACCGUGCAAUUGACUCAAAAUAAAACUAAACCGUGCAAUUGACUCAAAAAUAAAUAGUAAAUAUACUUUGGUUGUGUCUGCAGAAUUGCAUUAUGGAAAGAUGUGUGUGAGGUUACCCCAUCGCCACUGGUUCCAACUUUGUCCAUCAUGUCGCUCUGAUGAGAAGACCUUGUCCAUGUUUCAUUAAUAGGGCAGAGUGCUGCUGAAGUAUCUAUGUUGAACAAUUAUAACAGUACCAAGUAAGUUUGCUCCAAUUGCAUUUGAUGCAGAAGGCACAACACCGCCAUCAUGCGUCAGGUUCAGUAGAAGGCACGACACCGCCACGCUCUCCUCCACUACAAUGCCAUGCACCCGGUAAUUAAACAUGCUUUCUCUUCAUUCNNNNNNNNNNNNNNNNNNNNNNNNNNNNNNNNNNNNNNNNNNNNNNNNNNNNNNNNNNNNNNNNNNNNNNNNNNNNNNNNNNNNNNNNNNNNNNNNNNNNNNNNNNNNNNNNNNNNNNNNNNNNNNNNNNNNNNNNNNNNNNNNNNNNNNNNNNNNNNNNNNNNNNNNNNNNNNNNNNNNNNNNNNNNNNNNNNNNNNNNNNNNNNNNNNNNNNNNNNNNNNNNNNNNNNNNNNNNNNNNNNNNNNNNNNNNNNNNNNNNNNNNNNNNNNNNNNNCAAGAUCUCAAAGAGGUGCCGGCGAACCCAGGCCACACCCAACGCGCUGGGGGGCUGUUGGGGGCGCCAGCGGAAGCAACAGCCAAUCAUAUUCCUCCAUGUAUCAUUUUUUCUGGUCCACUCAUUCACUUUUUGCCUGGCGACUGUCCUGGGGGCACCAACGGCUGGGAAACCGUCCUUGUGUUUCAUUCGGCGAAGGUGUUUUGCCCCCCAGGACGUGCUAUAUUUGGCCCGACGAUUGUCCUGGGGGCUCCAACGGUUGGAGAUGCUCUAAUUCAUUGUAUUUGCAUGUUUCCAGCAGCCAUGUAUCAAAAAAAGCUUCAGCUUUGGGUUGUUGAUUUAGCAGCAUCAAUCAUUAAUUGUUCUGCUAUAUAUGUUCUUAACCAUGACAACCUGAUUAGGCUCUUAGUUUAUUAUGGUCUUUGUUCUGGGUGGAUCUCUGACUAUUCUGGGUGGGCAUGAAUCUCUUCUUUGUUUCUUCAUCUCCUCUUAUUCUGAUUCCUGCAUUUGUUUUAUGUGAAGGUUGCUCCGCUGAGGACAAGCUGCUUCUGCAGGUGGACGGGCCCUCAAGGCUGCUCUGCCUAUUCCUCCUGCUACCCCCACACGUGGUGAGCCCCAUCCGUUCUCGAGCUACCCCUGCAAAUCUGAUGUGAUGUGCACAAAAUACUUGCAAUUGUUCUCGACACAGGAGCAUGUCAUGUAUUGUUCUAUUUGAAUGUGCAAUUUCAUUGCUUCUGUGAUGUUUGAUGCUUGCUUCACAAGAGGGAAAUCAUGGAUAUAAACUGUGCUUCCUUUCAAGUUGAAUAGUAAUGAUCACCAUUUGGUUCCAUUUUCUCCUCUGCAUCCAGUGUUCACUCUCUCAUAGAUGUCCAUAUAUACAUAGUUCUGAUCUCCUUUUUUCUGCGGCUCCAUACAGCAAACACAAAGCCGUCGAUGCAUUGAGGGCUCAAUGUCGUCUCCGCCGGCUGAGCGGCAAGCCGGGGUUGGGCCUGCACACCGUCUAUCAGCACCCUCCCGUGUCUCCAUUCACGGAUCUGCAGGUCAACCCCUCUUCUCCUCCUAUCCACGCAUCUUCUUUUCCAGAGCUAGGUGUAUGGUUGCAUGGCAAUUUGUGUUUAGGGGCUCACCAUGUUCUGCUUGCCCUGGUUGGCCAAUGAGGCUUUCCUUUUCUUGUAAAGGCCAAAUGUACAAUUCUCUAUGCUUUAUAUUUUUGUAGUUCCUUUGUUUCCAUGCUAGUUUUUUGAUGGGGUGUAAAUAUAUGCUUUUUUGUUCCUUGUCUGGAUUCAGGUAGGGCCUAACAUUAUUGUUCCUUUGUGCAUGGAAAUGUUGGUGGUUUUGUUCCUUUGUGUAUGGAAGGGGGCCUUGAUUAGAAUUUUUAACGUUUGAGUUGUAAUUAGUGUUUUUGUUACACAUGAAAACAUAUGGUUGUUUGUCCAAUCACAUAUGAAAAAGAGAUGAUUGUUUGUCCAACAAUUUUCUUUCUCUGUGAUAGUUUUACUAGAAAUAAAGCAUAGUCACUAUUACAUCCUAUUUUAUAUCUUGUUGUGUCGUGAUAUCUAUAUAGACUCUGUCUACGUCCUUUUGACAUUCCAAGUUUUGUUUUUCUAUGGCUCAAUUAGUUACCCCGUAUCAAGAGAAAUUUAACUGGUAUUUGCGGUAGAGUUAGCUGAAUUCAUGAAGCAAUGAUUUAGUUAUUAUUAAAGCUGAAACACAACAUGUUUUGACAAAUGCGUUCUAAGUAAAGCCUCCAACUAACAUAACCAAAAACAUAUUCUUUAGGUUUAUCAUCUAUUGAAGUAUUAUGUAGAAUUUUAAAUCAUACGAGGCAAAGCAAAUGAGCUCUAUGCACUUUCCAUGUAGCACAAAACAAAAAUAAUCAUGUAUAUUUUGGAUGCACCUAGAUAUACUCAUCAGCAAGGCUGAGGUUAUAGGGCAGGGCACUCACCCACAUUGUCGACAUCUCCGUCACUAUGAUCACCCACAUGAUGGACAAUUCCCUUCUUUCUUUUCUCUGUGGCUAUUGACACUUAAUGCUAUUACUGUGUGCAUAUAUGUACUGUGAUCCAUUCUCAUUCUUCAUAUCUUGAGAAACUAUCUCAAGAUACUCGCAUUUGUGUUUUGAAGAAAGCCUAUUCUAUGAUUAAUAUAUCAAGUAUGGAUGGCGCGAUAUCACCUCUCUUUAUGAUGAUGUUCUUACAGAAUAUAGGUUUUAUGGUAACACGUCUUAGCCAACACCUAUACUGAUGCUCAGACCAGAUGAUUAUAGGCUCUCCUUGCUAUUUUUCUUGAGGUGUGUACAUCUAUCUAGACAAUUUAAUUAAAAUAUAUAUUCCAUACAAACCAUCAAUACAUGUUAGUUGACUUUGAAACUAAUCAGUAAAAAGGUUGUCCCUUUCGCAUUUUAUGGACAUAAAGAUUUGGUGUUGACUGUCGAUCUUUAGUUAACACAUGACCUUACAACCGUAGGGAGUGGGAAAAAACUUAUAUGUUUGGCACAUUUGAAGAACAUAUCAUAGUAACGAAGUUUUGGUAAACAAUGUCCUAGAUCUCAACCAUAUAGAAAUACUAAAUAUAUGUUUAUUUGUAUAUGGAUUAAUUAUACAGACUUAUAAAACCUUGUGCAGGGCACAUAAAAGAAAUUUGAAAUAACUAUUAUUUCAAUAUUUGCUUUUUCAGUUGAGCAUAAUAGUUUAUAGCCUGAUAGGCUUGGACAUAAUUGUCUACAUGUACUGCUCAGUAGGCGACAUCCUUUGGGAAAUUGAGGAUGUCCUCGUGCAUUUUCUAAAUACAAUUGGGGCAUAUCUGAGGAAUGAAGGGAGGAAUAAUCUCGUGGGAGAGUUCGGUGCAGAGGAAGAAGAACAAGAUAUUAUUUAUUUCUUGUGUACAGUCAAGCUUGUGCAUUGUCCCACUGUAAGUUAUUUCAACAAUAGUAGUAACUGUUAUCUCUGGCCAUCUGUUGCGACAUUUUCUUUAACCACCAAUGCAUAUUUAUUUUCUUGUUAAUAACUCUCAUAAUUGCCUGCUACUGUUUCAGUUCUGGGGCCAGGCAACCUUGAAUCCAACGUCCACCUGCAGGCUACAUCUCAGGUAGGAUAAAAAGAUUGCAGUGAACUUGAUGGGUAUAUCAUUAUUGUUGCCUCCUAAUUUGUGUGAUGAGCAAAUGUGUAGAUUGUGUGUAAAUCCGAGAUGCCUAAAACGGUUGGGAACUGAACUUGUUACCUCGGUUCACUUUAAUGGCAUGUUAAACUCGAUGCACUUUCUGGACUGUGACAUUUUUCCUGAAAUUUUGGAAGUGACUGCUAAUGUAGUCUAAAUAGAGUGACUGAGUAGUUACUUUCUCACAAGAGUUGACUUCCCGUUAUUGGAGUACUUGCUAAGAUGGAUUGGUGGUUUUUAUGUUAGAUGAAAAAUAUUACAUCAAUCUUUACGGCUUUUUAUGGGCAAGUGAUUCCGACUCCAUAAUAAGGAAUAAUAUAGCCCUAGUGCUGUGAUAAUGUUAAAACAUUUACCUCUUUUAUCGGUUCAUGUUAUGUAUUUGCUGCGAAAAAAUGGUCUUAUAUCAAAUAAUAGCCUAGAGCUUUUGGAGUGUUAUUACUUGUAUUUGUUGCUUGGAUGUAUAAACCUUCAACAGACUGUCAAUUUUGCUUUUAUAUAAUCUGUUUGUUUAAGUCUGCUGCAUAUUGGUCAAAAGCUCAUGCUAAUUGAUGAUGUUAGGUGAUGAUCUUGUAUCUAACAGUGAUUUCUGAAUGCAUGCUAAAGAAAACUCAUGAACAUCAUGGCGCCUUGUUGAUGGGGUGAUCAAUAGCUACUAUAUUGGGACCCUGAACUUAAAUUGUAGGUCUGAUUUUGUUUCGGAGUUCUCCUGCUACCCACAAGCUUAGAUAGUUCUUUUGUUUGUGCAGGGGAAAUUGCAAAGCAUAUUAUGAAUUGUUACAAGAAACUAUUUCUGCUGUUUUGGUGCAAGGACGUUGCUUUUUAGUAUGCUUCCCGUAUCUUGGUAUCUUGGAAUAAUAAACAGAUAGAUGUCGUGUACCAAGAUUGUUCCUUGUUGUUAAGAGGGAUACAAAUAUUAUACAAGAUUUUUUCUGAUGACUCCUAAAGCAUAUUUGGAUAUACAGCAAAGUAUAUUGUCGCUUCCCUGUUAGUAAAACGAUUAUUUUAGAAAUUUGGUUGGCAGCCCCUACAUUUGGCUGAUUGCUAGCUUACUGGAUUACUCAUGUUUGCGGACUCUGGUAACUUAUGCCUACCAAGAACUACAUGAAUUUUGUGUCUUGCUGCAGUGAACAUUACCAAACUAAUUCUAGAGGUGUUAUAAUCAUGUUUUCUUUUGCAUUAUCAACUUUUAACUUUUGUCAUUUGUUAACACAUUCCUUUUGCAUUAUCAACUUUUAACUAUUGUCAUUUGUUAACACGAUUAUUUAGUAUGUUCACUAUGCGAGUACUCCCUCCGUCUGAAAAUACUUGUCAUCAAAAUAGAUAAAAAGGAAUGUAUCUAGAACUAAUAUACAUCUAAAUACAUCCCCUUUUAUUCAUUUCGGUGACAAGUAUUUCCGGACGGAGGGAGUAGUAAUAAUAGGAGCUAUUUAUUUGCCAGAUAACUAACACUAUUCAUAUGGCAUAAGGGUUAGAAAAAGAACUGUAUUCUUGCUGUGUUGAUUUUCGUAUGGCACACUAUGGAUUCUUUGUGUAACACAUAAUGUCGAUCAACAUGUGUUUACAACGCAGGGAGGAGCCGGGCGACAAGGCAGUCAGACCAAACUCUCUUUCCAUAUAUAUAGGUAGUCUGAUGUUAUGCCAUAGCCGAACCAUAUAUGUUUCGUGUACUGCUCUAUCAAUCUGGUCUUUUGGUAUAUUAGACUCUAUCCUUUGUAAUGAACUUAUUGUCAUGGGCGAUCAUUAUGACUGGAUCGUAUGGUAUGAAUCGGGUCUUUAUGCUUUGUGAUGAAAUAUCAUAUUAUCCUGUUCACCAGUUUGGUUUGGUUUUGAGCUAAAACGUAUAAAAAUACAUGGCUUACAACAAUGGAUAUAUGUGAUGAUAUAUUGAGUGAUUAAGCAUAAUUUUAGACUUUCGGUGCUGGACCAAUGGGAUGCAUGGGGUAAUUGAAUGUUUCUUCUUCACUUUUUAUUAUCGGUUGGGAUCAGCACUCUCGCGCGAUCUAGUUAUGAUGAUGCUGCCUAUACAAAGCAAAUCUAUGUGGCUAUAAAGUGGAGCACCAUGGCGAACAAGAAACUGGCGCUUGAGGACAGACAUGAGUGGAACUGAUGUCUGAUGCAACACGGCGUUGCUGUACGCGUCAGGGCAGACAGCAACGACGUGUAACAGAUGGGAUGUCGGAUUGCACGCAAAACAAAGGAAUCCAAUGCAAUUUUGAUAGUUUUUUUUUCAGAUUAUGGACGAGCUUGCGGCGGAAACCAUGGUGGAGAAAAAAAAGUUCGAUCUAGUAGACAAAAAUUUCUCAUACAAAUCUAAACCAGCACUAUUUGUAGGAUGAUGCAACCAAAAAUUCAACUACGCAAGUACUAGAUGCAAAAAUUGCUAACGGCUAAAAAGAUAGGUGCAAAGGAUGAACUAAUCUUUCUUUCUUUUUUGGCUUUUUUUGGGUUAUAGGACAUGAAAAAUAAGCUAAUCUAACAAAACUGUAAAUCUCUCACCGCUGAAAGUGAAAACUGAUACCACUUAUGUGACGGCGGCCCGAUGUUUCGAUGAGAGUGAGGAUAACUAUCAAUUUGAUGGAUUCUGAUCUUGACGCUCCGGCUAUACAAUACCCGACGAUAUGCCUCGACAAUCGCUAAACCAAUCUCCGAUGGUUAUUGACCUUGCCGUAGGCACGGUCAACCUGAACGACGAGGUUUGAGUUCCUGCAAGUAACUAAAGAACCGGCAAGAACAAAGGUGAAUUGCAAUCUGAAAUUGCGAAUGAAAAAUUAAGCACAUGAACUAGAUCAAAAGUUGGAGUUCCACUUUGGAUCUGACAAGGCGGUAGUCCUACACGUCUCAUAGAUGCGAAACUGUAGCAUGGCUAAACAAUACAAUAAAACCCGCGUAAACCCUAGAAUAUGAUGACUAUUUAUUAAAGGCCGGCGUGGAGAAUGCUUCGUCUAUUUUCUUGGAAGUCAAGACGGGCCUGCUAAUUGGCCGGACACACACGCGAUCUGAUUUGAAAAUAAACUUCUCAUAUCAAUCUGGUGGCAAACUGCCUCAUCGGUACUAUAGGCCCAGAUGCGCAACACACAAGGCCAUGCAUGGGCGCAAAACCUAUACGACGCCCUCAGCGUCCGAUACCAUGUUAACGGUACAGGGCACAGAACGUCGUGAGACAGUUCGGUCCAUAUCCGGUGUGGGCAUUAGAGCAUUGAGAGGACCUUUCCCUAGUACGAGAGGACUGGGAAGGACGCACUUCUGGUGUAUCAGUACACCCCCUUGUCACGAUGGGCCGGCCCACAUUCCUUUUUUUCUAUAUUAAAGACGCCGAAAAAACUGAAUGUAAGCACCAUGAUUCAAACCGGCAAUCGACUGGUUCAACACACACCACCUAACCAAUAGGCUACAUGUUGUUGACGUGGUUAGUUAUAGCUUUUCCUUCUUUUCUUCUUUGUACCUUCUUUUUUGUUUUUUUGUUCGAACGGUUUUGUUAGUUUUUAUUAUUUUCCAUCUUAAUUUUUUUCAAUAAUACAACAUUUUUCGUUUCAAUUUCGUGAACUUUUUUAAAAUUCGAUAUUUUUUUUCAAAAUUCAAUGAACUUAUUUUCAAAUUCGAUGAACUUUUUACAAAUUGGAUGAACUUUUUUCAAAUUUGAUGAACCUUUUUUUAAACUCGAUGUUUGUUUUCAAAUUUGCCAACUUUUUUGAAAAUUCAUGUACAAUUAUGAAUUCAUGAAUUUUUUGAUAUUUUUUUAAUUUUGCAAAUUUCCCCUUUUUAGUUUUUUUAAAUAGCAAUGGUUUUUUCGACAAGUGCUUGCAAGAGAAAAAAGGCUAGCAAAGGAGCGAGCAGCGACCGAUUGAGCCAGCAGCAGCGGUCGAGCGAGUAGUCGAGCGAUUAGCAAUCGAGCGAGCAGCGAUCGAGCGAGCCAGCAGCAGCGGCCGAGCGAGCAGUUGAGCGAUUAGCGAUCGAGCGAACAAAUGCAUGUUGAUUCAAUAAUGCUCAAGUGUAAAUAUUCUGUAUUAAACUUCGCAUCUUCACCCGAGGUUUGUGCAUCUCUUCUUUAAUCCUGCAUAUAAAAUAUUGUGUUGUAUUUUUGUUUCGGAUAACAAAAUAAUAAUUCAUAUAAUUUCUAUUAGAAUUCACCUGAUAAUUAUCUUUACGCGCAAUAAUUGUGGUUAUAUCCGUACGGGUCAUGUUUAUAUCAGGUAGUUAAUCUUCUUUUUCUUAUCCGCAAGACACUUCUUCACAUGCUCAUCCAAGAGGGUUUCGGCUGCCAACAUGAUCAUCGCAUCCACCACGUCCUGUGAGAUUCGCAACCUCUCCUUCUCAAGCUCUAUGUCGCCAAAUGUCUUGGCCUUCUCGAGUUCCCAUUUGAUCGCCACCCCUUGGUGGUCCACCAUGUCCGAACCUCCUUGCGCCGCCGCCGCCUCCCUCUCUCGCUGCAGGCGUUGCCGCAACUUCUGGGCGGCGUCCUCCGCCUUGCAAGUCAGAGCCGACGAAGGGACGCCGACGGACAAGGCGGACGGCGUCUUUGUCGCGGUGGUGGAUCGGGACCGGUGGUGAGGAUUGGGAGCAAGGGUGGAGGACGGCGAGGGUUCGGGCGCGGGAAAAGUUGGAGGGCGGCGGGAGGAGGAGAAAGGGUUUGGUGCAUUUGGCACAAUUUUCAAUGGGGUCGGGCUGACGGGUCCGACGUGGCGGGCGCGCCCGGGCGCCCCAUAUUUGGGCUAGAUAUGAGGGGUGCCGGUCAGCCCAGGCGUUCGAGGCCCGUUUAAGGAGCCCGUCUGGAUCGAAAAAUCGUGACCGGGUGGCCCACCCGGGUGUAUGAGCCAGGCUUGAGGUGCCCGACUGUAGAUGCUCUAAUCAUCUAGAUCUGACGCUCAAAGGCUCCACCCUCCCCCACGACUUGGGUUCGAGCGCCUCCCCAAAACUUCGUCGGGAUCCGCCACAACCGGCAACGGCGAGGCCAGAGGUGGCCGGAUCCGGCACAGGUUGGUCUCUCCCCUCCUUCUUCGCCCACCCUCUCCUCCUUACCUCACGCCACUUGUCUUCCCUUUUUUGCAGGUCGCCAUGGCGCGGACGGCGAUGACGGCAGGAGGGGCACACACAUCCGUGGAAUGGGACGCCGCCAUGGAGAUGGAGAUCCUUCUUCACACCACGCAGAGGCCCCAUGGAGCCUCCCUCCUUCUUCGGUGACUUCUUCUCAGGCCCCACCACUACCUCUGCCCUCCCCCCUCCUCUACUUUGAGUUGCACCAUGCUUUGUUUCAGAUUCAUCCACCCAUGGGUGAUACAUGGGAAGUUAGGGGUUGCUGCAGUUUGAGGUUAAUCCCUUGAUUGGCUGUUGUUUCGGGUUGAUUAGAUUAGUUAGCUCAGUUGGCUGCUAGACUUUAGGAGUGCAUACAUGGGUAUAACAUGCUCUGCACAUUUAGGAUUGAAGUAUUGUGUUGCAGCACUCAGUGACGUUAAUUUAGGGCAUUUCAGUGUCAGUUCCACUAUAUUUCGGGGGACAUUUAACAGUGCAAUUUCAUGGUUAUUACAGUGUAAUUUCAAGGUUCUUGCAUUCUAAGUUCAGAGAAUUACAAUGUUAGUUUAUGUGAAUUCCCGUGCAUUUUACUGUGUAAUUUAAGUGCAAUGGAAAUUAUAGUGUAAAUUCAGUGUAAUUUACUAUGUAAAUUUACGGAAAUUACACUGUAAUUCGUGUGCAACUUUUAGUGUAAUUUACACUAUAAUUUCAACGGGUUUACAGUAGAGUAAUUUAAGUGUAAUUACAGUGUGCACUUUAGAGCAAUCAUACUAUAUAUUUAGUGAAUUUAAAGUAUCACUCCAUACCUUUCGGGUUUGUCUUUUUUCUCUACAAGUUACUGCUAUACUGUUGAUUGAUUCUACCCUUGCGAAAGAAACUUUGAUGAGCACAUAAUUUUCUACUAUGUAAUUUGAGCAGCUUGGUAACCGUAAUUUUCAGUUUCCUUUGACCCUAGGCCCUUGUGCUUUAGAAUUGCUAUUUUUUGUCAGUGUACAUGCUAGAUCAUGUGGUUUAUGAUACUUCUCUGGUCCUUAUAAACAAAGUGACAUGUUUGUACUGUGGAAUAGAAAGAAUAUUUCAGUGUCUCUCUUUAGGCCUUUUGUCGAAUUGUUAUGUGGUCCAGUGCAGCCUUACGAAACCGGGUUCUAUGCAGUUCAUGUACAGUGCAAAACUCAUUAUUGCAGGUCAGGCCUGUAGCAUGUCUUGGGUCAUUGACAUGCAGGAAAGAAGGAAAAAGGACAUAGAAGUAUCAUUUUGUUAUUGGUCAAGAAAAUUUGAAUAAUGUCCAACUGAUUUCAGUUGAAUGACAAAUAGACAAUCCCUUGUUUAAUCAGUAGAUAUACACCAUUAACUCAAAUAGCAAAGAAAUACUAGUCCAUUUAUAAUCGAUGAUUGCGCAUGAUGCAUCCAUCCAUUCUAUCGGAGAGGCUGUGUUUUUUUUCUUCUUGUGCUAAGGUUGAUAGCAUCACAUAUCUUAUGCUUUUGUUUCUCAAGUAGAGCCUUGAGAUAGAUGUGUCUGCAACCGUCCUCGAAUGGUUGUGCAAUAAUAAUGGUCCUAGCUAAUUACUAGUAUGCACUGCUUAUAAAACAACUUGUUGCUCGUUUCACUUUGAGUAUGCUGUUGCUGCUAAAGUAGCAACAACAACAGCCAUGCUUUGGUUCCCCAAAAUUCAGAUGGCACUGGCAUCUCUACAUACACACACAUAUAUGAAUAUGCACCUCAGUUUGGUUCAGUUUGCAUGUGUACCGUUGCUUUAACUUUGACUGAAACUAUCUUGGUGGCACUUGCAUCAAUGUUGUGCUCUGCCCUUGUAUAUGUCCUUGGAGAAGAUGACCAUUGGACUGUAGGGGACGAACAACCUUGUCCUGCUCGAGGAGGAGGAGGAUGGCCACCCUGAGCUCGAGGACGACACGACAACAGGAGCACUCACCUCCCUACUAAGGUGAAGGUCCGAUCCGCCUGUUUAGAUGGUCUGCUCUUGUCUUGUGAUCUGAGGGGAGAAGAAAGCCAUUGGCCUCAAUUAUAUUUGCAUGUGAGGGGAGCGAUCCUUUUGGUAGAUGCAGAGUAUAGAUUACAUAUUCCACAAAACUCACCACACGAGUAUACUAACUAUAUCCACAAAAUUCACCACACGAGCAUACUACCUAUGUCCAAAUGUGGGUUUGAUACUUUCGACAUGAAACAUGAAUAUCAGGUUGGGAGUUUGGAGUUUAAUCAAAUAACGCAGCAAGGCGAUCAUCGGUAGGGAUGCACCUUUGAGGCGGCAAGGAGGGCUUCUCAAAGGCAGUACACAUGGCUUAUUACUGCUUGUAUGUGAGUACGCAGAUGUGGCGUCUAUGGAUAGAGGGUUAGGGGCGCAACGCAAGCGGCAGUAGGGGAUACACAACCUGAUUUGAUUUGGUCAAUCACGGGAAAUGGGAGAAGGCCUAGGGUGCAAAGUUUAGAUCGGUGGGUUGGUAGCGUUAGGCAUAAUAGAGAUCAAACCUUUUUCAUAGGCGUAUGUAGGUUAUUUCCUUGAAGCAUUUUAUCAAAAUGGUGUAGGCGGGUAAUAUCUCUCAACUUAAAUGUGAAGGGGAUAUAUUAUUUCCUUGUAGAGGCCGAGGAAUACAUGGCGUACCGCUACAUAUGCAACCAUGAUUUUUUGUGGAUGGUUACGAGAGAACCUGAAAGAUACCAUGGACCGAAGCAUGGGCACAUGAAGUUCCUGUUGGGGAACGUAGUAAUUUCAAAAAAAUUCCUACGCACACGCAAGAUCAUGGUGAUGCAUAGCAACGAGAGGAGAGAGUAUGAUCUACGUACCCUUGUAGAUCGACAACGGAAGCGUUAACUUGGUUGAUGUAGUCGUACGUCUUCACGGCCCGGCCGAUCAAGCACCGAAACUACGGCACCUCCGAGAUCUAGCACACAUUCAGCUCGAUGACGAUCCCCGGACUCCGAUCCAGCAAAGUGUCGGGGAAGAGUUCCGUCAGCACGACGGCGUGGUGACGAUAUUGAUGUACUACCGUCGCAGGGCUUCGCCUAAGCACCGCUACAAUAUUAUCGAGGACUAUGGUGGAAGGGGGCACCGCACACGGCUAAGAAUAUGAUCACAUGGAUCAACUUGUGUCUCUAGGGGUGCUCCCUGCCUCCGUAUAUAAAGGCUCAAAGGGGGAGGGGUGGCCGGCCAAGAGGAGGCGCGCCAGGAGGAGUCCUACUCCCUCCAGGAGUAGGACUCCCCCCCUUUCCUAAUUGGAAUAGGAUUCGCGGAGGGGGGAAAGAGGAGAGAGAGGAGGAAGGGGGGGGCGACCCCCUCUCCUUGUCCUAUUUGGACCAAAGGGGGGAGGGGCGCGCGGCCCAUAUCUGGCCACCUCUCCUCUCUUCCACUAAGGCCCACUAAGGCCCAUAUACCUCCCGGGGGGUUCCGGUAACCUCCCGGUAAUCCGGUAAAAUCCCGAUUUCACCCGGAACACUUCCGAUAUCCAAAUAUAGGCUUCCAACAUAUCAAUCUUUAUGUCUCGACCAUUUCGAGACUCCUCGUCAUGUCCGUGAUCACAUCCGGGGCUCCGAACAAACUUCGGUACAUCAAAAUGCAUAAACUCAUAAUAUAACUGUCAUCGAAACCUUAAGCGUGCCGACCCUACGGGUUCGAGAACAAUGUAGACAUGACCGAGACACGUCUCCGGUCAAUAACCAAUAGCGGCACCUGGAUGCUCAUAUUGGAUCCUACAUAUUCUACGAAGAUCUUUUAUCGGUCAGACCGCAUAACAACAUACGUUGUUCCCUUUGUCAUCGGUAUGUUACUUGCCCGAGAUUCGAUCAUCGGUAUCCAAUACCUAGUUCAAUCUCGUUACCGGCAAGUCUCUUUACUCGUUCCGUAAUCCAUCAUCCCGCAACUAACUCAUUAGUCGCAAUGCUUGUAAGGCUUAUGUGAUGUGCAUUACCGAGAGGACCCAGAGAUACCUCUCCGACAAUCGGAGUGACAAAUCCUAAUCUCGAAAUACGCCAACCCAACAUGUACCUUUGGAGACACCUGUAGAGCUCCUUUAUAAUCACCCAGUUACGUUGUGACGUUUGGUAGCAUAAAAAGUGUUCCUCCGGCAAACGGGGGUUGCAUAAUCUCAUAGUCAUAGGAACAUGUAUAAGUCAUGAAGAAAGCAAUAGCAACAUACUAAACGAUCGGGUGCUAAGCUAAAGGAAUGGGUGAUGUCAAUCAGAUCAUUCAUCUAAUGAUGUGAUCCUGUUAAUCAAAUGACAACUCUUUGUCCGUGUUUAGGAAACAUAACCAUCUUUGAUUAACAAGCUAGUCUAGUAGAGGCAUACUAGUGACACUCUGUUUGUCUAUGUAUUCACGCAUGUAUUAUGUUUCCGGUUAAUACAAUUCUAGCAUGAAUAAUAAACUUUUAUCAUGAUAUAUAAGGAAAUAAAUAAUAACUUUAUUAUUGCCUCUAGGGCAUAUUUCCUUCAGUCUCCCACUUGCACUAGAGUCAAUAAUCUAGAUUACACAGUAAUGAUUCUAACACCCAUGGAGCCUUGGUGCUGAUCAUGUUUUGCUCGUGGAAGAGGCUUAGUCAACGGGUCUUCUACAUUCAGAUCCGUAUGUAUCUUGCAAAUCUCUAUGUCUCCCACCUGGACUAGAUCCCGGAUGGAAUUGAAGCGUCUCUUGAUGUGCUUGGUUCUCUUGUGAAAUCUGGAUUCCUUUGCCAAGGCAAUUGCACCAGUAUUGUCACAAAAGAUUUUCAUUGGACCCGAUGCACUAGGUAUGACACCUAGAUCGGAUAUGAACUCCUUCAUCCAGACUCCUUCAUUCGCUGCUUCCGAAGCAGCUAUGUAUUCCGCUUCACAUGUAGAUCCCGCCACGACGCUCUGUUUAGAACUGCACCAACUGACAGCUCCACCAUUUAAUGUAAACACGUAUCCGGUUUGCGAUUUAGAAUCAUCCGGAUUAGUGUCAAAGCUUGCAUCAACGUAACCAUUUACGAUGAGCUCUUUGUCACCUCCAUAUACAAGAAACAUAUCCUUAGUCCUUUUCAGGUACUUCAGGAUGUUCUUGACCGCUGUCCAGUGAUCCACUCCUAGAUUACUUUGGUACCUCCCUGCUAGACUUAUAGCAAUGCACACAUCAGGUCUGGUACACAGCAUUGCAUACAUGAUAGAGCCUAUGGCUGAAGCAUAGGGAACAUCUUUCAUUUUCUCUCUAUCUUCUGCAGUGGUCGGCCAUUGAGUCUGACUCAACUUCACACCUUGUAACACAGGCAAGAACCCUUUCUUUGCUUGAUCCAUUUUGAACUUCUUCAAAAUUUUGUCAAGGUAUGUGCUUUGUGAAAGUCCAAUUAAGCGUCUUGAUCUAUCUCUAUAGAUCUUUAUGCCUAAUAUGUAAGCAGCUUCACCAAGGUCUUUCAUUGAAAAACUCUUAUUCGAGUAUCCCUUUAUGCUAUCCAGAAAUUAUAUAUCAUUUCCAAUCAGUAAUAUGUCAUCCACAUAUAAUAUCAUAAAUGCUACAGAGCUCCCACUAACUUUCUUGUAAAUACAGGCUUCUCCAAAGGUCUGUAUAAAACCAAAUGCUUUGAUCACACUAUCAAAGCGUUUAUUCCAACUCCGAGAGGCUUGCACCAGUCCAUAAAUGGAUCACUGGAGCUUGCACAGUUUGUUAGCUCCCUUUGGAUCGACAAAACCUUCCGGUUGCAUCAUAUAAAACUCUUCUUCCAGAAAUCCAUUCAGGAAUGCAGUUUUGACAUCCAUCUGCCAAAUUUCAUAAUCAUAAAAUGCGGCAAUUGCUAACAUGAUUCGGACAGACUUAAGCAUCGCUACGGGUGAGAAGGUCUCAUCGUAGUCAACCCCUUGAACUUGUCGAAAACCUUUUGCGACAAGUCAAGCUUUGUAGACAGUAAUAUUACCGUCAGCGUCAGUCUUCUUCUUGAAGAUCCAUUUAUUCUCAAUUGCUUGCCGAUCAUCGGGCAAGUCAACCAAAGUCCAUACUUUGUUCUCAUACAUGGAUCCCAUCUCAGAUUUCAUGGCUUCAAGCCAUUUUUCGGAAUCUGGGCUCACCAUCGCUUCUUCAUAGUUCGUAGGUUCAUCAUGAUCUAGUAGCAUGACUUCCAGAACAGGAUUACCGUACCACUCUGGCGCGGAUCUUACUCUGGUUGAUCUACGAGGUUCAGUAGUAUCUUGUUCUGAAGUUUCAUGAUCAUUAUCAUUAGCUUCCUCACUAAUUGGUGUAGGUGUCGCAAAAACAGGUUUCUGUUAUGUGCUACUUUCCAAUAAGGGAGCAGGUACAGUUACCUCGUCAAGUUCUACUUUCCUCCCACUCACUUCUUUCGAGAGAAACUCCUUCUCUAGAAAGGAUCCAUUCUUAGCAACGAAUGUCUUGCCUUCGGAUCUGUGAUAGAAGGUGUACCCAACAGUCUCCUUUGGGUAUCCUAUGAAUACACAUUUCUCCGAUUUCGGUUCGAGCUUAUCAGGUUGAAGCUUUUUCACAUAAGCAUCGCAGCCCCAAACUUUAAGAAACGACAACUUUGGUUUCUUGCCAAACCAUAGUUCAUAAGGUGUCAUCUCAACGGAUUUUGAUGGCGCCCUGUUUAACGUGAAUGCGGCUGUCUCUAAAGCAUAACCCCAAAAUGAUAGCGGUAAAUUUGUAAGAGACAUCAUAGAUCGCACCAUAUCAAGUAAAGUACGAUUACGACAUUCGGACACACCAUUACGCUGAGGUGUUCCGGGUGGCGUGAGUUGCAAAACUAUUCCGCAUUGUUUCAGAUGUAGACCAAACUCGUAACUCAAAUAUUCUCCUCCACGAUCAGAUCGCAGAAACUUUAUUUUCUUGUUACGAUGAUUUUCAACUUCACUCUGAAAUUCUUUGAACUUUUCAAAUGUUUCAGACUUAUGCUUCAUUAAGUAGAUAUACCCAUAUCUGCUUAAAUCAUCUGUGAAGGUGAGAAAAUAACGAUAUCCGCCACGAGCCUCAACAUUCAUCGGACCACAUACAUCUGUAUGUAUGAUUUCCAACAAAUCUGUUGCUCUCUCCAUUGUAUCGGAGAAUGGUGUUUUAGUCAUCUUGCCCAUGAGGCACGGUUCGCAGGUACCAAGUGAUUCAUAAUCAAGAGGUUCCAAAAGUCCAUCUGUAUGGAGUUUCUUCAUGCGCUUUACACCGAUAUGACCUAAACGGCAGUGCCACAAAUGAGUUGCCCUAUCAUUAUCAACUCUGCAUCUUUUGGCUUCAACAUUAUGAAUAUGUGUGUUACUACUAUCGAGAUUCAUCAAAAAUAGACCACUCUUCAAAGGUGCAUGACCAUAAAAGAUAUCACUCAUAUAAAUAGAACAACCAUUAUUCUCUAAUUUAAAUGAAUAACCGUCUCGCAUUAAACAAGAUCCAGAUAUAAUGUUCAUGCUCAAUGCUGGCACCAAAUAACAAUUAUUUAGGUCUAAUACUAAUCCCGAAGGUAGAUGUAGAGGUAGCGUGCCGACCGCGAUCACAUUGACUUUAGAACCAUUUCCCACGCGCAUCGUCACCUCGUCCUUUGCCAGUGUUCGCUUAAUCCGUAGUCCCUGUUUCAAGUUGCAAAUAUUAGCAACAGAACCAGUAUCAAAUACCCAGGUGCUACUGCGAGCUCUAGUAAGGUACACAUCAAUAACAUGUAUAUCACUUAUACCUUUGUUCACCUUGCCAUCCUUCUUAUCCGCCAAAUACUUGGGGCAGUUCCGCUUCUAGUGACCAGUCUGCUUGCAUUAGAAGCACUCAAUUUCAGGCUUAGGUCCAGACUUGGGUUUCUUCUCCUGAUCAACAACUUGCUUGCUUUUCUUCUUGAAGUUCCCCUUCUUCUUCCCUUUGCCCUUUUUCUUGAAACUAGUGGUCUUGUUGACCAUCAACACUUGAUGCUCCUUCUUGAUUUCUACCUCCGCAGCUUUUAGCAUUGCGAAGAGCUCGGGAAUAGUCUUAUUCAUCCCUUGCAUAUUAUAGUUCAUCACAAAGCUCUUGUAGCUUGGUGGCAGUGAUUGGAGAAUUCUGUCAAUGACGCAAUCAUCUGGAAGAUUAACUCCCAUCUGAAUCAAGUGAUUAUUAUACCCAGACAUUUUGAGUAUAUGCUCACUGACAGAACUGUUCUCCUCCAUCUUGCAGCUAUAGAACUUAUUGGAGACUUCAUAUCUCUCAAUCCAGGCAUUUGCUUGAAAUAUUAACUUCAACUCCUGGAACAUCUCAUAUGCUCCAUGACGUUCAAAGCGUCGUUGAAGUCUCUAAGCCGUAAAGCAUGGCACACUGAACUAUCGAGUAGUCAUCAGCUUUGCUCUGCCAGACGUUCAUAACAUCUGGUGUUGCUCCAGCAGCAGGCCUGGCACCCAGCGGUGCUUCCAGGACGUAAUUCUUCUAUGCAGCAAUGAGGAUAAUCCUCAAGUUACGGACCCAGUCCGUGUAAUUGCUACCAUCGUCUUUCAACUUUGCUUUCUCAAGGAACGCAUUAAAAUUUAACGGAACAACAGCACGGGCCAUUUAUCUACAAUUAACAUAAACAAGCAAGAUACUAUCAGGAACUAAGUUCAUGAUAAAUUUAAGUUCAAUUAAUCAUAUUACUCAAGAACUCCCACUUAGAUAGACAUCCCUCUAAUCAUCUAAACCAUAACCGAUCAUCACGUGAAAUGGAGUAGUUUUCAGUGGUGAACAUCGCUAUGUUGAUCAUAUCUACUAUAUGAUUCACGCACGAUCUUUCGAUCUCAGUGUUCCGAGGCCAUAUCUGCAUAUGCUAGGCUCGUCAAGUUUAACCUGAGUAUUCUGCGUGUGCAAAACUGGCUUGCACCCGUUGUAGAUGGACGUAGAGCUUAUCACACCCGAUCAUCACGUGGUGUCUGGGCACAACAAACUUUGGCAACGGUGCAUACUCGGGGAGAACACUUUUAUCUUGAAAUUUAGUGAGAGAUCAUCUUAUAAUGCUACCGUCAAUCAAAGCAAGAUAAGAUGCAUAAAAGAUAAACAUCACAUGCAAUCAAUAUAAGUGAUAUGAUAUGGCCAUCAUCAUCUUGUGCUUGUGAUCUCCAUCCUCGAAGCACCAUCGUGAACACCAUUGUCACCAGCGCGACACCUUGAUCUCCAUCAUAGCAUCAUUGUCAUCUUGCCAAUCUUAUGCUUCUACGACUAUCGCUACCGCUUAGUGAUAAAGUAAAGCAUUACAGGGCGAUUGCGUUGCAUACAAUAAAGCGACAACCAUAUGGCUCCUGCCAGUUGCCGAUAACUCGGUUACAAAACAUGAUCAUCUCAUACAAUAAAAUUUAGCAUCAUGUCUUGACCAUAUCACAUCACAACAUGCCCUGCAAAAACAAGUUAGACGUCCUCUACUUUGUUGUUGCAAGUUUUACGUUGCUGCUGCGGGCUUAAGCAAGAACCAAUCUUACCUACGCAUCAAAACCACAAUGAUAGUUUGUCAAGUUGGUGCUGUUUUAACCUUCGCAAGGACCGGGCGUAGCCACACUCGGUUCAACUAAAGUUGGAGAAACUGCCACCCGCAAGCCACCUAUGUGCAAAGCACGUCGGGAGAACCGGUCUCGCGUAAGCGUACGCGUAAUGUCGGUCUGGGCCGCUUCGUCCAGCAAUACCGCCGAACCAAAGUAUGACAUGUUGGUAAGCAGUAUGACUUAUAUCGCCCACAACUCACUUGUGUUCUACUCGUGCAUAUAACAUCAACAUAUAAAACCUAGGCUCGGAUGCCACUGUUGGGGAACGUAGUAAUUUCAAAAAAAUUCCUACGCACACGCAAGAUCAUGGUGAUGCAUAGCAACGAGAGGGGAGAGUAUGAUCUACGUACCCUUGUAGAUCGACAACGAAAGCGUUAACUUCGUUGAUGUAGUCGUACGUCUUCACGGCCCGACCGAUCAAGCACUGAAACUACGGCACCUCCUAGUUCUAGCACACAUUCAGCUUGAUGAUGAUCCCCGGACUCCGAUCCAGCAAAGUGUCGGGGAAGAGUUCCGUCAGCACGACGGCGUGGUGACGAUCUUGAUGUACUACCGUCGCAGGGCUUCGCCUAAGCACCACUACAAUAUUAUCGAGGACUAUGGUGGAAGGGGGCACCGCACACGGCUAAGAAUAUGAUCACGUGGAUCAACUUGUGUCUCUAGGGGUGCUCCCUGCCUCCGUAUAUAAAGGCUCAAAGAGGGGGGCGGCCGGCCAAGAGGAGGCGCGCCAGGAGGAGUCCUACUCCCUCCGGGAGUAGGACUCCCCCCUUUCCUAAUUGGAAUAGGAUUCGCGGAGGGGGGAAAGAGGAGAGAGAGGAGGAAGGGGGGCCGGCCCCCUCUCCUUGUCCUAUUCGGACCACAGGGGGGAGGGGCGCGCGACCCAUCUCUGGCCACCUCUCCUCUCUUCCACUAAGGCCCACUAAGGCCCAUAUACCUCCCGGGGGGUUCCGGUAACCUCCCGGUAAUCCGGUAAAAUCCCUAUUUCACCCGGAACACUUCCGAUAUCCAAAUAUAGGCUUCCAACAUAUCAAUCUUUAUGUCUCGACCAUUUCGAGACUCCUCGUCAUGUCCGUGAUCACAUCUGGGACUCCGAACAAACUUCGGUACAUCAAAAUGCAUAAACUCAUAAUAUAACUGUCAUCGAAACCUUAAGCGUGCGGACCCUACGGGUUCGAGAACAAUGUAGACAUGAACGAGACACGUCUCCGGUCAAUAACCAAUAGCGGAACCUGGAUGCUCAUAUUGGCUCCUACAUAUUCUACGAAGAUCUUUUAUCAGUCAGACUGCAUAAGAACAUACGUUGUUCCCUUUGUCAUCGGUAUGUUACUUGCCCGAGAUUCGAUCGUCGGUAUCCAAUACCUAGUUCAAUCUCGUUACCGGCAAGUCUCUUUACUCGUUCCGUAAUCCAUCAUCCCGCAACUAACUCAUUAGUCGCAAUGCUUGCAAGGAUUAUGUGAUGUGCAUUACCGAGAGGGCCCAGAGAUACCUCUCCGACAAUCGGAGUGACAAAUCCUAAUCUCGAAAUAUGCCAACCCAACAUGUACCUUUGGAGACACCUAUAGAGCUCCUUUAUAAUCACCCAGUUACGUUGUGGCGCUUGGUAACACACAAAGUGUUCCUCCGGCAAACUGGAGUUGCAUAAUCUCAUAGUCAUAGGAACAUGUAUAAGUCAUGAAGAAAGCAAUAGCAACAUACUAAACGAUCGGGUGCUAAGCUAAUGGAAUGAGUCAUGUCAAUCAGAUCAUUCAUCUAAAGAUGUGAUCCUGUUAAUCAAAUGACAACUCUUUGUCCAUGGUUAGGAAACAUAACCAUCUUUGAUUAACAAGCUAGUCUAGUAGAGGCAUACUAGUGACAAUCUGUUUGUCUAUGUAUUCACACAUGUAUUAUGUUUCCGGUUAAUACAAUUCUAGCAUGAAUAAUAAACUUUUAUCAUGAUAUAUAAGGAAAUAAAUAAUAACUUUAUUAUUGCCUCUAGGGCAUAUUUCCUUCAGUUCCAACACCGAAGGGUAAGGAGACGGGCCCGCGUCAUUUACGUCCGGAAUAUGCGACCUUGAUUCUUUGUCGAUGGUGAUGCCAAGACUAUAGGAUAAGGUGGAUCCGGACACAUGAGCAGAUGAAGUGCCUGACACGAAGUUGGUUAAGGAGCUGGACCCAAGUCAUCUACACCGCAAAUUGGUCGAAGGUGUGCCGUGAAUGAUAGAUGUACUUGAGGGGGGAGAAAGCCUGUGAAAAGAACAUACGGUUGCUCGAUGAUGACACAUGUCUUGAGAGGAUGGCGAGAACCCUAGAUAUGGUUAAGGCACGCCACGAGAACAUCACCCCGGUCGCGAGAUUCUCAGUGGUGUGCGGCAACCGAAGCCAAAAGGGCACCCCCGCAAGACCUUGAAAUGCCAGAGCGGUGGGCGCACAAGCAAUGGUGAGGAAAAUCACAUAAGGUACCAAGCAAGGCCAUCCUGAUCAGGGCUCCAUUGCCAAGCUUAUGUCCACCACUGCGAUUCAGACAAACUUUCAACUGGCGUCUCUGUCUUCUCAAGAUUUCCAUGGUCCCAUCAGGAUGUAUAUAUGUACUUUGUUUAUUUUGAAAAUUAAUAUAUCACCAAAGAAAUUGUAGUACUUGUCAUUCUUUUAAUUACUUAGUAGUUUGCAUGAUAGACUCAAUCUUAUAUUUACUAAUUAGAGGCACCAAAUAAGCGACCACGUUAAUCCUCAAAAACUAAGAAUAUUAUCCAUCCGAUCUCCAUAUUAAGUAUCUGUAGCCGUCCAUUGGACAACUCAAGAGUCCUGGGUUACUAUCCCACGUCAUGCUCCAUGUAAUGUGAAAAAAAAAUCAUCUCCUUGGCCAAAUCCAUCCCACGUCAUGCUCCAUGUAAUGUGAAAAAAAGCAUCUCCCUGGCCAAAUUCUUCCUCCCCUGAUCUAUCAUGUGAGGCACUUGCGCAUCAUCCACAAAUCCCUAGCGCAAAUCCAUCCCACGUCAUGCUCCAUGUAAUGUGAAAAAAAUCAUCUCCCUGGCCAAAUUCUUCCUCCCCCGAUCUAUCAUGUGAGGCACUUGCGCAUCAUCCACAAAUCCCUAGCGCUGCUCUUCCAGGUCGUCCUCCUCCUUCCUAUCUUUUGUUGUCUUAAUGCAAAACGAUUCCGUGAGAUCCUUGUGAUCCUCUUCAUCUUCACGUAGAAAUCUGAACUGUCCCAACCACGCUGCAGAUCUGUGGUCCGUCUUGGACAAAGAGAAGGCCCUUUCAAUCUCCACAGAUGCCAUGCCCCAACCAAACCGCAACCCAUGAUAAACGAUGUUGUUGAGAAGGAGGCGCUACCUAAGUCUGAUCGGACAUAUGCCAUUGUUAGGGAAGCUACAAGUCGAAGAACUAUGGUAGACUGAUUGCGAGUAAUUAAGGAGCUAUCAACGAUCCAGUAGGUUUUUGUUAUUAGGAAUUUUUAUGUAGUGCGACUUGAUCUCAAAGAACAAGUACACCAUUAGAGUUCGUUUUGGAGGAUUUUGAUGAUGUGCGCUUAGUUACAGACUUAUCUAAAUACGUAUAACUAGGAUGGACAAUAUUUGUAGGAGCCAUACAAUCCAAUUAGGGGAUUUAGUUUGUCAAAGAUGUUUCCACAUAUCCCUAGCGCUGCUCUUCUAGGUUGCCCCCUGCUUCCUAUCUACGGUCUUCAAGUAAAGCGAUUUAAUGAGUCUCUUGCUGCAGAAAUUUCAACUGCCACAAGAAGGCUGCAGACCUGCGGUUCAUCUUGGCUGAGGUGUCAUACAAUCCAGUUAAGGGAUUCCAUUCAUUGAAGAUGUGGCUGUACUUUCGCACAACAAACUCAAGCACAUCUUCUUAUGUUCUUAGAAACUAGAUGAGUUGUUUUGGACUUUCUUUGGUCUACUCCUCUAUGCUUCUUAUUGGGAAAGUUAGUAUGCAAAAGUUAUGCCCAUCUUCUUAAAUUCGGAUGUAACUUUUCGAGUAGAUGAUUUUUCAUAUAAAAAACUUUUUCAUCCGAGUUAGUAUGCAAAAGUUAUGCCCAUUUUUACAAAUUUCAGAGAGAUUUUGCAAAUAAAGUGAAAAUUCAGAUUUGCAAAUUUUCCCAACAAGUAGACCACAUAUCACAUGGGAAACUUAUUUUCUUUUAUUUUUUUUGACAUUUCCAUCAUUUUCUUUUAUUUUUUUAAAACUGAAAAGGCGAUCCACAUGGGGGGGGGUAGAGUUUGAAAAUGGGACCUUUAGUACUGGUUCGUGGCACGAACCGGGACUAAAGGUCUCAACCCCAUUAGUCCCGGUUCAUGCCUCAAACCGGGACUAAAGGUCUAAUCGUUAGUCCCGGUUUGAGGCACGAACCGGGACCAAUGGUUUUGUGCCAGGAGCGAGGCCCAUUGGUCCCGGUUCAUCCCACCAACCGGGACCAAAAGGUCCAGAUGAACCGGGACCAAUGGCCCACGUGGCCCGGCCGGCCCCCUGGGCUCACGAACCGGGACCAAUGCCCCCGUUGGUCCCGGUUCUGGACUGAACCGGGACUAAUGGGCUGACCCGGCCUGGACCAAAGCCCUGUUUUCUACUAGUGAGUCCAAUCUUGUGUUUAUUCCUCCAUGUCGGCAAAGAGUCAGUAGUCAAUCACCAAGCAAAAUUGCGCACAGUGGGGGGUACAUCACAUCUCCAUAUAUAUUGCCAGCAUUUUCUACUACCAUCUGGCGAUGUGCUAGAUGCCUCUACAGUAUUUCUGUGAGCUACUUCAAAAGCCAGCAUAUAUGCUGAUUUGACCGUGAAGACAUCGAGCUUCCCCGGCCCCCAUGCAAUCACAUCCUCACCUAAUCUUGGAGAUGCCCAUAUCUUUAAGAUUUCUUCCACAUCAGCUGAUAAGAAGUACUGCUGAAGAAGUACCAAGUUCCAAGAACCAUUAUCAUUUAGCAAGUCGGAGACAAAACGAAUGCGACAUCUUCCCUGCAGCGACACAGGUUUGUACGAAAAGGGCCUUGGAAUCCAGUUAUCUCUCCCCUUUGUUGGUAGUCAGAGUCACUAGGACAACUAACUGUGUUAGCAUCUAGAGUUGUAACAAGCCACAGUCCGCCUAUCUUGGUUGCACAGCGAUGAUGCUACCAUCUCCUACGACAAAGUACAUGCCUUGCACCGGAAACAGCGCAACCAUAUGACAUCUAUCCGAGUGGGCGACCACGUGGUGACCGGGCAUGAGGCCAUGGCUGAGGCCGCCUACAACCACUUCUCCGAUGUGCUCGGAAGUGCCAUGGAGCAUGACAUCACGCUUGAUCUCCGCGUUUUGCGUGUUCAACACAAUGCUACUCCGUGCGGUGGACCUAGGCCUUCUUCGACGCCUUACAACUCGGCACGCGGCCUCGAGUAUAUCGCUAUACGCGGACGAUGUUGUCAUCUUUUGUCACCCGGAUAGCCACCACAUUACCACCGUGUGAACCAUCCUACACAUAUUCGGGCUUCAUACAAACUUCGCCAAGUGUUCUGCCACCCCGAUCCGGUGCGAUGAUGACAACAACAUGAUGAUCACAUCUGAGAUGCAGUGCCCCAUAGCCCAAUUCCCCAUCACAUACCUCGGUUUGCCUCUCUCUAUCUGCAAGGCCUCCACGACUAGCUUGCUCCCAAUCAUUGACAAGAUCGGCCACAAGCUCUCCACUUGGCAUGCUUCCAUGAUGUCCAACGGGCAACGGCGACUGCCUUGCUCUCGUGCAUCACGUACUUAGUGCUAUCCCGACAUACUUCCUCACCACCUUUGCUCUCAACCAAUCCAUCCUCGUGAAAUUCAACCGCAUCAUCCGCGGAUUCCUUUGGGCGGGAGGCACCGAAGGCAAUGGGGGUCAGUGUCAUGUUAACUGACAGCAAGUUUGCAGGCCAAUCUCUCUUGGCGGUCUUAGCAUCAGGGACAUUCAAAGGACCGGCAUCACCCUCUGUGCAUGGUUGCUUUGGUUACAGUGCACCGACCCCUUGCAACCCUCGAGCCACUUACACAUACCUCACGACCCAGACGUGACUGCCAUCUUCAGCGCAUCUAGGACCUGGGAUCUUGGGUCCGGCGUCACCUGCAGAUUCUGGUCCGACCACUUGAUAGAGGGUAGAUCCGUGGUUGAGAUCCCCCCAGUCCUCGCCUCGUCCCUCGACGCCGACGCAAGACUCGCACCGUUCACGAGGGCCUCCACCUUAGAGCCUGGGUGCAAGAGAUUCAUGGAGCACUCGGACCGACGGCCAUGUUGCAAUAUGUUGAUCUUGAGCGACGUGUGCGCCACAUUGACCAGAUGAGCCGGAUACACUCAAAUGGCGCUGGACCGCCUCCGCUAUGAAAUGUCUAUGAUGGGAGAAUUUAAAUUCUUCUUAGGCCUUCAAAUUCUUCAACAGCGCAAUGGCAUCUUCAUAUUUCAGGAGAAAUACCUCAAGGAUGUAUUGUGGAAAUUCGGCAUGAAAGAUUGCAAAGGCGUCAAAAUCCCUAUGCCCACAAAUGGCCAUCUAUGCACUGAUGAAAAUGGUAUUGACUUUGAUCAAAAGGUAUACCGCUCCAUGAUUGGUUCUUUAUUGUAUUUAUGUGCAUCUAGGCCAGAUAUUAUGCUCAGUGUUUGCAUGUGUGCCCGAUUUCAACCUACACUGAAGGAAUCACACCAUAAGGCUGUGAAGCAUAUUCUUCGUUAUCUAGCUCACACACCAACACUUGGAUAUGGUAUCCCAAGGGCUCGGCUUUUGAUCUCAUUGGGUACUCACUCUGACUAUGCGGGUGAUCCUGUGGACCGCAAGUCAACAUCAGGCACAUGCCAUUUCCUCAGGCGAUCCUUGGUCUGUUGGUCCUCGAAGAAACAGAACUGCGUAUCACUGUCUACUGCUGAAGCUGAGUACAUUGCUGCUGGUUCUUGCUGUUCUCAAUUUCUAUGGAUGAAUCAAACCCUCAAGGACUACUACGUCAAUGUAAAGAAUGUGCCUCUCUACUAUGACAAUGAGAGUGCCAUCAAGAUUGCUCAUAACCCACUUCAGCAGUCGAAGACAAAGCACAUUCAAAUUUGUCAUCAUUUUCUUCGUGAUCAUGUGUUGAAGGGCGACAUUUCUAUUGAGCAUGUGAAGACUGGAGAACGGCUAGCCGGUAUCUUCACAAAGCCUUUGGAUGAGAAGAGAUUUAGCAAGUUGCGGUGUGAGCUAAAUAUCCUAGAAUCUUCGAAUGUCCUUUGAAAAGGACACACAUCCUAACACUUGUGCAAAGUUGAUGACUUAGACGUGCAACACACGAAGAAACGUUUUUCUUCAUUCAAUGAAGAUUAACACUCUAAGUGUGAAGAAAUUAACAAAGAAUUUGAUUCUCAGAGCCCUUCGACAAUUGUACAUGGUGUUUGAAAUCAUCAUUCUUAUACGGUGGGUCACGCCACCACCAAAAGUUGAAAAUCUUGAAUUUGAGUUUUUACUCAUUUUUGAAUUUCCUCAGUUGUUCAAAUUCUUCAACCCAUCCCACCUUAUCUUCUCAUACCCACUCCCCCCAAUUCCCUCUCUAUCUCUCCCGCAACCUCCCUUGCGCGGACGCCGCCAAACCACCACCUCCCCUGUGCCGCCGCGCCGCGACCUCCUCUGCGCCGCCGCGCCGCAACCUCCUCUCUGCGGCCGAGUCUGCUCCCCGGCGAUUCCCGAUCCACAACUGCCCCCAUUGCCCUUGCCUUCCUCUGCGCGCCGCCGCUCUAGGUCGCGUCCACCGCGUUCCACCACCACCAGCACAUCAGUACGGCGGUAGUGCGGCCCCGCUUCCGUUCCUCCAUGGCCGACCCCCUACCUCCCACCUUCUCCCUCCCGCCCCGAUCGACAACCUCCAUCACCGCCCCGGUCGUGUUGCCCCUCCCGACCCCGCGCCGCCGGAUCCGGGCAACCACGCCGGCGUGCCCUUCCACAAGCUUUCCCGUCGUGACCCUACCACGAGCUGCUCCAGCCCGACCCUGCUUCUUUAACAACGGCACGGUGGCAACUCCCCUUAGUUCACUCCUGCACCGGGGUCGCGAGCUCCGUUCACGGGCUCGCUGGAUCUCGUGAUUGGGGCGCUGGCGACGUGCUCUCCUACUCCACCGCGCCCCUCCUCUACUUCAGCUCCUAUGCCUGUGCCUCUCGUGGACUCAUCGGCGCACAGGCCGCUCUGGAUCCACGCUGGUUCGAGGCCCUGACGGCCUCCUCUUCCUGCUAAGUCACCGAGAUCCAUCGGGGUAUCAAGUUGUUUUGUCGGCCCAAUACUCCUUCUACCUUCCCUUGCCGGCGGUCGUGCAACUUCGGUGAACACCGCUACUCGCGCGCGGAUGACGACGGCGCAGUGGCACUGCAGUUCGCUUUGCAGGGGAUCCGUUGAUGCGGCCGUGGAGUUCGGCCCACAGGUGCAUGAAGUUAUCUUGCCCCCUCCCACAGUUUACCCUUCCGCAUGAGCCCCAUGCCAUAGUCCAUUGGGAAGAAGCUCGUGGUGCGGAUGUGCGGAUGCUCAGUGACAGUGCUGGUGUGUUUCAGAUUUUGUUUUUCUGCAAUUUGUAGGCGACGCUGGAGCAUUGCAGUUCAUUGGCUCGGGGCGAGCAGUGGAGAGGACACACGUGCGUGCAGUUCCCUGUCCAUUGAAAAUGUAGAAGCCCAUCUUGCUGCAAUGUAUGUGAGCAUAUGGCCUGCAAGUGAUGCUCUUUUCCCAGAUUGAAAACAUUGCAAUGUGGUUGGCUGGCCAUCGACGUGCACUUCGCUUUGGGGGGCAGUACGUUCUUUGUGGACGCGCACUUCGUUCGGCCCGAGCGGCAUGAAGCUCCGUUUGCGCGCAUGUGUGGCUUGGCUAACUAGUUUGUGCAGUCGCAUGAUACCUUUAUUAUGUGAUGCCUCCCUAGUUGCUGGAGUUCACUUCUUUGUAUUUAUUGAAACAUCAUGUAGUGCACUGUGAAACUCUCUGUUGUUCACUUGUAAAAACAAAUAGCGGUUCCCUUUGUAAAAAAAAGUGCAGCCCCUUAGUGGUUCACCUUGUAGAAAAUGAGAAAGAAAUCCCCAUGGGAGGUUCACUUCUUUUUCUAAUGCAAUUUGUUUUGUUUGUGGGAUGAUUGAAAAAAGAAGUUCACUCCACUUGUUUAGCAGCUCAUACCCCUUUGUAUGAAAUGCAAUUUGUUUCGUGUGUCUCAAAAUCAGUCGACUACCUCAACACGUGCAAUGCGUUUGGUUUUUGGAUGUGGUUCAUUUUUUAGAGUGAUGUUGUUCACUUGUGCCGAACAUGAAAGCGCAAAAAAAAUUAGCAAAACAAUAAAAAUAGUAAUGCGGUUCACUACGAUAUAUGAUGUGGUUCACUUGCUCGCGUCUCUGCGGUCCACUCUUGUUCAUAAAAAUUGAAAAAAACAUCAAAAACUCGUCCGAGAAAAAUUUACAUCCGACAAAGGAAACCAUGAAGUUCACUUGCCUGCCUGAUGCAGUGCGGUUUCGUUCGAUGCAGUGCGGUUUUCUGUCGAAUGACGUUCACUCACCGAUUUGGGUGUCGCAAAAAAUAGUAUCUGCAUUUUCGUAAUUUUAAAAUUGCUUUUAAACCGUAAGGAAUUAGAGAGAGUGUUCUACAUGAAAAAGUUGCGUCUCGUCGAUAUUUUUCCAAUGCCAUAUCAUUUGAAUCAUUUUGACAAGCAGUUUGUAAAAAUUUCACAAAAAACGACCGCUGCCAGUCAUCGUCCGCCACACCAUUCUAAAAAUUAACUUAAAACCGUAGUGAAUCUCGAAACCAAUUCUACAUAUAAAAGUUGCGCCUUGUCCAUAGCUUUCCAACGACGUAUUACACGCCUCAUUUCGAUAAACGGUUCAAAAACUAGAGUGAAAACAGUAUCGAAAGUUGCAAAAAUUUCAAAAAAUGUAAUUUCGCGAUUUAGUAAAUUUGAAACUGCUCUUAAACCGAAAUGAAUUAGAGAAAAUAAUAGAUAUGGAAAAGAUGCGCCUCAAUGAUAUCUUUCCAACGGCGUCUCAUUUGCUUUAUUCUGAUGAGCGGUUUUGAAAAAAUCAAGAAAAUACGCUCGCUGCCACUCGUCAUCCGCAGCACCGUUUUUGAAACUGCUCUUAAACCGCGAGGAUCUCGAAAAGUGUUCAACAUGGCAAAGUUGCGCCUAAUCCAUAGCUUCUCCACGGUAUAUUACACGCGUCAUUCCGAUAAAUGGUUAAAAAAUUAGAGCGAAAAAACUACCAAAAAUACACAGCGUGUAGUUUUUUCGACACGAAGUUCACUCGCCUGAGUACUGCAGCACACUUGGUUCAAACAAUGACGUGCAGUUGCGUUGAGCGUGCACUUCGGAAGUGUUAUCAGAAUAACUAUUCUGUUAAUAUUAGCAUAAUAGACCGACUGUAUAUUAUUCUGUUACGCGUAACAGGAUAUUAUUCUGUUACCCUAUGGUGAAUUCAAGCAGUUGAACUGAUGCUUUCUGUUCCUAUUAAAAAUCGUCUUCUUUAGUUCAAAAGUUUUUGCAAUUUUUUUAUCAAAACAGGGCGUGUAAUAUAUCGCUGGAAAGCUCUUGACAUCUACAUUACAAUCUUGUAAUUUGUUUUUGCAAAAAAUUAUGAUUUACGAGCAGUUUUGAAAAACCCGUUUUUUUUCAAGCCGAAAACGCGAAUCGUAUUUUGGACUUAAUUUUCAAACGGUUUGUCGGAAUUGAGCAAAUGAGAUGGCAUUGGAAAGCUUGUGAAAAUCCGCAUCUUCUAUAUUUCUACUAUUUUUUCAAAUUCUAUAUGAUUUAAAAGUAAUUUGAAAAACGGUGAAAUUCUGGGCGAAAUGUUUUUUCACUAUUUUUUUGCAAACGGUUUGUAGGAUUGACACAAAUGAUAUGGUGUUGGAAAGCUAUGGAAAAUGCGCAAAUUUUGCAUAUAGAAAGUUUUUUCUAAUUCCUUACGAUUUAAAUACGAAUUCAAAUACAGUUAAAAUUGAUUUUGAACGUGUUUUUUAAAAAGUUUGUCGAAAUGGAGAAAAUAAUAUACCAUUGGAUAGCUAUCGAAAAUGCAAAACUUAGUCAUGUUGGACGUUUUCUCUACUUCACAACCAUUUAAGAGUAAUCUUCAAUACGGCAUGACGGAUCCUGCUGUUUUCUCGUCUGAAAAACAGAUUAGUCGUACUGAUAUAUGUGUAUGUUUGUACUGAGCUAUUUUUUGUAGAGUAAUUUUAAGUGGUUCCGAAAAAAUGUUCUUAUACUGAUGCUUGCGUGGUUUUGUACUAAACGUGUUUUCACUAACUAGACUUUGCUCUGUUUUUUCAUGAGACCCAUCAUGCUGUUUUUUCGUGAGAAAAAACAGAGUACUUGUACUGAUCUACAUGUGUGUUUGUACUGAUGUAUUCUUCGAAGAGUAAUUUUGAAAGGUUCCGAAAAAGGAGUACUUGAACUAAUGUCCGUAUGGGGUUGUACUGAGCGUUUUUUCACAGACUAGACUUUACUCUAUUCUUUUUACCGAAAAUUGUUUCAUCAAUUGUUCGCAAAUGAUAGUACGAACUAAGAUAUGUGUUGGUUUGUACUGAGCAUUUGUUUCAUCAUUUGUUCGCAAUUGAUAGUACGAAUGGAGCUUUGUUCAUUUUUAUACUGAGCAUUCUUGUCAGUGCCAGGAUCUCCGGAUUUAUGUUGUUUUGUUCUGCGAACUUCCUCAAAAUUUUAUUGGUAAAUCACACCAUUUUUUUCUUUUGCUAAAUUUUUGUCCUCUGAACUUGUGACGGAUGGAGUUUGUACUGAUAUGAAUCAUUUUGCCGAACCGCCACAAUUUUUUGUGUAUUGAAUCACUAUAUAACUUAGAACCAAAUUGUUUUUCUUAACAUAUAUUUGAAUUGUUUCUAUAUGUACAUUGAAUUGGGGAAGAGUAGCAAAAGUUAUACAUACUUUAUGGAUAGUAAUACAUGAAUUUCUUGGUAAACUGAAGAAUGUACUCUGGACCGUAAUACAUGUCCUCUCGAGUUUGUACUGAUGUGAAUCCUUUUGAACUUGCUCUCGACGGUAAUACAUGCCCUCUCGAGUUUGUAAUGAUGUGAAUCCAUUCGAACUUAUGUGGCUUACAUCAUUGAACGGACUCUAUUCUUCUCACUACCACCAUUGUUCUGUCCAUUUCUUUUCGGACUUGCAUGGCUUACAUCGUUGAACGGGCUUAGGUGGAUAUGUACUAAUGAACUACUGUGAUUUGUAGCUCUCAGGAAAUGGAAUCCUUUCUUUCCCUGUUAUUCUGAAUACCAAACAGCAAAAAAUGAGUUCUCAUAAGCACGAAAAAAUAUAUAUGUACCCCUAAAUUUUGCAGCUAUUUUGUCCUCUUUCAUUUUGAAAAAACAUACAAAAAGCAAAAGCACAAACUAUACAAAAGGUUUUAGACACCAAACCAGUAGAGAAUUAAAAAUAAGCAUCAGGCAGCAACUUGCUAAAGAUAGCACGAGUCAUAUACAUACGCAUUUCAUCCCAUUAUACUUCUCCACCCGCAUGGAAAGUGAGAGAACCUCCCUACAUGCAUAUACAGGCAUCAAACUCCCUCUGUACCUAAACUAUAUUUUUGUUUGAUAUAUAUUGUGAACUCCUCUUGUCGAUGUACAUGAACCUGCUGUGCAGAGAGAUGAAAUGUAGUACAUCAGUCUAGCUUCAUUCAGCUAGAGAGAAACAUGAAAAAAUGUUCAGUUUUUUGGACGGCUUUCCUCUUUUUCUUUGUCCAAUUCCGCGCCACGACUGCCACCAUCCUGCAUGCAAGCUUAAAAUUAAUUGAAGCCACCAAACAUGCACUUUCAUGAGACUUUGCUACUAUAAGUCAGCGAACAUAUCUUUAGUAUUAAACCAAAGGCACACUUAUUAACCAGCACUCUUGUUCAGUUCAGAGCAUCAUCAAUAAGAUAAAGAUACGGAAACAUUAAGCCAAUAUAGAACAACUGGAUUGAUUUGACUCAAAUUUUUACUUUCAAUGCAUUGUAGGCAACAGCCGAUCCAAGUCAGAACUGAUGUGAUUUAUUCCAUUGAACUGAUAUGAAAGUUUAUCUAUACUGUUCUGUUUUUUAACACACACGUUUUGAACUAUUCCCGCUUUUUUCAUUAUGAAUUGAUGACAUAAGACAUGUUGAACUGUUACACAAGAGCAAAAUUCAGAAAUACAUAACAAUGGUGUACUCAAAAUAUGUGCAUUUUAAGGAACAAAACUUUCUGAACCUUCUAUACGAAAAACUUCAACUAUCAGUCCAAAGAGAUUUGAAGUUAAACAAUCAUUUCCCUUACCGAGUGUUAAGGAAAACGAAACCAGAGAUGACCUCGCCGACAGUAGGAGUAGCGAUGGCUGCCAAGGCGACGCGUUGGUACAUGUACUAAACAUCUGCUCAAACCUGUUGUAACAUCUACUUCAAGCUUUUUCUAAAUCAUUGUUGGGAGUAGAGGGUUUUAAAAGAAAAUACAGAGUGCCAAAGAAAGAAAGGAACAACCUAUUUAUCUAAAGGACUGUGAUAUUUGGCACACGUGUGCCAUAUAAGCAAAACUGCCACACCUCUAUUUCUUUCAUUUUAAAGUACCAUACGAUCCCUCGUUCUUUGACCCCGCCUCUUCCCAAAUUACCCCGCAGGCUCGCCUGAGAAACCUGCUUCUCCCGCACAUCUCGGGCGCUUACCCCCGAGAAAACUGCCACUUCUUCACGUCUACCACAUGAUUUCUCCUUAGGACAAAGUUACCAUGAUAUUCAUAUGAAAGUUAUCAGGCCUGUGUUGCAUAACUUACCAUACUAUUUACAUAGAACGUAUCAGGUACUAUGCUUCAACAACUACACCCUUUCAAAGUUACCACUGUGUUUUGUACACAAGUUAUAAGGUCUUUGAUGUGUAAAAUACCGUGGUACUUACACAUAAGUUAUCAGGGUAUAUGUACAUCAACCUCCCCCCGGUCAAAGUUACCAUGGGGGAUUGUACAUGAGUUACCGGGUCUACGGUUCGUAUAUUAUCAUGGUACUAGCACCUAAAAACAUGGGUGUGUUUCGGUAGCUUUUCACAUAGGUCAAAAAUUACCAUGAUGUUUUUGCGUAACUUAUCACGCCUAUAGCACGUGUGCCCCUCGUGACACUAAACAUUAUGUGACUUUCCCGUGGCAUGCCAUGUGUUGUGUUCAUCCAAGAGGCCCACGCGCGAGGCAAGUGUAUGUUUUUAACAACUUAUAUAUUUUCCUUUGGUAAAAAAGUUAUCAUCAUGUUUAUAUUGCAAGUUAUCGGUUAUGCGGUGCUUAUAUUAUCAUGUUAUUUACACAAAAAUUAUUGGGGAUGUUUUGAACAACUUUUUCCCGAGGCAAAAAGUUAUCAUGGUGAUUCUAGGUAACCUAUCAAGCCCGUAGUGCUUAAAAUAUCAUGCUAUUUACAUAAAAUUUAUCAGGGAUAUGCUUCAGCAACAAAUUCCACCCCCCAUGGGUCAAAAAUCUAUCAUGGUGUUUAGUUAUCGCAGUGCAUAUGUUUUCAUACUAUUUACACAUAAAAAUGCCAGGGGAGGGAGGUAUACUACCGUGCUAUUUACAAAGAAGUUACCGGAGUAUCUUAAAAAAAUUGCCUACGGUCAAAGUUACCAUGGUGCUUCUACCUCAGUUAUCAGAUGUGCGCUGUGUAUAUUACCAUCUAUUUACACAUAAACUAUCAGGUAUCUUUUCACAUUUGUUUUCCCCAAUGGUUAAAGUUACCACGAUGUUUGUAUCUAAAUUAUCAGGUCUAUGGCGUGAAUGUUAUCGUACUAUUUACAGAAAUUACCGGAGGGCGGGUUCAACAAAUUUAUUCCCAAUGAUCAAAGUUACCACGAUGCUUGAAACAAAAAGUUGCUAACGUAUUAAAGGCAAAAACAUGUCAAAAACAGUAUUACCCUUAGAAUGUUCAACAAUGAGUAUCAUAGGUGAGGUGGUUAGCUCCCUUUGUUAAUUACCUGCAGACCAGAGAUCAAAUCCUAGUAUAAGCAUUAUUUUUGCUGAAAAUCGAGAAGGCAUGUGGGGCCAUAAAUGACGAUUACAAAAAUUAGAAAGGCACAAGCGGGAGAGAAUUGAUGACAUUUGAUGCGUGUGGCAGUUUCACAAUCUGCCACACGGUUGCCAUAUACAUAUUUCGUUAUCUAAAUAGUGUGUGGAAUUGUUUACACAGAUGAACAAAACAUUACUUGAAGUAGAGGUUCUGCCAAAAGAAAGAAAGAGCAUCUUGCAGGUUCAAGUUUGAGUAGUUGAGCCAGACAAUUUAUCGUAGGCGUUGUAUGUAAUAAUAAUUUAAUUAUUUUCAUAGGAGUACGACUCAUAGUAUCGGCAUGGAGGUCGUGAACAAAAGCAGAAGUAUCCUUAAUUUUUUAUUAGUGAUUGUAAUUUUCCUUAUAAAGAACAUACUACUCUCGUGUAAACCCAUCCCUCUACAUAUGUACUGUCAGUUUUUUGCAAAUCGAACAAAUUGCGUAUGUAGCAAGUGCUAGUAUCUUGAAAUGCAGUUAUGCGUAUGCCCCUAAGAGUAGGUGAAUAGAAAACUCGAACCAAAAAUGGCUUUCUCCUAAUAGUAAUCGUGCUAGAACUCAUUCAAAGCUGAAGUGAACUAUAAUUAUAACCAGCCUUUGUCAAUAGAAGUCCUACUGAUCACAAAUUCCUCUAAUUUCCUCCAGACUCAAGAUCAAGAUGGUGGACAGUGCACGGAUAUUACAAAAUUAACAAUUCACAAUACGAAUUAAAUAUCACAAAUUGCAAGGUACAAGUUUUGAGCACAUACAAUCUUUCAUUGGUAGGCAACACUACAACUUUGGAGGUCAACACAUUAGGCAAACUCUUUGGAAUUAAGAUAGUGAAAAGUAAAUGUAUGCGAAAGCAAGCUUCAGUUCAGUAAACCAUCAAGCCCAGAUUGCUGCACUCCGAAUUUCCUUUAGACUUGUACGCUACCUUCAGGUCAGCAAGCUUUAUGUUCAGCAAGUGUGUAACAAAACAAGAAUUGAACUGGAAUAGAAUUUGAAAUUUGAACUGAAAUACAAUACGAAAACUAAACUGAGUGUACUUUCAGAUUUUCACAUGGGCAUCAGUGCAUGAAGCACCAAUGAAAUUGAACUGAAACAAACUUCAGUUCAACAAACUUAUAUGAAGUUAUAUGAAGCAUGCUUGAAUGCGUUGACCCGAAGCAUGCUUGUAGGAGAGUAGUGGCACUGGAAGCGAGCCUUUUGCUGAACUUAUAUGAAGUUAUAUGAACUUGUCUAACUUAUAUGGAACUUAUAUGAAGCCUUUUGCUGAACUUAUAUGAAGUUGACCAGACAAGAUGAUACCGAGGCGCAUCAGAAUAUAGGAGAGUGGUGAUGCAAGUCAGUCACCGGCUGGGUAAUGAAGCGGGUGGUAUGCGGCAUGGAGACAACCAGAAAACGGGACAUCCAGGGGUAGGGAGCAUCGUCGCUGAAGAUCAGAGAGUGUGGAGCGCAGGCGUGCAGUGUCCCCCGGCCGGCACCGGAGACGAAGGAGAUCGGGGAUAGUGCACUUUUUUCGUCAGCCUACAAGAUGCUCAAGGACCAGGACAACAUGUAGUUUCAGAAUUACAGAUUGUGGUCAGCUAUAGGAUGUUUCUGGGACCAUGUUUUAGCUACGAGAGAGCAACAACAUCACAUCAUGAGAGAGAGGAUGCAACAUCAAAAAUUCAGGAGAAAGAUCAGAGCAGAGCAGAAGUAAAUAUGUUUUGAGGAGAUGAACUGACCAGGAUUUAAAUGAACUCUCACUAGCAGUAAUUUUUGUACUUCGCAUGUAGUACUACAUGGACUUGCUGUAAAAUACAUUGACCAUGUAGUAAUUUUGAAGUUAAUUAUCACUACUGCAGAACCGGGCAAUAGCACCGGUUCGUAAGGCCCUUUGUGCCGGUUUCGGAAUCGGCACUAACAUUUCGGCACUAAAGCCCCCCCCCCCUUUAGCACCGGUUCAGCAUGAACCGGUGCUAAAGGGCAACCACGUGGCACGAGCCAGCUCCGGGGGCCGAGAGCCCUUUAGUACCGGUUGGUAACACCAAUCGGUACUAAAAUGUUUGGGGGGGUUUUGGUUUUAUGAUUUCUUUUUCAUUUAAUUUUGUGUUUUCCAUUUUAAUUCUUUUUCGUUUGCUGGUAUUUUACGGUACUACACAUUGUACACGUUAUGCAUAUAUAUAUAUAUAGAAUUUCUAGUAGAACCAAUCAUAUAUAUAUCAUCAAUGUCUCACAAACCACCAUAUUAAUUUACACAUACACACAUGUAUAGCUAUAUACAAUUUCUCCUACAUAUGCAUGUUGCCUUCGGAGCCAGUUGCAUUAGCCUAAUUGGUGCCUUCGGAGCACGAUGACAAUUGGAAGUGGUUCAUGACCUGUUCGAUGGGGGCGGUAGCGGGUAAUAGUAUUCUCCCUUCGGAUUUAUGACCUGGUCGAGCAAAAAUCCCGCUAUUUCCUCUUGAAGUGCUUCUACGCGCUCCAUUUCUAGGAGCUUGUCCCGCACCUCUUUGAACUGUUAAGAAGGAGAUCGAUAUGCAUGUGUAUUAGUUGUGUGACUAGAUAUCGAUAAUGGUGUAAAAAUUAUGAAUAGUGUUCUAACAAGAGUACCCAUUCCUGUCUUUGAGAUCUGCUCCUUUCGGAUGCCAUCAUGCGAAUGUUCUCGCAAAUGCAGAAUGCACACAGAUUAGUCCCCUACGCCUGCUUCAGGGCCUUUAUUACGAGAAUGGAAUUUAAUUUGAUCAGAUAAUAAUUAAUCAAGCAUGAUAAUUAAUGAGAUGGCAACUAGCUAGCUAGGUAGUACUACUUAAUUUGAUCGAAUACUACAGAAGAAUCUAGGACACUCGCGGUUCCUAUGGCGCGGGCGGUGGACACCCAAAGAGAAGGAACCCUCACAGGAUCAUAGCUGAAGUGAGAUCCCUGAAGAAACUGCCAGGUAUUGGAGAACCUGACGCCCUCUAACGCAACCAUGUAGCGAUGGACGUGCUCGUCCUCCUCCCUGACACGACAACGUACCACCUCCGGCAGGGCUGGUUCCCUCCGCACCGAAACUGGCCCACGCGAACGCAACCAAACGAGAUCAGGGUCGACGACGGGACCCGGGGCCGGGUUCCUCAUCAAGCGGCGCGCCCCUCCAAGCAGCACCUCCCAGUGCCAGCCCGGCGGAGCCCAGUCCCGGACAUGGGUCAGCUGGACGUCGUCGCGGACGUAUCGACGGCGAGGAUGCGGGCCGGGCAUCGUCGACAACAAAUACUAGCUAUAUGCCCGCAAAAAGUAACAUUUUUUUAAUGAUUGGAUUUUGAUAACUAAAAUUUCUAACAUUCUAUAACAUUUCUAACAAUGCUAUAUAUAACUAACAUUUCUAUAACAUUUCUAAUAUUUCUAUAACUAAAAAAAGAAAAAUUUCUAACUUUUUUAUAACUAUUUCUAUAACUAAAAAACAGAAAAAAUUCUAACAAUUCUAACUUUUUUAUAACUAUUUCUAUAACUAAAAAACAGAAAAAUUUCUAAUAAUUCUAACUUUUUUAUAACUAUUUCUAUAACUGAAAAACAGAAAAAAUUCUAACAAUUCUGACAAUUCUAACAAUUCUAACAUUUCUAACAUUUCUAACUAUUGUAACAAUUCUAACAUUUCUAACUAUUUCUAAAAAACAGAAAAAUGUCUAACUAUUUCUGAAAAACAGAAAAAUCUAUAACUAAAAAUGUAUGUGUGUGUGUGCGNNNNNNNNNNNNNNNNNNNNNNNNNNNNNNNNNNNNNNNNNNNNNNNNNNNNNNNNNNNNNNNNNNNNNNNNNNNNNNNNNNNNNNNNNNNNNNNNNNNNNNNNNNNNNNNNNNNNNNNNNNNNNNNNNNNNNNNNNNNNNNNNNNNNNNNNNNNNNNNNNNNNNNNNNNNNNNNNNNNNNNNNNNNNNNNNNNNNNNNNNNNNNNNNNNNNNNNNNNNNNNNNNNNNNNNNNNNNNNNNNNNNNNNNNNNNNNNNNNNNNNNNNNNNNNNNNNNNNNNNNNNNNNNNNNNNNNNNNNNNNNNNNNNNNNNNNNNNNNNNNNNNNNNNNNNNNNNNNNNNNNNNNNNNNNNNNNNNNNNNNNNNNNNNNNNNNNNNNNNNNNNNNNNNNNNNNNNNNNNNNNNNNNNNNNNNNNNNNNNNNNNNNNNNNNNNNNNNNNNNNNNNNNNNNNNNNNNNNNNNNNNNNNNNNNNNNNNNNNNNNNNNNNNNNNNNNNNNNNNNNNNNNNNNNNNNNNNNNNNNNNNNNNNNNNNNNNNNNNCGAGAGGCGACGGGGGGCGCGCGGCGACGGGGACGGCGACGGGCGCGGCGACGACGGGAACGGGGACGUACGGGCCGGGGCGGCGAUGACGACGGGGACGGUGACGACGCGGCCGGGACGGGGCGGCGGUGACGACGGGGACGGGACGACGGAGCGGCGACGACGGGGACGGGGCGGCGACGGGGGCGGCGACGGGCCGGGGCGGCGACGAGGGAUAUGGAGACGGCAGGGGCGGCGUGCGAUGGUGCAGAGGAGAAGAAGCAGACGGAGAGAUGAGAAACUGACGAAAUUUUGAAGUGUUUUCUUAUAUAGAACCCACCUUUAGUACCGGUUGGAGCCACCAACCGCUACUAAAGGUCUGUUUUGGCUAGCCCAAGCGGCGGGAAGCGACCCCCUUUAGUACCGGUUGGUGGCUCCAACCGGUACUAAAGGCCCCCCCUUUAGUACCGGUUGGUUCCACGACCCGGUACUAAAGGGUGUGCACUGCCAGGCGAGGGGCACAAAAGUUUAGUCCCACCUCGCUAGCCGAGGGGCACUCGCACCUGCUUAUAAGUCCCGCCGUCGCUGCUGUCUCGAGCUCCUCUCUUAAGCAGGCCUACUGGGCCUACCUCUUCUGCGAUGCCCUGUUGGGCCUACUGGGCUAGCGGGCCUGCAUCCUGGUCCAACUUGAAUUUGGGUUUCUAGUCGUAUGCAGGCCGCUGUGGCCCAGUAGGUGGGCUUUCUUUUCUUAUUUUUUUGCUUUAUUUAUUUUUGUGAAUAACUUAACUUUGAAAAUAUAUUUUUCAGUGAUUCUUUUUUCUUAUGUUUAAUAUUAGUGUGUUUUAUCAUUAUAUUCAAUUUGGUAAUGCUUAGGUUAUUUAAAAAAUGAAAUGCCUUUGUAACGGAUGAGUUUUCGUCCGAAACCCUGAUACUUCGAAACAGAUUGUCCAUUUUGUACACGAAGUGCAUCCAGUUUUUGCGGUAACCCUCUCUACUUUUUUGCACAUGCUAUGUGGGUGAAAUUAUGAUACCAUGCCAACUUUCAUCCUUUUCUGAGUUCAUUUGAAAUGCUUUUCAAUUUCAGGGUCAUUUAGCUGAAAAAAUCAGUAAAUGCAUGAAAGAAUUUGCUUGCACAUAAAAGUUCUUCACGUUUCAAAUGCCAAAACACAUAACUAGCUACCCUAACUAUUACAGAGAUUGCCUCCUGGGUGUGAAACACAGAAGAAAGUGAUGAUAGUUAAGCCGAUCACAUCCCAGAUCUUUGGGUGUGAAACUUUUUCUUCGCGUGUGUCCUUUUGCAUCGUAGCCAUGGAAAAUCUUCAUCAUUUAACGGGAUGCUCGGGUCAAUAUUCACUGUGAAUGGAGCAAUCUCAUCAAACUUUUCAUAAUCUUCUGACUUGUCUGUCUUGUCAUCCACUCCCACGAUGUUUCUCUUCCCAUAAAGAACUAUGUGCCUCUUUGGCUCAUCGUACGAUGCAUUCGCUUCCUUAUCUUUUCUUUUUCUUGGCUUGAUAGACAUGUCCUUCACAUAGAAAACUUGUGCCACAUCAUUGGCUAGGACGAAUGGUUCGUCUGCAUACGCAAGAUUGUUGAGAUCCACUGUUGUCAUUCCGUACUGCGGGUCUUCCGUUACCCCGCCUCGUGUCAUAUUGACCCAUUUGCACCGAAACAAAGGGACCUUCAAACCACGUCGAUAGUCAAGUUCCCAUAUGUCCUGUAUAUAACCAUAAUAUGUUUCCUUUCCCGUCUUGGUUUCUGCAUCAAAGCGGACACCACUGUUUUGGUUGGUGCUCUUCUUAUCUUGGGCGGUCGUGUAAAAUGUAUUCAUUUAUCUCGUACCCUUUGAAAGUCAUUAUAUUCGAAGAUGGUAACUGGGACAGCAAGUACAGGUCAUCUUCAAUAGAGGUGUCAUGCAUGGUACGUGCUUGCAACCAGCUGGCGAAACUCCUGGUUUGUUCACGUGUAAUCCAGUCAUCAGACCGCUUCGGGUGUUUGGAGCAUAGCAAAUUCUUGUGUUCAUCCAUAUACGGAGCCACCAAGGCGGAAUUCUGUAGAACUGUGUAGUGUGCUUCAGUGAGAGAAUGUCCGUCCAUACAUAUUAUUUGUUCCCCUCCUAGCGUGCCUUUUCCAUCUAGUCUGCCCUUAUGCCGCGAUUCAGGAACACCAAUCGGCUUAAGGUCAGGAAUAAAGUCAAUACAAAACUCAAUGACCUCCUCAUUUUGACGGCCCUUAGAGAUGCUUCCUUCUGGCCUAGCACGGUUAUGAACAUAUUUCUUUAAGACUCCCAUGAACCUCUCAAAGGGGAACAUAUUGUGUAUAAAUACAGGACCCAAAACGUUAAUCUCUUCGCAUAGGUGAACUAGGACGUGCGUCAUGAUGUUGAAGAAGGAUGGUGAGAACACCAACUCGAAACUGACAAGACAUUGCACCAAAUCAUUCUGUAACCUUGGUAUGAUUUCUGGAUCGAUUACCUUCUGAGAGAUUGCAUUGAGAAAUGCACAUAGCUUCACAAUGGCUAAUCGAACAUUUUCCGGUAGAAGCCCCCUCAAUGCAACCGGAAGCAGUUGCGUCAUAAUCACGUGGCAAUCAUGAGACUUUAGGUUCUGGAACUUUUUCUCUGCCAUGUUUAUUAUUCCCUUUAUAUUUGACGAGAAGCCAGACGGUACCUUAAUACUAAACCCGGGCAUGGGCAGCCCGGCCCAACGACCCGGCCCGAGCCCGGCCCGAAAAACUCGGGCCGGGCCGGGCCGGGCUUGACAUUCGGGCCGGGCUCGGGCUUUGUUUUUCAGCCCGAAAGAUAGUUCGGGCCGGGCUCGGGCUUUAAUUUUUCCGUAUUUCGGGCCGGGCUUUCGGGCUUCGGGCCGGGCUUGCACGUGCGCGUACUAAAAAACAACAUUCGGGCCGGGCUUUCGGGCUUCGGGCUUGAUUUCGGGCCGGGCUCGGGCUUGAAAAUGUGGAGUAUUUCGGGCUUCGGGCCGGGCUUGGGCUUGAGAAAUGAAGGUCGGGCUUUUACAAGCUCGGCCCGAAACCCGGCCCGGCCCGACGUUUGCCCAGGUUUACUUAAUACUGAGCAGGCAUUCAAAGAAGAUUUCCUUCUCUUCUUUGGUAAGAGCGUAGCUUGCAUGACCCUGAUGUAUGCCGUCUUUUUCGUGCAUACGUUGCUGGUCCUCCCGUGCCUCAGGUGUAUCUUUUGUCUUCCCAUACACGCCCAAGAAGCCAAGCAGGGUCACACAAAGAUUCUUCGUCACGUGCAUCACGUCGAUUGCGGAGCGGACCUCAAGGUCUUUCCAAUAGGGCAGGUCCCAAAAUAUAGAUUUCUUCUUCCACAUGGGUGCGCGUCCGUCAGCGUCAUUCGGAACAGAUUGUCCACCAGGACCCUUUCCAAAGACCACCUUCAAAUCCUUGACCAUAUCAUGUACAUCAGCACCAGUACGAUGGCGAGGCUUCGUCUGGUGAUCCGCCUCACCUUUGAAAUGCUUGCCUUUCUUUCUUACGGGAUGCCUGCUCGGAAGAAAUCGACGAUGUCCCAGGUACACAUUCUUAUUAGCCAAAUAUAUACUGUCGGUAUCGUCCAAACAGUGCGUGCAUGCACGGUAUCCCUUGUUUGUCUGUCCUGAAAGGUUACUGGGAGCAGGCCAAUCAUUGAUGGUCACGAACAGCAACGCCUUUAGGUCAAAUUCUUCCCCCAUGUGCUCAUCCCACGCACGUACACCUGUUCCAUUCUACAGUUGUAAGAGUUCUUCAACUAAUGGCCUUAGGUACACAUCAAUGUCGUUGCCGGGUUGCUUAGGGCCUUGGAUGAGCACUGACAUCAUAAUGAACUUUCGCUUCAUGCACAACCAAGGAGGAAGGUUAUACAAACAUAGAGUCACAGGCCAGGUGCUAUGGUUGCUGCUCUGCUCCCCAAAAGUAUUAAUGCCAUCUGCGCUUAGACCAAACCAUACGCUCCUUGCAUCAUCUGCAAACUCCUUCCCGUACUUUCUUUCGAUUUUUCUCCACUGUGACCCGUCAGCGGGUACUCUCAACUUUCCGUCUUUCUUACGGUCUUCUCUGUGCCAUCGCAUCGCCUUGGCAUGCUCUUUGUUUUGGAACGAACGUUUCAACCGUGGUAUUAUAGGAGCAUACCACAUCACCUUGGCAGGAAUCUUCUUCCUGGGGCGCCGGCCCUCGACAUCACCAGGGUCAUCGCGGCUGAUCUUAUAGCGCAAUGCACCACAUACCGGGCAAGCGUUCAAAUCCUCGUACUCACCGCGGUAGAGGAUGCAAUCAUUAGGGCAUGCAUGUAUCUUCUGCACCUCUAACCCUAGAGGGCAGACAACCUUCUUUGCUUCGUACGUACUCUCGGGCAAUUCGUUGUCCUUUGGAAGCAUAUCCUUUAUCAUUACCAGCAACUUUCCAAAUCCCUUGUCAGAUACACCAUUCUCUGCCUUCCAUUGCAGCAAUUCCAGUGUGGUGCCCAGCUUUUUCUUGUCACCUACGCAAUUCGGGUACAACAAUUUUUUGUGAUCCUCUAACAUGCGCUGCAACUUCUUCUUCUCCAAAUCACUUGCGCAGUUUCUCUUUGCAUCGGCAAUGGCCCGACCUAGAUCAUCAACGGGCUCAUCUGAUGCCUCUUCUUCAGCUUCUUCCCGCAUUGCCGGCUCAGCUUCUUCCCGCAUUACCGGCUCAGCUUCUUCCCCCAUUGUUGUAUCAUCAUAUUCAGGGAACCCAUGGCCAGGAUAGCUGUCGUCGUCCUCUUCUUAUUCAUUGUCUUCCAUCAUAACCCCUAUUUCUCCGUGCUUGGUCCAAACAUUGUAAUGGGGCAUGAAACCGGACUUAAACAGGUGGACGUGAAUGGUUCUUGACGUAGAGUAAUUGUGACCAUUCUUACAGCGAGCACAUGGACAAGGCAUAAAACCAUCCGCCUGCUUGUUUGCCUCAGCCGCAAGCAGAAAAGUAUGCACGCCCUCAACGAACUGGGGAGAGCAUCGGUCAUCGUACAUCCAUUGCCGGCUCAUCUUCAUUACACAACACCGAAUAGACCAAAUUAAUACAAGUUCAUACAUAAAGUUCAUACAACACUUAAAUGCAACAAACAAAUAACUCUCUAGCUAAAGCAUUUAAAUGCAACAACAAAUACGAUCAAGAUCGCAACUAAGGUAACAAUGGAUCCAACAGCAUAAUGAUACCAAGCCUCACUAUCGAUGGCAUAUUUUCUAAUCUUUCUAAUCUUCAAGCGCAUUUUCUCCAUCUUCAUCUCGUGAUCAUCGACGACAUCGGCAACAUGCAACUCCAAUUCCAUCUUCUCCCCCUCAAUUCUUUCAAUUUUUCUUUCAAGUACUCGUUUUCUCUUUCAACUAAAUUUAACCUCUCGGCAAUAGGGUCGGUUGGAAUUUACGGUUCACAUACCUCCUAGAAAAAAUUUCUAUGUCAACUUGAUGGGCAUAAUUUGUCAUAAACACAAAAUGCAACUAGUUUUAAAAGAGAAUAUACAUACCACACCCGAAUCAUAACAAGGACUAGGGCCGACGGGGACGGAUAUCAAAACCAUAGCACUAUAUGUAUAACAAACAACGUACGGGUAAGAUAAUUAUACGAGUAACUAUAUAUCCAAAUCACACAAACAUCAAUUUUUAUAUAAAAUUUCAUGAACUAGAGGCUCACCACAAGGUGGUGCCGGCGACGGGACGGUGCGGGCGAUCGACGGUGGCUACGAUGGAGAUUUAGAAGGCACUAAGUAAACCACACCUACAUAUGCAAACUAAGUGUUAUUUUUGACCUCAAAUUGCAUAUAAAUCAAAUACUAGCACAUAUAUAUAUAUAUCCUCCCAAAUUACUAAAAUCACAAAUUAAUCACUAUAUAAAGCAUUGCAAGAGCUAAUCUAGCAAUGAGAGAUGAAAGGACAAAGUUGCUAACCUUUGUGAUCAUUUGAAUGGAUGGGGGCCUUCAAAUCUUGACAAAUUUUGGGCAAAAUGUGUGAUGAGCUCGAGAGGAAGAGGGGAAGAACAGAGAGGAGAGGGGAAAGGGGAAUAAUAGAGUGAGCUUGGGUGGACGAAGGGUCUAUGUAGGACGACCUUUAGUACCGGUUCGUGCCAAGAACCGGUACUAAAGGGGCUGGAGGGGCACCUGUCUGACAACAUCCUGCCACCACUCUCAUUAGUACCGGUUCGUUGCACGAAGCAGUGCUAAAGGUUCGCCACGAACCGGUACUAAUGAAAGCGGCCCGGCUAGCCGUUGGAACCGGCACUAAUGUAUACAUUAGUGCUGGCUCAAAUACAAACCGGCACUAAUGUGCUUCACGUUUGACCCUUUUUCUACUAGUGUAUAUGAUCAUCUCAAAGAGCUCAAGUUGUACUGAAAGCUCAAGUUGGACUAAAACUCACUCGAUAACUGAAAAUCCUAGGGCGAGGGGUGGGAUCCAGGGUGCUGCUAGCAAUGAACGGCCUGGGGUGGUGGCGUUGAACGGCCUGGAGUGGUGGCUGUGAACAGCCAGGGUGCUCCGGUGGCAGAGCCCCACCGGAGAUGGUGAUGCAAGCAGGAGGUCGGGAAGCAGUGGUGCCGGUGGUCGGGGUCGUCCAAUGCACAUGGCACACCAGUACAGGAAGUUGAUUCAUCACCCAUCCAUAGUUUUUUUCCUUUUUGGAAUCCAUUGAACUGAAAAAAGCUACAUGUGAGCUGAAAGUAUGAAAAUAACAUAUCUUUGAAAGAAUAAAGAACUAGCUUUAACAUAUCUAUGAAAGAAUACACCUCCGAGGAACUAGCUUUGAACAUAUCUCUGAAAGAAUAGAGAGCAUGCAAAGUUCAAGGAAAGAAUAAGCAAAAUGGCACACUAGUACGCAGUAGUACGAGUCCAGUCAUGUACGUGCUAGUAUUAGGUUUGAAUAGUAGCUAGAAUUGAAGUUCAGGUAACCAUGGCACACACAUCAUACAGUUUCAAUCAUGUAUGCACACACUGUAAUAGUAGCUGCAAUUAAAGUUCAAAUAACCACGGCACCCAUAACAGAACAAGAAUCAGUGUAGCAGCUAGGCAAGCAAGCUUCAUCAGCAUGAAUACACAUCAGCGGCAAGCUAGAACACGCUAGUAGGCUGUAGAAGUCUCCUUGUAAUUUUUCAAACAGAAGUGCUUUAGUUCAGUUCAGUAGUAAGGCAUGGAAAAAGAAAAGCAAUGGAAUAAACUAUAACUGAGCCAAAUAUGUAAUUUCAACAAACUAGACCUCAUUGCUUGACUUCAGUAGUAAUACACGAUCAUCAGUUCAAUAUAAACAUACUGAUGUUAACAUCAUCGUACAUCCAUUGCCGGUUCAUCUGCGUGCAUUAUAUAUAAUUAAGUGUGUCAAAAACCAUUACAGAACAGCAUGAAUAUAGAAGACCAAAUUAAUAGGAGUUCAUCAUCACAUUAAAACCAAAGUACAAUAGUGAUCAAAUGUUAUUACUGAAAAAAUAAAUACAUAAAGUUCAUACAUAUAUAUUUCUCAUUGAAAAACAUAUAUAUAGCUCUCUAGAGCAUCUAAUUAAACCAUACAUUGAAACAAUGCAAAAACAUUUCAAUGCAACAACAAAUGCGAUCAUAAUCGCAACUAAGGUAACAAUUGAUCCAACGGCAUAAUGAUGUCAAGCCUCGGUAUGAAUGGCAUAUUUUCUGAUCUUUCUAAUCUUCAAGCGCAUUGCAUCCAUCUUGAUCUUGUGAUCAUUGACGACAUCCGCAACAUGCAACUCAAAUCCCAUCUUCUCCUCCUUAAUUCUUUUCAAUUUUUUCUUCAGGUAAUUGUUUUCUUCUUCAACUAAAUUUAACCUCUCAACAAUAGGGUCGGUUGGUAUUUCCGGUUCACAUACCUCCUUGAUAAAAACAUCUAUGUCACGUUGGUCGGCAUAAUUUUCAUACACACUAAAUGAACAAAAUAGUUAUAAAAUAUAAUAUAUACCACAUCCGAAUCAUAGACAGGACGAGGGCCGACGGAGGCGGAUACCAAAACCAUCGCACUAUAUAAUAACAAAAAAUAAUAAAAGUAAGAAAAUUAUACAAGUAUCUAUCUAAAUCAUACAAGUAAGAACUUUUUUCUUUUAGAAGAUAAGAACAAGAGGCUCACCACGGUGGUGCCGACGACGAGAUUAGCACGGGCGAUCGACGGCGGUGAGGACGGGGACGGGACAGGAUGGACCGCCAAACCUAGACAAAUCUUAAGGAAAAUGGAGUUUGGACAAGGAGCUUCGAGAGGAGAAAGCUUAAGUAUGUCUCGGGCAUUUCACCGAACACCUCAUGUGCAUAGGAGGUGAGCUAGAGCACCACAAAGCUCUCCCACGGCCGGCCAAAAAAUAGAGCAAUGCACUGCUCUGCUCGCGGGCAGGGGGAUAUAUAGGCCUCUCUUUAGUCCCGAUUUGUGGCUAGAACCGGGACUAAAGGACCCCAUUUGGUCCCAGUUCCAACCACCAACCAGGAUUAAAGUUUGUGGGCCAGGACCGAGGCCCAUUGGUCCUGGUUCGUGUCUGGAAGCGGGACCAAAGGGGUCAGACGAAUCGGGACCAAUGGCCCCCGAGGCCCGGCCGGCGCCCUGGCUUUACGAACCGGGAUUGAUGCACCCAUUAGUCCCGGUUCAUAGGGAAUCCGGGAUUAAUGCCCUUUUUAGACCUGGACCAAAGCCCUAUUUUCUACUAGUGUUGUAGGCCUCGCUCACAUGAAGUAAGAACGGUCGGUGACGAUGCCUCAUAAAGUCCAUGUGGUGCAAUCAUAGUUGGUGGUGCAGGGGAAGAAGUAACCUUCUUUGAUGGGGAUUCCAUCACACGCUUGUUCGUCAUGUAGACGCGUCCUCUUAAUUUCUGUUCAGCUUUACAGGCAAGAUGAAACAAAUGAUCGAUAGAAUAUAGUCUUCAUGCAUUAUUAUGUCUUGUAUAUCAUGUAUAUCAUGCAUUAAUCUAAGCCCAGAUACUGAAUCAAGCGAGAGGGAACUAACGAAAAUAUAAUAGCUCCAAGUAGCUAGAUAUAAGUGAGGUAUGAACAUAGUGUAUGGCAACCAAGAGCAGACAAAAAAAUCCAACACUUAUCACUUAUAUGAACAGAGCAGGCUGAACAGCAAAAGAGAUUGUUCAAAAGAUGCUAGGUGGCCAAAACUUUGCAUCAACUUUUUUUUUAUUCUUUUUUCUGAAUUUUUUUUUUCAACUUUCAGGCCGGCCGCUAGUAGAAGUCACGUACACAAAUAUCUGACCAAAUAGGUAUGAAGGGGUGGCCGGGGCACGUCCGGUGUAGCCCAUCGGCGCUGUCCAGCGGUAAAAGAUCUCAUGCCAUUGCUGAAAUUCACGUCCCCCACCCAGGGCAUUUUGGUCAUUUCGCAUAUGUGCCCUUUUCCGAUUCUCUGCCUCCUCCCCCAAUGAGUACCUCCCUCAUUUUUCUCUCCCUCACAUCUCUCUCGAGAGAGAGCCGCCGCUGCCAGUCAUCCUCCCCGUCCGCCGCCGCCGCCGCCAACCAUCCGCAGCCGCGCCACCAUCCCCUCCCCGUUCCACUCCCAUAACUGAGCCAGCCAUGGCCGGGAAGAAGUGCAAGUCCUCUUCCUUCCUCCCUCACCCCUGAUCUGAAUCCUCUCCCGAAACCCCAGCUAGCUGCAUGCAUCCCAUAUGGCGCCGCCCAGCUCGCAGCCCUCGGCCGCCGAGCCAUCGCGAGGCUCCUCGCGCAAGCGCACGACCUCCUCAAAGGCUGCGCCCGAGGCCGACCUGGAGUUCACCGUCACCAAGGAAAGGUAAGGGGAGGGGAGGGGAUGGAAGGGAUCGAGCGACCAGGUGAGGCAGCGCCCAGAUCCACGGGGCCAUCGACACUUCAUCAUCGACCUCAUCCGCGACCGUCCUCGAGGUCGGCCAUGGUGGUCUGGCCCGGCAACAGCCAUGGAAGGAGACGCCCGAAUCCCUGGCCCUCCAAGUACGCGCCUGCUGCAGGCCAUCUCCGGCGAGCUCAUCCACAGAUCUCCAACUAUGGUGCGUGCGCAUGAUACCUAAACCCCUUGUCUUGUCAGUUUCUUCAUCUCCCUUCCUUGUGAUUCCUUGGUUUGUUUUGUGCGCAGUUGCUCCGAUCUGGAAGAGGUGGUGGAGCUUUUGUUGUUGCUGCUGCAGGUGGACGAGGCACCACCCCCUCUUUCUACUUCUGGACACAACCUGGUGGUGAUUGCUAAUUUCAGUGUUAAAAAAUUCAGUUCAAUUCAGUCAUGUUCUUUUCCUUUUGUGGGGAAAUUCAGUCACAUUCAAUGUUCAACUUUUAGAGUUAACAAACUGUUGUUAUGACCACUGUGGUUUAGAUGUUCAGAAAUUCAGACAAGUGGUAUGAUGAAAUGAGCCACCUUUUAACCCCCUAGUAAACCUACCGUGAACGUUUAGAGAGCCAAUGCAGGGAGGUGUGGACAUUUUACCAUGUUCAUAGGAAGAAAUCAACAUAAAAUACACAGCUUGUAGAUGAUUCGUCAACCACCAUCAAACACGACUUGUAACUUUCUGGACUAAACUGAACCGUGCAAUUGACUCAAAAUAAAACUAAACCGUGCAAUUGACUCAAAAAUAAAUAGUAAAUAUACUUUGGUUGUGUCUGCAGAAUUGCAUUAUGGAAAGAUGUGUGUGAGGUUACCCCAUCGCCACUGGUUCCAACUUUGUCCAUCAUGUCGCUCUGAUGAGAAGACCUCGUCCAUGUUUCAUUAAUAGGGCAGAGUGCUGCUGAAGUAUCUAUGUUGAACAAUUAUAACAGUACCAAGUAAGUUUGCUCCAAUUGCAUUUGAUGCAGAAGGCACAACACCGCCAUCAUGCGUCAGGUUCAGUAGAAGGCACGACACCGCCACGCUCUCCUCCACUACAACGCCACGCACCCGGUAAUUAAACAUGCUUUCUCUUCAUUCAAGUAGUAAGAGNNNNNNNNNNNNNNNNNNNNNNNNNNNNNNNNNNNNNNNNNNNNNNNNNNNNNNNNNNNNNNNNNNNNNNNNNNNNNNNNNNNNNNNNNNNNNNNNNNNNNNNNNNNNNNNNNNNNNNNNNNNNNNNNNNNNNNNNNNNNNNNNNNNNNNNNNNNNNNNNNNNNNNNNNNNNNNNNNNNNNNNNNNNNNNNNNNNNNNNNNNNNNNNNNNNNNNNNNNNNNNNNNNNNNNNNNNNNNNNNNNNNNNNNNNNNNNNNNNNNNNNNNNNNNNNNNNNNNNNNNNNNNNNNNNNNNNNNNNNNNNNNNNNNNNNNNNNNNNNNNNNNNNNNNNNNNNNNNNNNNNNNNNNNNNNNNNNNNNNNNNNNNNNNNNNNNNNNNNNNNNNNNNNNNNNNNNNNNNNNNNNNNNNNNNNNNNNNNNNNNNNNNNNNNNNNNNNNNNNNNNNNNNNNNNNNNNNNNNNNNNNNNNNNNNNNNNNNNNNNNNNNNNNNNNNNNNNNNNNNNNNNNNNNNNNNNNNNNNNNNNNNNNNNNNNNNNNNNNNNNNNNNNNNGUGCCAGCGAACCCAGGCCACACCCAACGCGCUGGGGGGCUGCUAGGGCCGCCGGCGGAAGCAACAGCCAAUCAUAUUCCUCCAUGUAUCAUUUUUUUCUGGUCCACUCAUUCACUUUUUGCCUGGCGACUGUCCUGGGGGCACCAACGGCUGGGAAACCGUCCUCGCGUUUCAUUUGGCGAAGGUGUUUUGCCCCCCAGGACGUGCUAUAUUUGGCCCGGCGAUUGUCCUGGGGGGGGGGGCUCCAACGGCUGGAGAUGCUCUAAUUCAUUGUAUUUGCAUGUUUCCAGCAGCCAUGUAUCAAAAAAAGCUUCAGCUUUGGGUUGUUGAUUUAGCAGAAUCAAUCAUUAAUUGUUCUGCUAUAUAUGUUCUUAACCAUGACAACCUGAUUAGGCUCUUAGUUUAUUAUGGUCUUUGUUCUGGGUGGAUCUCUGACUAUUCUGGGUGGGCUUGAAUCUCUUCUUUGUUUCUUCAUCUCCUCUUAUUCUGAUUCCUGCGUUUGUUUUAUGUGAAGGUUGCUCCGAUGAGGACAAGCUGCUUCUGCAGGUGGAUGGGCCCUCAAGGCUGCUCUGCCUAUUCCUCCUGCUACCCCCACACGUGGUGAGCCCCACCCGUUCUCGAGCUACCCCUGCAAAUCUGAUGUGAUGUGCACAAAAUACUUGCAAUUGUUCUCGACACAAGAGCAUGUCAUGUAUUGUUUUAUUUGAAUGUGCAAUUUCAUUGCUUCUGUGUUGUUUGAUGCUUGCUUCACAAGAGGGAAAUCAUGGAUAUAAACUGCGCUUCCUUUCAAGUUGAAUAGUAAUGAUCACCAUUUGGUUCCAUUUUCUCCUCUGCAUCCAGUGUUCACUCUCUCAUAGAUGUCCAUAUAUACACAGUUCUGAUCUCCUUUUUCUGCGGCUCCAUACAUCGAACACAAAGCCGUCGAUGCAUUGAGGGCUCAAUGUCGUCUCCGUCGGCUGAGCGGCAAGCCGGGGUUGGGCCUGCACACCGUCUAUCAGCACCCUCCCGCGUCUCCAUUCACGGAUCUGCAGGUCAACCCCUCUUCUCCUCCUAUCCACGCAUCUUCUUUUCCAGAGCUAGGUGUAUGGUUGCAUGGCAAUUUGUGUUUUGGGGCUCACCAUGUUCUGCUUGCCCUGGUUGGCCAAUGAGGCUUUCCUUUUCUGGUAAAGGCCAAAUGUACUAUUCUCUAUGCUUUAUAUUUUUGUAGUUCCUUUGUUUCCAUGCUUGUUUUUUGAUGGGGUGUAAAUAUAUGCUUUUUUGUUCCUUGUCUGGAUUCAGGUAGGGCCUAACAUUAUUGUUCCUUUGUGCAUGGAAAUGUUGGUGGUUUUGUUCCUUUGUAUAUGGAAGGGGGCCUUGAUUAGAAUUUCUAACGUUUGAGUUGUAAUUAGUGUUUUUGUUACACAUGAAAACAUAUGGUUGUUUGUCCAAUCACAUAUGAAAAAGAGAUGAUUGUUUGUCCAACAAUUUUCUUUCUCUGUGAUAGUUUUACUAGAAAUAAAGUAUAGUCACUAUUACAUCCUAUUUUAUAUCUUGUUGUGUCGUGAUAUCUGUAUAGACUCUGUCUACGUCCUUUUGAUAUUCCAAGUUUUGUUUUCUAUGGCUCAAUUAGUUACCCCGUAUCAAGAGAAAUUUAACUGGUAUUUGCGGUAGAGUUAGCUGAAUUCAUGAAGCAAUGAUUUAGUUAUUAUUAAAGCUGAAACACAACAUGUUUUGACAAAUGCAUUCUAAGUAAAGCCUCCAACUAACAUAACCAAAAACAUAUUCUUUAGGUUUAUCAUCUAUUGAAGUAUUAUGUAGAAUUUUAAAUCAUACGAGGCAAAGCAAAUGAGCUCUAUGCACUUUCCAUGUAGCACAGAACAAAAAUAAUCAUGUAUAUUUUGGAUGCACCUAGAUAUACUCAUCAGCAAGGCUGAGGUUAUAGGGCACUCACCCACAUUGUCGAUAUCUCCGUCACUAUGAUCACCCACAUGAUGGACAAUUCCCUUCUUUCUUUUCUCUGUGGCUAUUGACACUUAAUGCUAUUACUGUGUGCAUAUAUGUACUGUGAUCCAUUCUCAUUCUUCAUAUCUUGAGAAACUAUCUCAAGAUACUCGCGUUUGUGUUUUGGAGAAAGCCUAUUCUAUGAUUAAUAUAUCGAGUAUGGAUGGCGCGAUAUCACCUCUCUUUAUGAUGAUGUUCUUACAGAAUAUAGGUUUUAUGGUAACACGUCUUAGCCAACACCUAUACUGAUGCUCAGACCAGAUGAUUAUAGUCUCUCCUUGCUAUUUUUCUUGAGGUGUGUACAUCUAUCUAGACAAUUUAAUUAAAAUAUAUAUUCCAUACAAACCAUCAAUACAUGUUAGUUGACUUUGAAACUAAUCAGUAAAAAGGUUGUCCCUUUCGCAUUUUAUGGACAUAAAGAUUUGGUGUUGACUGUCGAUCUUCAGUUAACACAUGACCUUACAACCGUAGGGAGUGGGAAAAAACUUAUAUGUUUGGCACAUUUGAAGAACAUAUCAUAGUAACGAAGUUUUGGUAAACAAUGUCCUAGAUCUCAACCAUAUAGAAAUACUAAAUAUAUGUUUAUUUGUAUAUGGAUUAAUUAUACAGACUUAUAAAACCUUGUGCAGGGCACAUAAAAGAAAUUUGAAAUAACUAUUAUUUCAAUAUUUGCUUUUUCAGUUGAGCAUAAUAGUUUAUAGCCUGAUAGGCUUGGACAUAAUUGUCUACAUGUACUGCUCAGUAGGCGACAUCCUUUGGGAAAUUGAGGAUGUCCUCGUGCAUUUUCUAAAUACAAUUGGGGCAUAUCUGAGGAAUGAAGGGAGGAAUAAACUCGUGGGAGAGUUCGGUGCAGAGGAAGAAGAACAAGAUAUUAUUUAUUUCUUGUGUACAGUCAAGCUUGUGCAUUGUCCCACUGUAAGUUAUUUCAACAAUAGUAGUAACUGUUAUCUCUGGCCAUCUGUUGCGACAUUUUCUUUAACCACCAAUGCAUAUUUAUUUUCUUGUUAAUAACUCUCAUAAUUGCCUGCUACUGUUUCAGUUCUGGGGCCAGGCAACCUUGAAUCCAACGUCCACCUGCAGGCUACAUCUCAGGUAGGAUAAAAAGAUUGCAGUGAACUUGAUGGGUAUAUCAUUAUUGUUGCCUCCUAAUUUGUGUGAUGAGCAAAUGUGUAGAUUGUGUGUAAAUCCGAGAUGCCUAAAACGGUUGGGAACUGAACUUGUUACCUCGGUUCACUUUAAUGGCAUGUUAAACUCGAUGCACUUUCUGGACUGUGACAUUUUUCCUGAAAUUUUGGAAGUGACUGCUAAUGUAGUCUAAAUAGAGUGACUGAGUAGUUACUUUCUCACAAGAGUUGACUUCCCGUUAUUGGAGUACUUGCUAAGAUGGAUUGGUGGUUUUUAUGUUAGAUGAAAAAUAUUACAUCAAUCUUUACGGCUUUUUAUGGGCAAGUGAUUCCGACUCCAUAAUAAGGAAUAAUAUAGCCCUAGUGCUGUGAUAAUGUUAAAACAUUUACCUCUUUUAUCGGUUCAUGUUAUGUAUUUGCUGCGAAAAAAUGGUCUUAUAUCAAAUAAUAGCCUAGAGCUUUUGGAGUGUUAUUACUUGUAUUUGUUGCUUGGAUGUAUAAACCUUCAACAGACUGUCAAUUUUGCUUUUAUAUAAUCUGUUUGUUUAAGUCUGCUGCAUAUUGGUCAAAAGCUCAUGCUAAUUGAUGAUGUUAGGUGAUGAUCUUGUAUCUAACAGUGAUUUCUGAAUGCAUGCUAAAGAAAACUCAUGAACAUCAUGGCGCCUUGUUGAUGGGGUGAUCAAUAGCUACUAUAUUGGGACCCUGCACUUAAAUUGUAGGUCUGAUUUUGUUUCGGAGUUCUCCUGCUACCCACAAGCUCAGAUAGUUCUUUUGUUUGUGCAGGGGAAAUUGCAAAGCAUAUUAUGAAUUGUUACAAGAAACUAUUUCUGCUGUUUUGGUGCAAGGAUGUUGCUUUUUAGUAUGCUUCCCGUAUCUUGGUAUCUUGGAAUAAUAAACAGAUAGAUGUCGUGUACCAAGAUUAUUCCUUGUUGUUAAGAGGGAUACAAAUAUUAUACAAGAAUUUUUCUGAUGACUCCUAAAGCAUAUUUGGAUAUAUAGCAAAGUAUAUUGUCGCUUCCCUGUUAGUAAAAUGAUUAUGUUAGAAAUUUGGUUGGCAGCCCCUACAUUUGGCUGAUUGCUAGCUGACUGGAUUACUCAUGUUUGCGGACUCUGGUAACUUAUGCCUACCAAGAACUACAUGAAUUUUGUGUCUUGCUGCAGUGAACAUUACCAAACUAAUUCUAAAGGUGUUAUAAUCAUGUUUUCUUUUGCAUUAUCAACUUUUAACUUUUGUCAUUUGUUGACACAUUCCUUUUGCAUUAUCAACUUUUAACUAUUGUCAUUUGUUAACAUGAUUAUUUAGCAUGUUCACUAUGCGAGUAGUAAUAAUAGGAGCUAUUUAUUUGCCAGAUAACUAACACUAUUCAUAAGGCAUAAGGGUUAGAAAAAGAACUGUAUUCUUUUUGUGAUGAUUUUCGUAUCACUACAAGAAAUGUGUUAAUACAUGACGGAUGCAAACUGUCACAGGUGUGCGCAAAACCGUCAAGGUAGCUCAGCCAUGACGGAUCCAAAAUUCAUCAUGUAUAUCGCGUCAUAAUUUGACCACCAUGCAGUCCAUGACGGAGCGCCAGAACCGUCAUGGAUCCAUGACGGUUCUUGACCGUCACAGCUUACUAUCAAAUAACGGCGUUAACCAUGCAUUCCACAUCAUCAUCUGACGUGGCGACCAACUUGGAAGCCCAUCUAGUAGUUUGCCCAAUUAGAAGUUUGGCCCACUUAAUUUCCACUCUAUCCAAGACCAUCGGCCCAUGUUUUCAUCAACCCAUAAGAAUAUUGGCCCAUUAAAUUUCAGGACGGUCCGAGGCCCACUAAUUUUGGUCGAGACAUUAGCUCGUCACUUUGUUUCUCUUGGUCCAUGUAAACUUUGAUGUAAUAAGAAUUUUUCUAAUUAUAUAUGCUCAUUGCCUUGUAAAUAAAUAUGGAAAUUGCAUAAACAAACCAAAUAAAUAACAUUUUUUUCAAUCAAAAGGAAGAAAUACACAACAAAAAACUUGAAAUUACGGAUGUGUUUCCAGAUCUGGCCUACUACUCUCCCUAAAGCUAUACAAUCUGCAGUCACCAUAUCAAGCGUCGGCCAGCGCUCGCGGGACGUCAAGAGGAGUUCAUCGCCAUGGCUUUUCUGGCCACAGAUCUGGCCGUGUCCGCUGGUGUCAUCGAAGGGAAACACCAUGUCCACCACCGUCUCGCGUCGACCCAUGCUCCUGUCCAGCUGACCUUCUCCACCGAUAGGGACAAUGGAAUCGUGGUUACCUGCGCAUCGAUGAACCAUACAGCACCUCGAAUAAUCAAAAGAAAAGGGAAGGGAGAAUCUGAAGCAACAGGGAGGGGAGAAUCUGAAUCGACAAAUGACUCAACCUGCAAAACUCGACGGACAAGCUAACGGCGAGGCCGGCAAAGGCCAUGAACGUAGGCCCGCACUGACGAAUGGGCUGCAGUGGCCCAGCAUGGAGCAGCCCCCGGCGGCGGCACGGCGCAGCCACCCGGCCAUCGCAGCACAACAUAACCGCCGCCAAGCCAGGGGACGGGGACGUGCGGCCAAAGCCACCGCCGCCAAGCACUCACAGGGGCCCAGCAUGGCAACCCCAGAAGGUGUGGAAGCAGCCUGAAUGUCACGGUGGCGAUGCUUUCCUCUGUGUGGCCUCCAAGCGCCUCGACCUGCACUCAAAUCGGGAGAACGGGAGGCUGAGAUGAGAGUUAACAUCGAAGAAGGAAGAAGGAAAUAAAGUCCGAGCGGCGUCCGAGCGCAUCAACCUCAACAUCCAUCGCCUGCUCAUAGAGAUGGAAGGAGGCAGAUCUGGACGGAGGAAGAGGAACGACAGGUGAAGUCAUUGCUCGGUGGAAGAGAAUAUAGCUGGCCAAACGGGCCGGGAUAGUUGGGCCGGCCCGGUAGCACGGCCGGCACGGCACGGCACGUGCUAAACGGGCCAGGCCCGGCACGCAGCACGCCAUGGGCCGUGCCUGGGCCUGAAAGGCGAGCACGCGGGCUGGCACGGCACGGCCCGAUUAACUUUUUUAUAUUUUUUUAUGUAUCCUAAUAUGGGCCAACAGGUAAAAAUAGGCUAAAAACGCUCAAUGCGCAAAAUAGGAGGUAGAUUAGUGGGCCUGGCGUGCUGGUGGGCCGGCCCGAUUAGCAUAGGGGUCGUGCCUGGGCUGCAGGCUGCAGCACGCGGGCUGGCACGGCACGGCCCGUAUAAUAAUCGUGCCUAGGCGGGCCGGGCCGUGCCAGGCACGAUUAGGAUGGGCCGUGCCGUGCCGGGCCGGGCCGGCCCGUUUGGCCAGCUAUAGAAGAGAAGACGGCGGCGUGUGGGGUCUAGGAUAAAGGAGUGGAGACAGAGAGACCGUGUGCUCGCCGUCGGAUCUGCGAGAACGGGCGGCUAGGAUGCAUGAUCCGCAUGAUGCUCGGAUCAACCAAUCAGGAUAGAGCAUUUGUAUCACGCCGGAUCCACGCCUCCUCGGCUGGGAAACCCAAGUGGGCCGGCCAGGAAUUCUGAACAUUUUUAGUUUUGUGUUUUCUUUUUCCCUUUUCCCUUAUUUUCUAUACUCCCUUUUUCUUACUGAAUCAAUAACUCCUGAAAGUCAGAUUUUGAGAAUCUCGCCCUGAACGCCUUGUCACCACUGGUCCAGGCGCAUGCAACUUGGCGCAAGAAUAUCAGAGAUGUCACACAUUUUUCGUUCGGAAAAGAAACGAUACAUCAAGAGCACACACGUAUCCCCUUUGCCCACCACACACUCCCCCUCCCCCCUCGCUUCGUAUUUUUCUCUCCGGUGUCCACGACGACGUGUACCGUCUCGGAGCAAGGGACGGAGGCCAAAGCCCAGAGNNNNNNNNNNNNNNNNNNNNNNNNNNNNNNNNNNNNNNNNNNNNNNNNNNNNNNNNNNNNNNNNNNNNNNNNNNNNNNNNNNNNNNNNNNNNNNNNNNNNNNNNNNNNNNNNNNNNNNNNNNNNNNNNNNNNNNNNNNNNNNNNNNNNNNNNNNNNNNNNNNNNNNNNNNNNNNNNNNNNNNNNNNNNNNNNNNNNNNNNNNNNNNNNNNNNNNNNNNNNNNNNNNNNNNNNNNNNNNNNNNNNNNNNNNNNNNNNNNNNNNNNNNNNNNNNNNNNNNNNNNNNNNNNNNNNNNNNNNNNNNNNNNNNNNNNNNNNNNNNNNNNNNNNNNNNNNNNNNNNNNNNNNNNNNNNNNNNNNNNNNNNNNNNNNNNNNNNNNNNNNNNNNNNNNNNNNNNNNGUUUCACGGCGGUGGUGGCUGAGAGGAGAUGCGGUGAAGGGACUGCACAACACCGGAGCUUUGCGAGGUCCUACGUUGCCACUGGUGGUGGUGGUGGCAGGGUAUGUGGUUUGUUUGGAGCUCAUGUCAAGUUACAGAUAAAAAUGAGCCCCCCUCCCCCCAAAUGGCAAAUUUGUUUGCAGUGAUGGCAAGUUCACAUGGAGCCAUACUACAAAUUUUCCAUAUUUUUUAUUGAGGAAGAACAAUAUAUUGCCAUGGAAAAUUCAUACAUGGUUUCUUGACAUGUGUGGUAGAUGUGCUGGCAAGUUUUAAACCAAUAUUUGCCAUGGUUAAUUCAGUAUGUAGUUUUUGAUUUGGCGGUAGAGAUGUCAAGGCAAUUUUGCCUCCUCUAGUAUGCGGCGAUCGUCGCCCAAUUUUGGACGUAAGAACUCUCGAGGCCCAAUUUUCCAGCAAUUUUUAUCAGCUUCGCAACGUGGCUCUCAUUACACGCACGAGCUUUGCAACGUGGCCCGUGAAGUGGAGGUUGCUUUUGCAACACAUGUGGUGUUGCAUACCAAUCCCAUGACUAUGCAGCACGUGCCCGCGCCCCGGCUCGUUGCCUUGUCACUGUGUCGCGUUGGGACCCUCCCUAGCCACCACGCAUCAUCCAUCGCGACCUUGUCGCCGUCCGCCGCAUUGAUUCGGCCGGGGACGGAGAGAUCUACCGGCCCAGCCUAUCCACUGCCACGGUCAUCGGUGCCCCACCAAUGACAUGUGAACAACCACAACAAUCCCGGAGUCAACGACGACCACGUUUCUACACCACCAUCUCCGUUGAAAUUUUUUCUACAACAUCAUCUGUGUUGGAAAGGGUUAUGGAGCACUGCCUUUGUUGCAAUGGUGAGGGAGGGCAGGGCCACUAUAUUGAGCCAGAUCUAAUGGCUGCCGAGGCGGCAGAAAAGAUUUGCCGGCCGACGUGUAGUAUGUCCCACUAUUCUUUUCUGGAUUCGUUUUUCUGUUUUUUCCAGUUUUCUUAGAACUUUGUUUGGCAUUAUCUGAACUUUUUUUAAUAACACACGAAUUUUUCUUGUCGUGUAAUUAUAUAUUUUAAAAUGUAUGAACUUUAUAAAAAUACAUUCACAUUUCCUAUUAUAUUUGAAAUAAAAAAAUAAAAAAAGUUCAUGUCUACCUCGAAUUUGUUCAGCAUGUUUUUGGAAAAUGUUUCAUCGGUAUUAAAAAAUUGUCAACAUGUUUUUGAAAAAUGUUUGUCAUGCUUCAAAAAAUAGAAAACGUGUAUUUUAAAAAUAUUCAGUGUGUUUUAGAAAAUGUUCAACGUGUAUUAAAAAAAUAUUAUGUACAAUUAGUCUUACAUGUGUAUAGACUACAAACGUGUGUAACAUUUUUAAUACAUUUCCUAUGAUUAUUAUUAUUAAACAAUAAUUUUUAAUACAGGUUGAACAAUAUACAAUAAUUGUGUGCUUUUGGUCCUGAAUUAAGAUACGAAAUUUACAAAAUAAUAUUUAAUACAUGUUGAACUGUUUAAAUACAUGUAAAUUUUAGAAGAAGUUCACGUUCAUCCACAUAUGAUAAUAUUGUAUACACCGUUUUAUUAGAAUAAUAACAGUUGAGAUUUAAAGGUUCUUACGUAACAUCGUAAUAUAUAUGUGCCAGUAGUAUUGAACCGUCAUGUUGUCACGUUAUAUAUGAACAUAGGAGGCUGCAAAUAAUCAUGACGUACACACAUACCUUAAAAAAACAUGACGUACACACAUGUACACAAAUAAAAGCUCUAGGAAAAAAAAGUAGGAUGACGUAUGAAUUAGAAACGGAGACCUAGGGGAGGUAGAUCUAUUUAGUAUGAAAAAAUUCCAUACACACAUAGGACGUGAAGGCAGACUUCAACUUGGACACAUACAAGUAUUGCACAAGAAAGCACGCGUGAAGGAUAUUCAUUGGAAAAGAACCUGUACGUAAAUCUACCAACGAAAAGAAGGCAAUAAAUGUCUCCACAAUUAUUUCACUAAAAAUGUCUCCAUGACUUGGAUUUAUCUCCUUAUGCAAAACGAGAUCGAGUGACUACAAAAUUGGAAGUAAAAUAAAAUCAGCUAGAAGUUUCCUAAUCUCUUCACGGCUCUUUCUCUAAAAAGAAUUCUCCACGUACGACUCAGAUUUAUCUCUUUAUUAUAAGGAAAAAAAGAUUGACUGUCAAACGGUUGGAAAGAAAGAAAAAAUACGGCUAGAGGAUUUCCUAAUAUGAUUCGGAAAUUAAAUAAGGAAACACAUUUUUUUGCCGAUCUAUCUCCUUGUAGGGAAAAAAGAUUGAUUAUGAAUUUGAAAAAAAACGGCUAGAGAGUUUCCUAAUAUGAUUCGGAAAUUAAAUAAGGAAACGAAUAUUUCGGAUCUACUACCUCCGUCCCAAAAUAAGGAAACGAAUAUUUCGGAUCUAGUGUAGUGUUAAAAACGUAACUAGUGUAGUGUUAAAAACGUAGAAACGUUUUUAACACUACACUAGUGUUAAAAACGUUCUUAUAUUUUGGGACGGAGGGAGUACGUAUCUCCUUAUAGGAAAAAAAAGAUUGAUUAUGAAUUUGAAAAAGAAACUUAGGCUAGAGACUUGCGUACUACUAUGAAUAUUGGAAAUUAAUAAUUAAUUAAAUAAAGAAAUGAGUAUUGGCUAUUAUGCACGUUCGAUAGACUUCACACAAGACCAUCGAUCUCCGUGGAGACUAGGAGCAAAGGGCACAUUGGCUGGCCAGCUACGCAGAAAUAUAGUUGUUACUAAUGUUAACUGGACCAUUUCCUCAAAAAAGAAAAAGCUUAACUAGGCCAUGAAAGCACGUACAUGUGAGAGAGAAAACACUAGAUUAUCUAAUCACUGGCUAGACUUAGACUCACAUUAUACACCUGAGAUCAUCAUCGUUGGGCCAGAAUUUUGAGUGCCCUGCUGCACCUGUUGAUCAUGCUAGAGUAGAUCACCCAGAAACAUUGCAAUGCUAUUCGCUAAGGUAUUAAAAAAUAUUACGCACAAUUAAUCAUACAAGUGUAUAGACUACAAACAUGUGUAACAUUUUUAAUACAUUUCCUAAUAUUAUUAUUAUUAAACAAUAGUUUUAAAUACAGGUUGAACAAUAUACAAUAAUUGUGUGCUUUUGGUCCUGAAUUAAGAUACAAAAUUUAAAAAAUAAUUUUUAAUACAUGUUGAACUAUGUAAGUCCAUUUAAAUUUUAGAAAACGUUCAUGUCUACCUCUUCAAGGUACACAAUAAUGAAAAUAGAAUAGAGAUUUAAAAUACAAAAUAAUUGUAUACUACUACUUAUCGUAACUUUUUUAUGUGGGAAAAACUAAAUGCAAACUUGGACAAAAUAAAAAAGAAAACGAGUAGAAACUACUACAUGGUUGGCGUACAGGACCAGCCAAAUUAUAUGCGGUGCUAUAGGCGAGCGAUUUGCUCAAAAAAAAAGAGGCGAGCGAUACAUGGUAUAGUCUAUAUACGUUUCUAGCCCAUAGGUGGAUAAACACGGUUUGACCAGGUGGCUAGCUUGUUUGGUUUCAUAGCUGGAGGUCUUAGGUUCAAAACCCUUUGCUCACAAUUUAUCCUAGUCAGGACCUACAUGUUUCUUUUUGUUAUUUCUCUCUCUCUCUCUCUCAUACUAACAUGCGGGACCCACACUCUACUGCAAGCUGAUGUUAUUUCUCUCUCUCUCAUACUAACAUGCGGGACCCACACUCUACUGCAAGCUGACAUAGCAACAGUCUAGGCACCUCACGUAGCUUGGGACGUAGUGAGGACUGACAUGUGGGCCAAAGAAGUAAAAACGCACAACACAUUAGCACGAGCCAUCCAUGACGGUCCAGAUGAUGUAUAAGGGAAAUUUUUUGGUCCCGCUACUCAUUUCAUGACGGUUUUUGUGACGGUUCCUUUAUGUCUGUCAUAACGGGGGCUAUUGUUUUAGGAUCCAUUCUCAUCUUCCGGAUAUGUGACGAUUUCAGUGACGAACUCCGUAAACUGUCAUCGAUGGCACCCUAUAUGUGACGGAUUGUAGGAACGUCACCUGAAAUCCGUCAUGGAUUAACAGGUUUCUUGUAGUGUAUGGCACACUAUGGAUUCUUUGUAUAACACAUACUGUCGAUCAACAUGUGUUUACAACGUAGGGAGGAGCCGGGCGACAAGGCAGUCAGACCAAACUCUCUAUCCAUAUAUAUAGGUAGUCUGAUGUUAUGCCAUAGCCGAACCAUAUAUGUUUCGUGUACUGCUCUAUCAAUCUGGUCUUUUGGUAUAUUAGACUCUAUCCUUUGUAAUGAACUUAUUGUCAUGGGCGAUCAUUAUGACUGGAUCGUAUGGUAUGAAUCGGGUCUUUAUGCUUUGUGAUGAAAUAUCAUAUUAUCCUGUUCACCAGUUUGGUUUGGUUUUGAGCUAAAACGUAUAAAAAUACAUGGCUUACAACAAUGGAUAUAUGUGAUGAUAUAUUGAGUGAUUAAGCAUAAUUUUAGACUUUCGGUGCUGGACCAAUGGGAUGCAUGGGGUAAUUGAAUGUUUCUUCUUCACUUUAUUAUUAUCGGUUGGGAUCAGCACUCUCGCGCGAUCUAGUUAUGAUGAUGCUGCCUAUACAAAGCAAACCUACGUGGCUAUAAAGUGGAGCACCAUGCGAACAAGAAACUGGCGCUUGAGGACAAACACGAGUGGAACUGAUGUCUGAUGCAACACGGCGCUGCUGUACGCGUCAGGGCGGACAGCAACGACGUGUAACAGAUGGGAUGUCGGAUUGCACGCAAAACAAAGGAAUCCAAUGCAAUUUUGAUAGGUUUUUUUUCAGAUUAUGGACGAGCUUGCGGCGGAAACUAUGGUGGAGAAAAAAAAGUUUGAUCUAGUAGACAAAAUUUUCUCGUACAAAUCUAAACCAGCACUAUUUGUAGGAUGAUGCAACCAAAAAUUCAACUACGCAAGUACUAGAUGCAAAAAUUGCUAAAGGCUAAAAAGAUAGAUGCAAAGGAUGAACUAAUCUUUCUUUCUUUUUUGGCUUUUUUUGGGUUAUAGGACAUGAAAAAUAAACUAAUCUAACAAAACUGUAAAUCUCUCACCGAUGAAACUGAAAACUGACACCACUUAUGUGACGGCGGUCCGAUGUUUCGAUGAGAGUGAGGAUAACUAUCAAUUUGGUGGAUUCUGAUCUUGACGAUCCGGCUAUACAAUACCCGAUGAUAUGCCUCGACAAUCGCUAAACCAAUCUCCGAUGGUUAUUGACCUUGCCGUAGGCACGGUCAACCUGAACGACGAGGUUUGAGUUCCUGCAAGCAACUAAAGAGAAGAACAAAGGUGAAUUGCAAUCUGAAAUUGCGAAUGAAAAAUUAAGCACAUGAACUAGAUCAAAAGUUGGGGUUCCACUUUGGAUCUGAUAAGGCGGUAGUCCUACACGUCUCAUAGAUGCGAAAUUGUAGCAUGGCUAAACAAUACAAUAAAACCCACGUAAACCCUAGAAUAUGAUGACUAUUUAUUAAAGGCCGGCGUGGAGAACGCUUCAUCUAUUUUCUUGGAAGUCAAGACGGGCCUGCUAAUUGGCCGGACCCACACGCGAUCUGAUUUGAAAAUAAACUUCUCAUAUCAAUCUGGUGGCAAACUGCCUCGUCGGUACUAUAGGCCCAGAUGCGCAACACACAAGGCCAUGCAUGGGCGCAAAACCUAUCCGGCGCCCUCAGCGUCCGAUACCGUGUUAACGGUAAAGGGCGCAGAACGUCGUGAGAUACUUCGGUCCAUAUCCGGUGUGGGCGUUAGAGCAUUGAGAUAAGUACCAUGAUUCAAACCGGCAAUCGACUGGUUCAACACACACCACCUAACCAAUAGGCCACCUGCUGUUGACGUGGUUAGUUAUAGCUUUUCCUUCUUUUCUUCUUUGUACCUUCUUUUUUGUUUUUUUGUUGGAAUGAUUUUGUUAGUUUUUAUUAUUUUCCUUCUUAAUUUUUUUCAAUAAUACCAACAUUUUUCGUUUCAAUUUCGUGAAUUUUUUAAAAUUCGAUAUUUUUUUUCAAAAUUCAAUGAACUUAUUUGAAAAAAGAUGAACUUUUUACAAAUUGGAUGAACUUUUUUCAAAUUUGAUGAACCUUUUUUCAAUCUCGAUAUUUGUUUUCAAAUUUGCCAACUUUUUUGAAAAUUCAUGUACAAUUAUGAAUUCAUGAAUUUUUUGAUUUUUUUUAAUUUUGCAAAUUUUCCCUUUUUAGUUUUUUUAAACAGCAAUGGUUUUUUCGACAAGUGCUUGCAAGAGAAAAAAGGCUAGCAAAGGAGCGAGCAGCGACCGAUCGAGCCAGCAGCAGCGGUCGAGCGAGCAGUCGAGCGAUUAGCGAUCGAGCGAGCAGCGAUCGAGCGAGCCAGCAGCAGCGGCCGAGCGAGCAGUUGAGCGAUUAGCGAUCGAGCGAACACAUGCAUGUUGAUUCGAUAAUGCUCAAGUGUAAAUCUUCUGUAUUAAACUUCGCAUCUUCACCCGAGGUUUGUGCAUGUCUUCUUUAAUCCUGCAUAUAAAAUAUUGUGUUGUAUUUUUGUUUCGGAUAACAAAAUAAUAAUUCAUAUAAUUUCUAUUAGAAUUCAUCUGAUAAUUAUCUUUAAGCGUAAUAAUUGUUGUUAUAUCCGUACGGGCCAUGUUUAUAUCAGGUCGUUAAUCUUCUUCUUCUUGUCCGCAAGCCACUUCUUCACAUGCUCAUCCAAGAUGGUUUCGUCUGCCAACAUGAUCAUCGCAUCCACCACGUCCUGUGAGAGUUGCAAUCUCUCCUUCUCAAGCUCUAUGUAGCCAAAUGUCUUGGCCUUCUCGAGUUCCCAUUUGAUCGCCACCCCUUGGUGGUCCACCAUGUACGAAACUCCUUGCACCGCCGCCGCCUCCCUCUCUCGCUGCAGGCGUUGCCGCAACUACCGGGCGGCGUCCUCCGCCUUGCAAGUCGGAGCCGACGAAGGGUCGCCGACGGACAAGGUGGACUGCGUCUUCGUCGCGGUGGUGGAUCGGGACCGGUGGUGAGGAUUGGGAGCAAGGGUGGAGGACGGCGAGGGUUUGGGUGCGGCAAAAGUUGGAGGGCGGCGGGAGGAGGAGAAAGGGUUUGGUGCAUUUGGCACAAUUUUCGAUGGGGUCGGGCUGACGGGUCCGACGUGGCGGGCGCGCCCGGGCGCCCCAUAUUUGGGCUGGAUAUGAGGGGUGUCAGUCAGCCCAGGCGUUCGAGGCCCGUUUAAGGAGCCCGUCUGGAUCGAAAAAUCGUGACCGGGUGGCCCACCCGGGUGUAUGAGCCAGGCUUGAGGUGCCCGACUGUAGAUGCUCUAAUCAUCUAGAUCCGACGCUCAAAGGCUCCACCCUUCCCCACGGCUUGGGUUCGGGCGCCUCCCCAAAACUUCGUUGGGAUCCGCCACAACCGGCAACGGCGAGGCCAGAGGUGGCCGGAUCCGGCACAGGUUGGUCUCUCCCCUCCUUCUUCGCCCACCCUCUCCUCCUUACCUCACGCCACUUGUCUUCCCUUUUUCGCAGGUCGCCAUGGCGCGGACGGCGAUGACGGCAGGAGGGGCACACACAUCCGUGGAAUGGGACGCCGCCAUGGAGAUGGAGAUCGUUCGUCACACCACGCAGAGGCCCCAUGGAGCCUCCCUCCUUCGGUGACUUCUUCUCAGGCCCCACCCACUACCUCUGCCCUCCCCCCUCCCCUACUUUGAGUUGCACCAUGCUUUGUUUCAGAUUCAUCCACCCAUGGAUGAUACAUGGCAAGUUAGGGGUAGUUGCAGUUUGAGGUUAAUCCCUUGAUUGGCUGCUAUUUAGGGUUGAUUAGAUUAGUUAGCUCAGUUGGCUGCUAGACUUUAGGAGUGCAUACAUGGGUAUGACGUGCUCUGCACAUUUAGGAUUGAAGUAUUGUGCUGCAGCACUCAGUGACGUUAAUUUAGGGCAUUUCAGUGUCAGUUUCACUAUAUUUCGGGGGACAUUUAACAGUGCAAUUUCAUGGUUAUUACAGUGUAAUUUCAAGGUUCUUGCACUGUAAGUUCAGAGAAUUACAAUGUUAGUUUAUGUGAAUUCCCGUGCAUUUUACUGUGUAAUUUAAGUGCAAUGGAAAUUAUAGUGUAAAUUCAGUGUAAUUUACUAUGUAAAUUUACGGAAAUUACACUGUAAUUCGUGUGCAACUUUUAGUGUAAUUUACACUGUAAUUUCAACGGGUUUACAGUAGAGUAAUUUAAUUGUAAUUACAGUGUGCACUUUAGAGCAAUCAUACUAUAUAUUUAGUGAAUUUAAAGUAUCACUCCAUACCUUUCCGGUUUGUCUUUUUUCUCUACAAGUUACUGCUAUACUGUUGAUUGAUUCUACCCUUGCGUAAGAAACUUUGAUGAGCACAUAAUUUUCUACUAUGUAAUUUGAGCAGCUUGGUAACCGUAAUUUUCAGUUUCCUUUGACCCUAGGCCCUUGUGCUUUAGAAUUGCUAUUUUUUGUCAGUGUACAUGCUAGAUCAUGUGGUUUAUGAUACUUCUCUGGUCCUUAUAAACAAAGUGACAUGUUUGUGCU
This 166087-nucleotide long non-coding RNA is filed under the name Triticum aestivum (bread wheat). Its description in RNAcentral is "long non-coding RNA (TAES_LNC002191)". The stretch from base 66522 to 66656 matches the Rfam family "MIR1120/MIR1122 microRNA precursor family". Lineage: Eukaryota; Viridiplantae; Streptophyta; Magnoliopsida; Poales; Poaceae. The record is from RNAcentral.